RNAcentral lists this long non-coding RNA (93092 nucleotides) under Mus musculus (house mouse). RNAcentral describes it as "KCNQ1 overlapping transcript 1". Lineage: Eukaryota; Metazoa; Chordata; Mammalia; Rodentia; Muridae. The record is from RNAcentral.
AGGAGGAACAGUUGCCUCAGCACGUCUGCGCAGCUUUCCUUGCGGCGCCCCUCCGCGUGGUCUAUGAUGGUGCAUUUUGGUCCAGUCAGGCCCGGUGUGGUCGGCCUCAUUUUGGAUUACUUCGGUGGGCUUCUCCUCGGCGUGGUUACGGUCUAGUACACCUUAGUGUGCUUUUCUCUGCAUGGUCCUUCCCAGCGUGGCUCGUCUCAGCAGCGUGGUUUUCAUCCGUGUGAUCGUCCUCUGCAUGGUUUUUCACGGUGAGGUCAUAUCAGCCAGCCACCAGCCUCAGCAUAUUUGUCCACAGUUCUUUUGGAGCUGCCUCUGCUCGGAUCACUUGAGCACUACACCUCAGUCCCGACUAGCCAUCCUCAGUGUGCUUUGCUCAACGCGAUCCUCCUCAGUGUUUGUCCUGAGCCUAGACCUCCAUGGUGAGGUCUUAUCUUGUUUCGUCAUGGUGGUCGGCGAUAUGGUCCGAUCUGCCUCAGCAAUUGGGUCACUUCCGUGUGGAUCGUUUCAGCACGGAUCACUCCAGCGCGGUCGGCUGCCUUGGCGCGAUCCACUUGGCUUCUCAGCAUUUUUUUUUAGCCUGCUGGGUUCUCUCAGUUUUUCUUCAACACGCUUCUUUUCCCUCUGUGUGAUUCUACUUGGAGAGCUUUUCUGUUCAGCUUGGUUCCCAGCGCUUCUUUUUCUCGGCAUGGUUCUCCUAGGUAUGGUUUUUUUCUCAGCGCGGGUUUCUUCUCUGAGUCAGCACGGCACAAGUCGCAAGUCCGCGUGGCCGCGCUCAUCAUAGCCUCCCCCUCCUCGCGGCAAGCACUCACGGCCAGAAGCAGAGGUGAUUCGUGCCGCGCUUUCGCGGCUGGGCUCCAUCUUCGUUUUGCCGCAGUGGCUCCGUAUUCGUUUUGCAGUUACGGCUCGGUCCUCGUUUCACGGCCGGUCCUCGUUUCACGGCCGUGGCUCAGUUCUCGUAUUUUGCGUCCACGUCCCCAUCUUUGUGGCCCAGGCUUACAGAAGCAGGGGUGGUCUUGAGGCCCUUUGAGCCCCGAGGUCGGUCGAGUCCCAAGGUGAGUGGCCUAGGACACCGGCUCAGGCCUUCGGAUUCUAAACCCCGGGCCGAGUCAGAACGCACUGGAGCUGAAACCGAAUCGGGUCUGGAGACCCCUGAGCUUUGUAGCCCGGUGUGGCCAGCACCAAGGUAGUGAGUGGAGUACGUGUUGUUAUGUGGUAGCUGUUUUAAUGCUGAGAGUGAGGGGCUCCGUUCGGAAUGUUCGCGCAUGGUGGGGGAAGGGUAUCGUGGAACUGAGGCUGGGGAAGGCUGCUUAUUCGGAGUUUUGAACCGAGUUGUGAUCUAGCUCUUGGAUCCGAGUUGGGUGUGUGUAUGUGUGGGUCUACAGUGGUUCCGAGUCUAGAGUGGAGUCACGAUUGGAAUCGGGUAGAGAUUCGGGUCUGGAGCCGACUCGGAAUUCAGGUGUGGGGGAUUGGGAACUUGGGGUGGAGGCCGCAGUGGUUGCAGUGGGUUCUUAACCUUCCUUGUGCUUUGACCCUUUAAUACAGUUACUCAUGUUGUGGUGACCUCCAACCAUAAAAUUAAUUUCAUUGCUACCUCAUAACUGCAAUGUUGCUACUGUUAUGAGUCAUUAUGUAAAUACCUGUGUUUUCCGAUGGUCUUAGGCGAUCCCUAUGAAAGGGUUGUUCAAGCCUAAAGGGGUCACGACCCACACGUUGAGACCUGCAGAGUCAGAAUCAGGUCUGAAUUGGGGGAAUAGCAGAACUGGGAGUUACCUCCAGAUUUUCAGUUGGGAUUUGAUUCUUUUCUGUGGUUUUAAAUUGAGAUCCCAGAGGCUCAGGUCUCUGUUGGGGACCAGACUGAGGGUUUCUAGUUAUAUUCAGGACCUGACUGGGCAGUACAGUAAGAAUUAAAGUUGGUUUUGAGUGUGAGCAUAAUGGUCUGAGGUAGGGAUCAGGACUGAAGUAUAAAGAGUCUGGUUUUUAACAAGUGGGAAUCACAUUUUGAGACAUGGGGUCCCAUGUGGGUCAGAGUUGAUUUAAAGGACCAAGGCCAGGGCCCAAACCUUAGUCCUCCAUUUUGUUGUUCUUGUUGGUCACAUUCCCUUUUCUGUAAAAUGGGGAGGAGUGCUUUCCGCUGUAACCUUUCUGGGCAUAAAAGGGAGUAAGUAAUUCAUAGAGGUAAAAAUAGUCUUAUCUUAAAUGAUUAAAAAGUGUAAAAUAUUUCUCAAUAGUAAUAAGGACAAAUAAUAUGCAUUUAACAAUCUUUUCUCAUACCGUGUGCCCUUUGUUAGGCACUACCAAAAAGGAACCUUUUCUGUUCUGUUCCCUAGAGCUUGCCCCACCCAGCCAUGGGCCUAAUACACAGCCAUCCUCAGGCAAUACUUGCUGAAGGAAAGCAGGCAGGCAGGAUUAACCAGAUUUCUAUGGUGUCUUAAAUGAUCCAUUUCUGCACCUGUUUUCCAGAUACUAGGAGAAAAAUUUAAAGGAUUGGAUUGCUUGAUUAUAGUUCUAUUUUAAUGUGUUACCAAACACACUGAAGAAAAAAAGUGGAUCUGUUUUGGGAUUUGUGCUCCAGCUAGAAGGAUCUUUUAAAAUUUCGAAUCAGAGCAUGUCCAAAUUCAAAUAAGGAGAGCACAAAUAAAGAAAAUUAUGAGGCACUUCCCUGGUGAACAUAGAUGAAGGUCCACUUACAGUAUUAACUAACUGAAUCCAAGAGAAUUUUGAACAACAGUUCUUAGACAAGUAGGAUUUCUCCUUGGGAUAUAAAGAUGAUCCAAUAUCAGAAACUCUAUCCGUGUAAGUCACAGUAUUAAGAGACUGCAGGAGAAAAAACAUAUGGUUUUCUCAAUAGAGGCAGAAAAUUUACAUGAUGAGGUUUGACGCCUAUGUAUGCAUUUGAGGGGGCUGGAAGGACAUUACUUAGGAAGCCAAAAACUAGAAGAGAAUUUCCCUAACUUGAUACAGUGUAUAUCCAAAUUUAACUUUUAAGUAAACUUAAAAACUAUUAUUCCUGGUAAGAUAAGGAGCAGGCCAAGGGUAUUUUCCUAGCCACCUCCUAAUAUAAGGAAAAGAAAUGGAGAUGUAAGACUUCCGUGGCAGGAAGAGCGAAACUAAUGACUUAGAGAGAAUAGUUGUAUUUGCAUUGGGGUUUGCAAACAUUUUGAUGUUACAAUCUUUGUGUACUUAAAAAAUUAUUAACUCCCCCUCCCCACAUUUAUUUAAGAUGGACUAUAUUUAUUGGUAGUUACAGUCUUAGACAUUAAAAUUAUGUGCUUAAACAUAGAGCUGUAUAAUUGUAUAUUCCAGGGAGGUCAUAUCUCUGGAAAACUCUGACUUUGUGAGAAUCAAAAUAGAGACUGCAGAUGAGUUAUGGGCGUAUUUAUUCCUCAGACCAUCUGUGACCUUUCCUGGGAGGGUCUGAGAAGGCUUCUCAGAAGUUUCUUUGGACUUUUCUUUGAAAACUGCUGAACUACCUGAAAGAUAAGGUUUUGCAGCAAAAGAAUUAUUUGGGUAUAUACAGUAUACCCAAACAAACAAAUUUUUAAAACCCCACAUUUCUUUAUAACAAUAGUGAUGUAAAAGAUGUAAGAAGUGCACUCAGAUACAAAUUAGAAUAGCAACGAGAUUGUCUGGUCUUUUUUUAAGACAGUGUUUUUGGGAAAACUGUAAAUUCCCAUUGGAGAUAAAGGAAGGUAUUUGGAUGUGCAGAGACAUUUGUUUUCUUGGAAAAUUUAGCGUUAGAAUCCUCAGUAUUUUGCAAAUCUGUAAAUUUAGUUAGAUUGCAGUCAGACUUCUAGCUGGAGGAUUUAACAUCUCUUCCUCAAAAAUGUAUGUGAAAGAGAAAGAUGUACAAAUGCCAAGUGAACUUUGAAAAACAUUCCAUGGCUUAGCAGCCAGAAGGGUGGAGUGACAGAGACCCAGAACAGAGCUCAGUGAGCUCAGCCCCGAGUCUGGGGAAGGUGACAUGUGAUCAAAGUGGCACCACAUAUCAGUGGAACCUCCUUGGAAGAUGUUAAAAAACAAGUAAAAGAGAAACAUCCUGUGAACUCAGAGUCCUUAGAAAGGGGGAGCUCCAAACUGUAAGUAAAAGGUAGUUGCUAUUUAUUAAGAAAAACUACAGAGAAUAUUUUCUAGGGUAGGGUGGAAGUCUUAAGUAGGAUAAAUCUCAAGACUCAAAUUUAUGAACUUGAAUAGGUGCAAAAAUUAAGGAUUUCUAUGAACCAAAUCCAUCAUGGCCAGUGCCACUAGUUCCAUAAUUGAAAGACAUGAUUUGCCUUUUUAUCCCUUCUCAUGCAAAGUUCUGCCCAUGACAAAUUACAAGAUAACCAGAACACUAAAACCAGGGAGCAGCAGCUGAGACGACGAGAAAGCAAAUCAGAGGAAAAGGUAAGACAAGAAACUCGCAGGAGGGUUACCAGUGAAGAUAUGCUCAAACUGAAGUCACCAGAGAAAUGCAAAUCAAAGUGACAUUUAUUUUUCUUCUGAGAACCCUUAGAAAGUAGGAUAAUGCCAAGUGUUGGCAGAAGGUAGGGAGCGAGACUCCCCGCCUGCCGCAGGUGAGAGGGGAGACCGACACAGACAUUCUGGAAAGCUGGCCAGCAUUUUUUUUCCUCAAAUAAAAUAUUUUAUACCUGCGGCGCAACAGUUUCCCUCCUGAGUAAACAUGCUGGAGCAGUUCUCCCCCAGAACAAGGAGAGGCUGUGUGUGCCUGCUCAGCACAGCAUGGCCUGGGGGUGGUGGGGUGGUGGGCAUUUGGCUCUGGUUGCUGUGGUUAGAAGCAGGGGACUAGAUGUACACUUCACAAGAUGGAGACACAUGGAAACGGUGCUGAGUGACACAGACAGCAAACAGAAGGAGGGUUUCAGUCCCUGCCUUGGUGUUUAAAUUCAAAUUACACCCCUCCCAGACCUGCGCUAACUGGGCAUACUGUCCAUACGUACAAUGAUAUUAAUAAGCUACUCCAGAGCAGCUGUCUGAGUGGAAGGGAGUGGGGGUUACAGGAUGGAGAUAGGAUGCAAAAGCAUGGAAGGAGCAGAGUGGUCCUUUUAAACAGACCCUUUCACAGUAACAAUUUUAUGGGCAGAAGGCUGUGAUUUACUCUGUGUGUUAUGCACCAGGACCCAAGAGCCAAGUAUGAAGAAGUGAAUGUGCACCCAUCACUCACCUGCCAGAUACCCUCUGUAGACUCCUAUUUCUAGGAACAUCAGCUUUUUACAAGGUUGGCUUGCCCUGAGCUCUGACCAUUUCUUCUUCUCUUGCUGAGCUUGGGCCUCAGCAGCAUUCUUUGUGCACACGUGUUCUAGGUGCAUGCAUGGGUGGGGUCCAGAGGUCAAUGCUAGGUAUCUUCCUCUAUCACUCUCCACUUUCUUUUUUAUAGACAGGAGCUCUCACUGAACCUGGAGCCCACCAUUUUGUUUUGACUGGCUGGCCAGUGAGUCCCCUGGGAUCUUACUUAGUGUCUAUAACCUAGAACCCCAGUCAUGUGCUGCCAGACCUGGAUUUUAUGUGUGUGCUUGGGAUCUGAGCUCAGGUUCUCAUGAUUUCCAGCAAUCACGAUUCCCAGUAAGUACUGUAGCUACUGAACCAUCUCCCCAGCCCAAUAUCAACAUUUUUUUUUUUAUUAUUAUUAUAUCAGCAAAGUAUUCCUCCCGCUUCAGGGUCUUAAGGUUAGCCACUCUGCCUGACUUUUAUUUUCCUGUAAUUCUCAUAUCUCACUGCAAGUGCCUUUUCUAACCUGCCAUAUCAAUUAGUCUCCUCAGCUAAUUGCUACCUCAGUCUCAGAAGCAUGGGCUACACUGUGGUAUUCUUGUUCCUUGGGCGUGUCCACUUAAGUUAGCUGCCUGUCUCCUCCACUAGAAGGGAGGUCCUGGGUGAGCGUGUGUGUCUUCUCUGUAGGGUUAGCACUCUGUAGGCAUCUCACACAUUUCUGGUCAGUGGCUUCAUUGAUUUGUUAAAUGAAAGGAAAGAGCAGGCCAGGAAAGUGUUCUUCCACUUUCAGAAUUCAGUGAGAAAGUAAGUGGUGAAGAUUUCUUAACUGCCACCUUGGUGUUAUUUGGUGAAGGAUGGGGGUUGAGGGGAGAGGGGUGCUCUGUGUUGUAGUAUGUUUCACAGCCUAAAUGGCAUUUACCUAGUCCAAGUAGUCCCCUCACAGUUGUGAUAACAAAACCUGCCUCCCAAGGUUACCACAUAGCUCUUGGGGUGGGGGUGGGGGGGCACUCCCUGCCAGGUCUGCCUUAGACUAGUUGCAAGGAGCUAGAAAGCCUUUCAGCUUUAAACACAGGGUCCUUUAAACACAGCGGACCCUGGCCUUUAUCCUGCAAUGCACUAAAUCCAUGCCCUUAUGGUCCCUAUGAAGACGACCCUGGCCUAUGCCUGUAUAAUAGAAGCACCUCCAUCUCUGCUCAUUGGUGUAAAUAUAUUUUGACAGGUAAUCCUGUCCUCACAAUGCAUGGGGUUCCAUUAAAAUCUUUACAACAUUCUUAAAACAAAUCAACAAACAAACAGAACCCUACUUAUUGUUAUGUUGAUGAAUGUCUUGUCUGCAUGCAUGUAUGUAUACCAUGCAUGUGCCUGGCAUCCCCGAGGACAGAAGGAAGGAUCAAUCCCCUGGAAACUGGAGUUUCAGAGGGUUGUAAGCCGCCACAUGGGUGCUGAGAGACAAAUGUAGGUUCUUUCUACAAGAGCAGUGAGUAUUCUUAGCCACCGAGAUAUCCCUAACCCCGGUUACAACCAUCCUUUAGCUGCAGUGCCUCAGUUGUGAGGCAUUGGCACCUGCAGCUUUACCAGUUUGGAGCCGGCCUGGAAAGAGGCUGGGUUGGGUCUUCUCACAGCUGCCAGUUAGUACAGACUAGUAAGUGGCUCUUGUGAACAAUAGAUCCAGAAGUUUACAGUACACUUAGGAGGAGAAGAGGGUUUGCCUCAGAGAAGGCUGCUUGGGAGAGUAAGUGGGUGGCCUCUAAUACUGGGUUUCCUUUCCCUGUGCUUGCCUCUGAUAUCAGCCUUUGCCAUGGUCCUCUAUGCUGCCUGGCCCCAGAAAGUCUGGGUCAGUGGCCAGAGUCCAGACUCCCAGGGUCCUGAUCAGAGUCUUCAGGAAGGCCUGAGAGAUUAGAGCACAGAACUCUCCUAGCCUCUCCCACUGGGAACUGAAAGCUUCCCUGAGCCUUUCCUAGGGACUGAGACCCUUGUUUGCAAUUUAAAUGUGCCCUCCUUUAUGGAAGAAUCCCAGCUCCUUGAAGAGCCUUGAGCUCACCCUCCCUAGCAGUUGUAGCCUUAGCCAGGGGAAGAAACUGAUCUAAUGGGCCUUUCUCCUAAUAAUGCUAAUUGUGGCAAUUAGGCUCUGCAAUAGAGAAGGGGCAGGGCCAGGCCCACUAGUUUGCCCUUAGCUCAAAUCCAGGCCUUCUUACUCAGGCUGCUGUCCAGGUUAACUAAGCCUGGUGAAGGUACUAAAUAAGCAGAGGUUCAGCAGAGGGUGGUUGAAGCCUGCUGGCUUCCAGGGGCAAUCACAGUGGAUAUGGAUCUGAGUCUAAUGUUCAGUCUAGUAUUCAUACAGGUGACUCUGGGCCUUGCCAUGUGAUCCUCCCAGAAGAGGGUCUAACUGGAGCAUAAAGAUGGUUUGAAUUAAUCAAUAGACCAAUAUCUACCCUUUCCUUUCUCUCUCUCUCUCUCUCUCUCUCUCUUUCUCUCUCUCUCUCUCUCUCUCUCUCUCUCUCUGUGUGUGUGUGCACGCGCGCGCGCGGCGCGCGUGAGAGAGAAAGAGAGAGAGGGGGAGAGAGAGGGAGAGGGUGAGGGUGAGGGCGAGGGCAAAGGUGAGCAGGGGAGGGGGAAAGAAAGAAGAGUGAGCAGGGGACCAUGGAUAAGGGCUUAUCUGGUCUGGCAGGAAGUUAGGUUUUGAAGCAUAUGGCUCUAUGGAUUAAGAAACCAUUCCUCAGUAUGGCCAAUUAGUAGAUCUAAUCCCCUCAACCUCCUAACAUAUACUAAAGGAUCAAUGUUUCUUCACUCUGCAGGGUCUUGCUUACAAAGCACUCUGGGUCCUGUUCUCUCUGGGAGCUGGGAAUCUGGUCUAAUGAAAGGAAACACAGCACAGGCAUAGGCAGCCUGAAUGCUUAGUUAUUCAAAGGUUACACCGUAGCUGACUUUGAAUCAGUAUAUAGCGUCUGCACGGUACGGAGACUUUCCAGGAAGUGAAUUAUGUGUAGGAGGCAGGGAAGUGAUUAUUGCUCCAUUUUAUAGACUCAGCCAUUCCACACAUACUUGUUGAAAGUCCACCAUGCAUCGCACAGCUGUCUCGAGGAGGGAUUUUACAGGAGUCAGGUCACGCCUGUCCUAUGGUGCUUGUGUGUUGUUAUACACUGAAGGGAAUAUUCUUUGAGGUCUGGAGAUAUAGAGAAAGGACUAUUAGGAACCAGCCAGAACCCAUCUGGGAUCCUAGUUAGGCACUAAGACCAAGAGGACACUGUGGAGGAGGGAACACGAGAGAAAGAAGCUAGCUUUCUAAACCUGGGUACAGAUCUUCAGUCCUUGCUUCCUGUGAGGAUCUUGGGUUUGUUCUGAGACCACUGAGAGCUGCUAAGGCUCUAAGUUCCCAUUCCAUUUAGAUCCCAUUCCACUCAGGGAACUAAGUGGAAUCCACAUUUUAAAAGGCUCUUCCUCCUGAGUGGAGGGGAAUGGAGGUUAUCAGAAGGUGUUGUGGCCUCCCAGAGGAGUGACAAUACAAAAGGAGGGAAUGGGUAGAGGGGGUAAGCAGCCUGGCUUGGUAGUGGACUAGUUGGGUCUCAGCUAGGAAAGAAGGCGUUGGAAGUGAUUGCAGGGUUUCAGGUUUACACUACUGGAAGAAUUUUUGUUUGGGGUGGAGCAUGAGUUGGAGGAGUGGAGUAUGAGGUGACAGAUAUGGUGGGUCCAGCUAUUGGAAAGCUAGUUUUUGUCAGUCCAGGAGCUCCUGAUGCUGAGGGAAGGGACCAGCGUAGGGAAAGAAGGGCAGCACUACUUAGUGGGUGUGAAACUGGGUGCAGAGCUAGCAUGGUGACCGGGGAUAGAUGGACAGGAAAGAGGAACCCAUUCUUGCAGAGGUCAUGUGGAGUCAAUGUUCUAGUCUUAUGAGGGUUGGCAGUGGACAGCAACCAGCCUAGAAUGUGCCUCCUGCCAGUAUGACUAUGACACUUGCCUUCCUCUGUGACUAGAGAGAAGGCCUUAUUUCUCAGUGGUUCUGUUUUCUCUCUGCAUUCCUAGAAUCAAGAGUAGCAAAAGAACAUUUCUCCAUAGAAUGUGCAGGGAGGGUCACCUCCCUCAGGAGGCCUCGUCCUUGCUAAAGUAUUUCAUAAUCUUGGAACGAUGGAAAAUCCUUCUACCCAUUUUAAUGCAAAGCCGGGCAAGCUUUAAAAAAAAAAAAAACAAAAAACAAACAAAUGGCCUUGAAUAGGCUGAGAUGAAAAGCAAAGAGGUUGCCAACGCUAGAGACUGGGGGAGGGGUGUGCAGUGGGCAGGGAGAUUUUGGGAGGCUCCAAAGUUAGCAGUUUCUGAGCUUUACUGCUCAAACCUAGAGGCCCAAACCAAACAGAGCAGGUCCAGGGUUCAAGGUGCAAGGGGGCAACAGCCCUGUGUGGAAGAUGUCUCUUUCUUGUCAUUGUUCCUGAUUAGCUGUUCAAACAGCCUUCACAGGUUCUGCAAAAAAAAUGGUUAACUGUGGGUCCUCUAUAUCUUCUACUUGGUAAUUUUUAAACACAGCUGAGCCCCGGGUGCCCCUCCCAGAGGCUCAGAGGCCAGAGGCCAGAGGUCAGCACAAACUCUACACCACGUCUGCCUAGCCUUUACCUCAUGUGUCUAGGAAUGAUGUACAUUAGAGUAGAGGCUCUGAUACCUCCCUCGCUCAGGUGCCAGAUCAAGGCUUCAUCCUCUGCCCUUUGCCCAGGGUUUAGUGGGGUUUGCUAAUAUUACUUAAUUCCUGAAUGAACCUUUCAGGUCAGCAUAAAAGAGCUGGGAUUGUAUGGCAAAACCCGGAUGGGGAAGAUGGCUCAGACUGUUAAAAACAAGCUCCCAGCAGUGGGAGGGAAGCACCCCCUCCUUGAGGCCUGAGGUCAGUGUUCCCAUUAAUCCUUCUGCCAAGGGAUAUGUACCUAAAGGUUCUAGGGUCACACCCUAUCGGGACUAGCCAUUCGGGACUUCUGAGAAAUGGCAUUUGAUAGCUACAUGUACUGCCACAACUGUACACAACCAAGUCACACACAUUCAUCCUGUUCCCAGCCAGGGCCCAAGACUGAGUCUCAUUCCCGUUUUACCUCCUCUUAGCCUGGGUGCCUCUACCUUGUAAUAGAUGCUGAGGCCUACUUAGACCCCAUGACUGUGCCUGACAACCAAAGAAGCCCACCUUCUGGUGUCACCCACCUCACCCUAGCUCUCUGUGAUUCCAGCUUUUCUAAGGAAGGCAGGUAGCCUCUCAACCAGUCAUAUGCCCCAUGCCAGACAGUCAUGCCAGCCGCUCCAGUGCUCGUUAACUACCUUUAGGCCUUGUGGACUUCAUGUUCUAUGGAUGCGAUUUAGUACUCCCAAGAGCACCACAAGAAAGGGGAUAGCAAGCAAGAAGAAACUCAGCCACAUAGAAGGACUUGUUUGAGGCCACUGGGUGCCUGACAAGAGUCCUGCCUCUGGGGAAACCAGUGCUCCAUGCCUGUAACCUUGACAGAGUGCUCUUGGAUUUAUGUUUUCAUAGAAGCAGUCUGUGGAGGGCUAGAGAGGCAGCCCCUGUUUUCCUGGGUCCCUGCUUGGGAAGUCACAGCUAUCACUGUUGAGAAAGGCAGCCCAGGUUUGGAGCAGUUGGAGGCUAUCCCAAGAGUAGGUUGGAUGUAGAGGUGUGGGUGCGUAUAAAUGCCAUCCUGGGUAAAUGGAAAGGCCACAGGCCACCGUGAUAAGGUACCACUUCCUCUUCCUGCCUGGUGGGCUGCUUCAGUACCAAAAUGUCCGGCCACUAACUUGGUAUAAACAAAUGGGUGUGAUCCAAAUGCAAAGAACAGAUGCCCUUAGCCCCCACUCCUCCUGCCCUGAUUUUCCUCAGUGGGCUGUAUGUCUCCUCUCCAUUCUGUUUCUAAGACCACCUAAACAUCAAGAAUCUGGAAAAUAGCCGCUACAGCAAAUGUUUAUAUUCUUCUUGGUUUGUCAUUCAUUCUGUUCCUCCCAGAGAGGCCUAAAUGCUGAGAUACUGGGCAGAGGGCAAGGAACAGUACUGCCCUCUCCAGAGGCUGCCAAGAGACAAGGCUGUAGUUGUAGUCUUUAGGGCCAUCAGCCCUACAUGAUGCUGUCCUCCUCAUUCCCUUUUUCCUAUGGGUGGGCUUCUUCCCAUGGGCCACUUCUACCCAAAGCCAUGUGAAAGGCCUUAAGUUCUAGAGGGAUAACCUGAGGGUGGCACUGAGUUGCAGGGUGCAAUGAGAGAUUAUUGCAAGGCUGGUAGAACCCUCCAUCUGCAGGGCUGACUUCAAAGCUGCUGCUGGGCUUAGCCUGCUGCAUCAAAGUCAGCCAGUUAAACAGUUUUCACAUAAAAGGGAGAGUGGAGGGUUUAAAAGCCUUCCCGUGAAGACAGGCAGGCAUUCCACCCUCUUCUCAGGCACAAGAGCCACUAGAGGAGAAAGUAACUGCCCCUUAAAGACACAGAAAUCACCUUACACCCUGGUUUAGGGUUUGAAGACUACAGCCUUAGGUACAAGCGUAGUGAGGCACCUGUGUGGAGGGAUCCUCCAUUUGCAUUCAGCUCCCUGCUUUAUAUCUGGCCUUGUAUUUUGCUUCCCUACCUCCAGCACCUAUGUUUUUGGGGUGGGGGUGGGGGCAGGCUAUCUGGCUGUCGGGAAUAAGGAGAUGUAUGGUAUGACAGCCCUGAGGGAACUCAGAGUCAGGCUGCUCAGGUUGGAUUCUAGCUUUUAGUCUAAACAAUGGCUUUAUACAGUGCCUUUCUUCCAGUCCUAGCAGCCUUGUGUGAAUACAUUUAGAGGAGACCCUCGUUCAGCCUCCCCAAGAACUCUCUGGGAAGAUCCAGGAGACUCUACCUUGCUCUCUGUCUCCCCACUUCUGCCUUCCUCUUUGCCCCCCCUCCCCCCACCGUUGGGUCCCUUGCCUGACUCCAGUAUACUGUGAUGGCAGAAGUGCCAAUGUCUCCUCUCAAGCAGAGCCUAACCCAGCUUGUGCCUUGCAGAGUGCAGAGGGGUGCUCACCCUGCCCUCCUUCAGGGAGACAUCAAAGGGAAACUGGAAGCAUUCCCUGCUGACCCCCAGUGAGUGGGAGAAAAGCAGCAGCUUGGCUCAGCUGGCUGGGCUGGGGAUUUUCCAUCCUACCAACAAUAUCCACAGGAUAGAUACCCCACUCUGGCUUUUGAGGAACCAGGAACCCUCAGGAACCAGUGUUUGAUUUGCAGCCUGAUGGUGCCAUGAAGGGCUCAUUGGCAUUGGGGCAUGGCUAGCCACUUGAGGAGUUCCCUAUCCUCAUGACGUGCUGACGACUGGUUUGAAAUCUUAGCAUUUCUCACCCUAGCAGAAUACUACCUCGAGGUCCCCUGAGAUCUAGCUAGCCAGGGGAGAUCACAAUUUGUGUGGGGACCCAAGAAAGGUAGAGAGAAGACUGCCUGCCUUUUCUCUAUCAGCUGCUUAUCCCCCAGGCCUUUUGUGGAGUGCACACUCCAGCCUCCGUAGCAGCUCAGCACAGCCCAGGCUAUCCUAGACUGUCCCAAGUCCUCAAGGGUUUCAGCACCUCCCAAGCUAAGGGAACAGGAAGUCCAGAAAUAGAAGUCAACAUUUAUGCUAAACCAGGGUACCCUCCCCCCUUUGACUAACAUGGGCUUUUGGCAGCUUCUGGCUCUCAGAUCUCCAUGCACAAUUUGUAGGCUAAAUACUCUACACUACUCAGGAUAUCUAAUCCUGUCCCUCAAGAGUUAGACUGUCAGGUUUUUCUGAGUCACAGCAACCUUAGGCCUGGUAAGUCAUAGUGAGCAUGUUUCCCUCUUCAGCCUAGAACUCACAGGAUGGGCCAAAGAGAAUGCAGUAUGGUUUCAAGGAUGUCCAGGGCCAGCAGCACUACCUGAUGAGAUGAGACGAGAUGCUUGCCUGCUCCAUCCUGUCAGGGUCUGGUCACACAACUAGGCUGGAGCAGGCUUAGAGGGCAGGAUUAGACAUAGUGAGAUCCAACAAAGGCAUAGAAAAUAUCAGAAGUGAGAUAGCAAGCCAGGCCUUAGGCUUGUGCUUCCUGUGUUCCUGUCAACGCUGCCCUACUCUAUGAUUAUGGAAAAAGUAGGAAAAAAAUCUUUAGAGAAACCUAAGUACCAAUGUGGCUUUUGUAGCAGACUGAAUUGUGGGAGGCCCUGGUGAAGACAUAUUGAGCUUUGACAUGUGAUUGUGCCUUAGCUGAGGUCUUCUCUCAGCCAAAGCAAGGACUCAGUUGGGUCCCGACUCCCACAAGGCUAUCUUCAAGUACUGUUUGUUCUACAGAUGGAGGUGGGGGGCUGUUUCUCAUUUCUGCCAAAGUCACUUAAGGGACACAGAGAAGGUAGACCUGUUGCUUUUCUAGUACCUAGAAGUGGAAAGGUGGAGGUUGGUCAGAAAGCCACAUUUUGCUUCUCAUUCCCACAUGAAAAAAGAUGGCGCUGGGGGGUUUACCCAUCUGUUCCUCUAUAUCUUGUCUUUGGCUGGCCUAGGCCCUUAUCUCACCACAUGCCACUCCGAAGAGAGACGGAAAUGACAAGAGUGGGCUAAACUAUUUGGACUGGGUAAAGUCAAUAAUAGACAGUGCCCGAUUAAGAACUGGGAGGACCAUGUCUUCCUAAGUCUCAUGGUAUGCUCCAUUCUUCAAGGGGAGCCAUUCCCGUAAGAGCUGGUGUGACAGAUUUGAAGUGGCUGUGCCAGCUAGUGAGUCUUUUCCUCUGAACCAUGUAGUGAUAGGCAAGGCAAGUUGACAAGGAAGUUCUUUCCAAUUCGAAGAAGCCAAGGCAGUCAUCAAGCUUUGUCUUACCAGGAAAACGUCAGUGUAUAUCGUUGGCUGUCUGGCUUAGAAGAGGCAACUGUGAAUGAUGGCCAGAGAGAAUCACCUAACACAAUCUGGUUAUGAACACAUUUGGGCCAUGGAGCGAGAGGCUAGCCCUGGAGGCCUAGUGGAUCCACAAGAACCCAGAGAGAGAACAAAGAGGCUCAGGGUCUUAGAGGCUUCUGAUCCACACAGAGAGAGUCAGGAAAGUUAUUAGAGGUGUUCCUUCAGCUAUGGGAACAACAUCUGAGAUGCUGGUACUCCAGGGCAGUGUGUGUGCUGCUGGAUAGCAGGAAGGUUUCUACUGAUGCCUGAGGCUUGCUCUAGCUCAUAAAUCUCCACUUCUCCUUAGCACUGUGAAAUGUUUACUCUGAACUAAGCCUCUGCUUUAACAAGUCAUGUUUCAAUAGGAAAACCUUCGUUGAUGGAAUCGAAUGCAAUUCCUCCUCCUCCUCCACGACAGUUACCCAUUCCUAAGAAAAGCACAGCAUUUUAGCAAGCACCCAGGGCCUCAGGAACUAGCAUUUGCAGACAGUAGUGUGGCAGAUAUGAUGGCCUCAUGUGCAUCAAGGAGAAUCUGGCCUCUAUGUGCCUGGUCUUGCCAGUCCUUCAGACUGACAGUUCUGGAGUGCUCCAUCCUUCACUUCCAGCCCCAUUAUCCAUAGAAGCCUUCAGUGGGAACUCUCAGACUUGGUGCUGGUUCAUUCCUAAGACUGGCCUGUUGCUGUGCUUUGGAGUUAGCCUAGCUAGUCCUACCCAGUGCUGAGGGUAUACAUACACACACACAUGUGGCAUGAUCUACCAGCCCUAAGGCAACAGUGUGUUUUCUUUAAACAGUAGAGUAGGUUUCCUGUAUGUACCUAGCUGCCAGAGGUUGCUGCUGUGACCUAGAAAUAGCUGCUGCCCCAAGCCUUGAUCCACAGGUUUUUUUUUUUUAAAGAUUUAUUUUUAUUUUAUGUGUAUUAGUGUUUGCCCACAUGUAUGUCUGUGUAUAACAUGCAUACAUGGAACCCACAGAGGCCAGGAAAGGGCACCAGAGCCCCUGGAACUGGAGUUACAUAUUCACAAAACCAAGAUGGUUCCUUCCAUGUGAAACCCUUCUAAGAGAAUCAUCAAAAAUUACUGUAUUUCAUUGGUGCCUACAUUUCUAGAACAGCAGGCAGAAAGGGGUGCAUUGUAGAGAAUGGUGAUAAGAUAGCUUCUGGAGAACUCUGGGGCCCCAGGCCCCAUGGAUAGAACCCUGCCAGGGAGCUUUGAAGCUGUACCGUCCCUUCAAGAUGUUCCUGGCAGGCGGAUUUCUGAGUUUGAGGCCAGCCUGGUCUAUAGAGUGAGUUCCAGGACAGCCAGAGCUACACAGAGAAACCCUGUCUCAAAAAAAAAAAAAAAAAAAAAAGAUGUUCCUGGCAUUAACAGGGUCCAAAGCAGCCUUCCCAGCCCCAGGCUGGGUCCUAGGAGAACCUAACUGAUUGCAUGGGAAACCUCAGUCAUUUACAUAUUCAUUUAUUUAUUUCUUCAUCAAACAUUCACUGAAGGUUCCUGAUGUGCUCUGAGUAGAUUAAGCACAGAAUAUAAAACACUGAAUGGAAGUGGUCAGUAUCUGCCCUCAUGGACCUUGAAUGGAAUUGACAGAGAAAGUCAGUAAACUUGUUACCACAAACAUGCGGUUAUACAUUAAAAAUGAGGGAUGGGGGUGCAGUUCUCCAUGGUUCAGUCUGAAGCUGAGAAAUAGCCUAGGCACGUUUCAGCCUAAAAUCAGCCCUAGCUUGUGAAGGUGAAAGUCAGAGGAGAGCUUAGCACGUUUAAAGAUGACGCCAAGAGAAUGUUACAGGAGCUGGGCACCUUCGGCAGAUCGACUAUUCCCUGGCUUUGUGACCUGGGCCCCAGACUUGAUCACUCUAGUUUCAGUUUAUCUCUAAAUCAGAAAUGGUAGAUAGUAUUCAUAUGUCAGAAGCUGCCGUGAGGAUUAGUGAAGUUAUAUGUAUAAAGCCCUCAGCAUAAUGCCUGAGAACUCUUAAGUAGUAUUAGCUCAGGAUUAUUCUUUAGACUGACAUUGUGCUCGGAGUGAGCAUGUUUUCUCCUUAAACACUAGAGUGGUGGUUCUUUUGAAAUACCCAGUUGGUAAAAUCGGGACUCUCCUGUUACUCCUGCCCCUAGGACUCCUUCUGGAUGCAUGGGCAAGCUCUAGUGAGGCCUAGUACUCAGAAGAAAAGAGAAGGCUUUCCUCUACCCAUGCUCAGGAUGUUGUAGAGUUUUCUGGCUUCUUUCGGCUCCAGGAGCCUGUGUCUGUCAUAGAACAGCUUGGCUCAGCCUAGAACCGGCACUCAGAGCUACCUUUUGGAGAUGAGUACAUUGUAUAUGUAUGCAUGUCCAUCAUUUGUGUACACAUUUAUUUGUAGGGCACAGCUAAAAAUCUCCAGAAAUAUCCUGGGGAAGAUAAAAUUCUUUCUAGGCUUCAUGGUAUCCUAGUGGGGACCACCAAAGCCUAACUUCCUACCCAGAGUCUGAGGAUGGUAAGGUCAACUGGUUCCAUUGUUUCCAGAGCGCUCACAGAAAUCGCCAAUCUUUAUCUGAGUUAGCUUAGCCCCACGAGCCUUCACAUGGGGGUGAAGAAUGAGUUAUACAACUAGGGGUCCCAGGGUUGGAGAGACAGACAAAACAGAGGAGAAUGGUUUGUCCUGGAACUCACAGAAGAGAGCAUCCUGCUUCUGCCUCCUAAGUGCUAGGUCUGCAUCUAGUCUACCUUCUGUCAAAGCUAGUGGGCUUCUUUCUAGCCUCCCACCUUCCCUUAACAUAAUAUAAAAGCACAUUCCUUGGAAUCCUUGGAAUCCACCCGUCCCCCAGCAUUGAGAAUAGAAUUAUAGAAUUUUCUCUUUCUCUCUCUCUCUCUCUUUGUAUGUGUAUGUAUAUGUGUAUGUGUAUGUAUACACACACGUUCUUAAUGACAUUUUCUAAAAUACUGUUGUAAAGUCUUGAAGUAAAAAUUCCACUGGUAGUGGGGCCACAGCGAGAAGAAAAAAAAUUCCAUUGGUGUGUUAAUCUGACAGUGCUACAUAAUAAAAGAACACACAUCUAACAAACCUAUGAUGGCUAAUAUAAAACUCUUACAUAUUAGCCAAGAAGGUCUGGCAGUUUAAAAAAAUGUAUAGACCUGAAUUAAGAUCAUAGCAGGAUGCAAAAACAUAUACAACCUGGGUGAGCCUCAGAGGUGGGCAGACGGAGGGCUUCAUUUUCUUUUAAAGAUGGCAUGCUGCUUGGCUCAAUUCAUGUAACAUUGCUAUAAUGCCAUGUGUGGCAGUAUAUGCCUUUAAUCCCAGCAUUCAGGGGCAGGGGCAGGGGCAGGGGCAGGUGAAUCUCUGAGUUUCAGUCAGGGUAUAUAAUGAAACCUUGACUCAAAGGAACAAACAAAUUUCAGUGACGUACAGGCUAGUAAUUGCCAGGGGAUCAGGAAAGUAGGGCUGGAAAGCCUGAGGUACCAUAAAGUGGCUGUACAUAGGGGCCCUUGAGGCCACAGAAACAUUCUGCAUUGGUACUGUACCCUAAGCUUGAUACGUUUCUAUAGUUCUAAGUAUGUUGCUGGAGGAAACUGGUCAAAGAGUAUAGGGAAUCUCUUUGCUAUUGUUUACAGGCAUAUGUCAAUCUGUGGUUACCUUAGAAUGGAGUGCUUAAAAAGUUACAUCUCGCUUAAGUCAGUAGUACACUUAAAGAUACCAAGAGGUGAAUUAAAAAAUGUAAGAGGAAGAUAGGUGGGUGGGUAAAGAGUUAAACAAUAUAGAGACUUUCUAGUUCACUUGAGCAUUGGGAACAGCGACUUCUCCUUAUGAAUGGACGUUUUCUAUUUACCAAGGUGAUUCUUCUUUCAUCUAAAAUAUCAGCACAAUAAGGAAGGUUACACACAGGUGAGUUAUGCUAAGUCUUGUGGAAAAUGUGGCAUGUCCCAUGUUUCUGAAGCACCUGGAGCCACCCCUGUACCUCUGUAGUCUGACCUCACCCCUACCCCCUCAUCAUGGUAGGGCGAUUCUUCUGUCAAGGUGAGAAAGGCAAUGAUUUCUAAGAUUAUGCUCCCAUUCUGAAUAACCAUAAGGGGCUGCAUCUGCCUUGCUUCUGACACUGAUGCUAUUCAACCAGACUUCCCUCUCCACGGCCUUGCCAAGCAUGGAGAAUGUGGGUUGUAGGUGAUGAAAGGUAAGCUGAUGCCUUGUGAUGGAAAAUGCAUUUAAGGAGCACAGCAGACAACCCAUGUCGAACACCUUUCUACAUGGUUCCAUAUUAAUACAUUUCACCUCUGAACAACUCAGGAAGAAUGUUCUUUUAGUAUGAUUUUAUAGACCGAAGGUCUAGAAUGAAGGAAGAAGUGGUGAAGCCUGGAUUAAAAUUUGGUUUAUAGCUUCAGGACCUGCUUUUUGACCAUGUAACAUUUUAGUUGCACAUCCUGAAAUAGAAGCACCAAUCAAGUAGUGGGUGUGGCAUUCCUCCCAGCCAUGGACAAGGUUGGAAAAACAUAAUUGUCCCUGGUGGCCCAGCUGAGAAAGGGACUGAGUCCUUGCUUUACAGAUCAUGCUGUGGAGCCAUUUUUACCUGUAUAGAUUAUAAUAGCACUGUCUGGUGCACCCCCUCCUUUUGGUGACAGAAUUUAGGGGAGAGACUGGGCUAUAUGUUAAGAUUAUGGUACUUUUAAAAGUUUUUUUGGGGGGGGCGGGAAGGGCAAUUUCUAGGGACUGAACCCAGGGCCUCCCACAUGCUAGCUAAGUGUGCUGAACUCUACUUGUACUCAAAACCCAAAAGACAAAACCUCUAACCCUUUGCCUUGAAUUACACAUUGUUCUCCUGUUUUCUCCGAAUGUGAUAAAUUGUCUUACGAUGGCCCUAAAGCAUGAUUAGAUAUGUACCCAGAUGGCUCCUGUGUCUGGCCAUAACAUACUCUUUGGAUGUUGCCUUAUGAGGGAGCCUCUAAGAUAAGUUCUCAUGGUCCCUGAACAUGGUUAGCUAUUGAGGACUAAGUCAGGAGUUAAGGAUGUGUGUCACUCAUAGCCAUAGCCAUGCUUAGCUCACAGGCCAGUCUGGGAGCCACUCACUAGUUGAUACAUUGUGAAUGAACACUUCAUGCCACCUGGGUUUUGAUAAUGUACGAAGAAGCCAUGACACACAGAAGGACAUCUCAUAAAGUUAUAUAAUAACACCAGCAGGACCAGUAUAGUUCUAAGUAGAGCCUGGAAACAGACACAAAAUCAGGAAAUACAAUCAAGAUAGCUGUUAAAACCAGCAGAGCAAAGAUGUAAGUUUAGUGUUGAAACAACCAUAUAACUGUGGAAAAUAAGUCGGCUUUUUAACUAUUCCAAAUCCAGAUAAACAAAUAAUAUAAACAUAAAGCAUGAAAUAAAAGAUGAUAGAAAACACGGGAGACUUCAUUAAGACAGUCACACAGUGAGCUUAUUUCCAGAUCUGAUACAAACCCCUCAAAUAACCAGACUGAAAGAACUGACUUUGUAAAAAAAAAAAAAAAAAAAAAAGCAAUAUCCAAGAAACAGUGGGAAAAAGUGUUUUUAAUGACCCAAACCAAAUGUUUUAGGUAUUUAUAAAGGAUAAAACCCUCAUGGUGGAGAGAUGGCUCAGUGAGUAAGAGGGCUUGGCAUGCAAACAUGAGGACCUGAGUUAGGAUCUCAGCUCCCAUGUCAAAAGGUGGGUGUAACUGCAUUCCCGCCUGUAACAGUACCUGUUGAUAGAUAGCUAGGAGGAUUGUUGGGCCUUACUGGCUGCCAGCUCAGGUCCAGGUUCAGGGAGAGACUCUAUCUCAGAGGAGUCAGGUAGUGAUAGGUCAGGACACCUGAUGUCCUCCUCUGGCCACUCCAUGUGCAUGGGCUCCUGCACAGCACACGUGUUCUCCCCACAUGCCCCCCCCCCAUCCAUGGACACCGCCCCCCCCCCCCCAGAUAAAAGAAAACCAAAGCUGUAGCAUACGAUGCUUUAAGUCUUUCCAAUUAACAGGCCCAUCCAUAUGUACUCUUGUUGUCGGGAUCUAGGGAAACAGGCAUAUUUGGGCAGCAUUUACAAUAGUAUAGGGUCUGUGAGGCAUUAUCUACCUAAAUCCCAUUUAAAAUAGGCCGAAGAGACAUCUUAAAGUGAAUCCAUUUGAAAUAAAAAUCAAUACAUUGUGAUAAGCAGAUGAUUGGAAGGUUAUCUUGAAAAAGUGUUAAGUUAUAAAAAGAUUUGCUCAUAUAUAAUAACACUAAUGUCUGCAGACACACACUUUUAGAAAAAUAGCAAAUUGAAAACCUUUAUUUUGUAAAGCACUAUGCAGUACCAUCUUGCAGAGAAAGGAUGUUGUUGCAGAAGUAUGGCAAGGCCUGGCUGAUUUUGAGAGGGGCUGCCCUGAAUCUUCCAUGACCUCACCAACUCUCCCUUAAAAUGCUUAUCUAGAAUUAGCCUGGCUCUUCUUUUCAAUAGAUAACUGGUCUAACUGUCUGAUUUUUCCAUGGAGAAAUUCAUCAGCAAAUCUCUUUCCAACUUGAUGAAUUCUUCUAUAAGAUUUAUAGUUUCUCUUCAUAAGUGAUUUGCUUUGUGUGUGCUUAAUGUUGUUUGGUGGACAAGAGCAGCCUAGAAGGAGCUCAGUCAACAGAGAUGCCAGCAGGGAUAACAUGGAUGGGGAUGGGGAGGCACAGCCAUGUUCAAUGGGGAGAGCAAUUUCAGAGGGAACUAAUUUCAUAAGUGGUCGGUUCAUAAGUGAAUACACUUGAAUGGAUAAUCACUAUUUUUAGCUGCUCUAUACAUUCAUCAAUAGGGGACUUGUUCCAUAAAUCAUGGCAUAAUCAGAGGCUCUGCAGCUGUUAGUAGAAAGGAUGCUUGCUGCUUGUCUGAGUAAAGCUCUAUCUUCGAAUUCAUGUCCAUUGGUGCAGAGCGCCCAUGCUAAACGUGCAAAGUUUCAUUUGGCAUGGCCUCUGGGACAUAUGUCUCAGUCCCUGGCCACUGUGUGCUGUCGGACUCCUGAUUUCUGCAUUGUAUAGUAGCAUCCUUGGGAAUGUUCACUUUCUUCAUAGACUAUCCUUUGGAAGAGAGUCUGGGUCCACCAAUUUAUUAAAGGUACCUUUAGGAAGGUGGUUUUUUAACACCUAGUUUAGCAUUCCUAAUCCUGCACUACCAUCUACAUGACUUUGCCAGAUACUGUUGAGUUUACGUGUUGACUAGAAAUGCGCCUGGUUCCAGGAAUACAGCUAACAACCUGAGGAGAAUAGUGAGCACGUUCUGUCUGGAAAAAGCCUGGCCCAGAGCAAAGGCCACAUCCCCCUUACAACAUCCUGGAAUCCCAGCCACGAGAAAAACAGCACUGUCACCUGCUCACUUGAAUGUGCAUAUAUAAGUAAAACUGCUACUCAGAGUUGCAACAUAUCGUAACAAGCCAGUCCUGUGCAGACAUCUGCAAGACUACGGCACCUACCUGUACAUAAGACACACGUACAAGUAUACAAGAAUGUGUGCCACCCAUGUCCAAAGGAGGCACAGAGACAUGUAUCUUUGCUUAUAUAAAGUCUCUGGGAAGACCUAGCAGAACUAAAAACAUUUAGGAGAAGAAACUUGGGAAUUAGGGUUGGGGUAGGAGACCCUUAGUUUUGUGUUUUUGUUUUUCUUUGCCAUAUUCCUUUCUGUACCCUAAUUUUCACUGUUUGAUUUGUGCAUGUAUACACAAGGAUGUGUGGUGCAUUUGUGGUAUUUUUUUUAACAUAAUACUAGUAUAAAAGGUUUGCUCUGAUGUGCAGUGCAUUUUACUGUGAUGUUUGCUUUUUUAGCACAACAUUAAUACUUUACAAAAGUCUUGUUUGGACAUAGCAGGUGUAGUUCCAGAUCGGGAUUGGCUGUAGGCAGCCACAGUAUGCAUGCUGGGUGGACAGCAUGCCUUGGAGCUGGGAGUCUCUGGUUCAUGUCACUCUGGAGCAGGGGCUGCUCUAGCACAAAGAAGGUUUUGAAAGGCAAAGGCAGAGCCAGAGUCAGGGCAGGCUCUGGGCAGGCUCCAAGAGAGCCAGCAACCCUCUGCUGAAGGGUACCCUGAACCCCAUUGCACAGGCGGGCACCUCCUGUGAAGUGAGACUGCUACACAAGUCUCGUCAUUAUAGACUUUUGAGUGGAGUGAUUCUGAAAGAAGAGAAUGAGUACGGCGUGUCCUACUGUGCCUCAUUAAAUAUGGAAGUUUUUAUGUAACUUUCCUCCAUUUCAGGUAAUCUCAAAUUUGAUAAAUGAAGAAUGACAGCAGUUCAUCUUUCAGUUCAUUUGUGCCUCUAUUGAUCUAAUUGAAUGUUUUCUAUACAAAUUUAUUUUUAAAUCUAUCUUAGAUCUUAGUCUACAACCACAUUUCAUAUUGCCAAAACUGCAUUAGGGAGGGCCAAGUUAUCUUCACCAUUGAAACAGGUCUGCUAGUUUGGCUCUGUCUGUCCUGUGGAAAUGACACAAUGUUGACCUAAGAGGGGGGUCCUCACUUCUCCCUACUGAGUCCCCAUGGUUGGGGAAGAAGAAGCUGUGAGCCCACCCCCAGACCUGCCCACUCAGGACAUGCCCAUGUUGGGCUUGUCUGUGGACUCUGCCCUUGGCAUCCCUGUUGCCCACCUGGGCUCUGGCAGAGAAGUUGGGCGGGAAGAGGCCAGCCGAGUACCCGCCAGUAUAAGAGGAAACGGAGAGAAACAGCUCCAGUCAGCCCCAGAAGGGAGGCCUGGAAAAACUCUGCAGCUGGAGCAAACACAAAGGACUUUUCAGAUCCUGCAGUCAAGGUGCCCAGUGCUUUUUUUUUUUUUUUUUUUAAUACAGCUAUUAGGGUGACAAGCCUUUCCAAAGGCCAGCAGUUGGCGAGAGUUUCCAGGAAGCUGGUCUGGCAUGGGGCUGGGAUCAUAGCAACUUUUAACGAGUGAAGUUCAGAAGGAAAGAGUCAUCAGGAAAGGUUUAAGGUUCAACAAACUUUUUGAAUUAUUUUGCAAAAAAAGUUCUGGCUUUCCAAUUCAAAGGCAUGUUUCCCUGUGAUGGUUUUAAGCCAGAGCUUAUUUCAAAGGCAACACAGACUGCACGUUUCUAAUUCAUUCCCUGGAGAUAUUUGCCUAAUCCUAGAGACAAGCUUUGCAAGUGCCAUCCAGUGCCUGGAGACACUAGAGCCAUCCUACUAUCUUUUCAAACAGCCAUCCACCCACGUGUCUCUCCCCUCUACCAGUUUCUGUGGUUGGGAGUACACAUAUGCACACACCUUCUCUAAGCAGGAAGCUGCUCUUUGCCAAAAGUGAAUGGAAUUCAGAUUUCCAGAGGGUAUCCUUGGUCUCAAGCUCCAACAGCCAUCUGACGAAGAAAGAUGCUAGUGUGCGCGCUGGGGCUGUGAAGAGAGGGGCUUCCGUGUCCAUUCAAAUCUUUCUGGGCCCCAAGAAAAACCAACAACUGGCUGUGCUCUCCCUAGCCCCACCCAGCCUCAGUCACAUUCCUUCCCUUCCUGAGCCCACCCUGGGUGGCCCCACAAACCAGCUUCCACUCCUCCCUUCCCACUAGUGGGGAGACCUAACUCAUGUACUCAUCGAACAGCCAACAGUGAAAAUGAAGGUCACACUGCAAGCCCAGAACAGCUUAAAAGCAGAGAAGGGUCCUCCCCAAUGUCUGUUCUCACCCCAGUCAGAGGCUAUUCCCUUUUUCUCUGUCUAGCAGCCCCUAGGACUAAGCGUUCAUACCUUCCUGUGCUUGCUUCCAGGAAAUCCUAGCCUACUUCUGCCUGUAACAUUCUUGGUCCGGGAAAUGAAGAGGCUGCUGUUUGGGCUGCUGUAGCCUUCGCUACUAGAAUGUUCCAACAUAUUAGGGAUCUCUAUCCCUACCUAAGCCUUCCAAGCCCCAGGAUCCAGCAUCCCUGGGACUUGUACAUUUAUACAUGCUGACAUGGUUUUGAUAAUGAGUCACAGUAGGGAUCAGCAGUGACAAGGUAGACUGGCUGGUCCUAAGCCUAAGUUUCUGGGAUUUGUACUUGUCCAGCCAGGGAGGGAACAUGUGGAGAACCUUCUGCAGCUGUCAGAAGGAAUGAGUGACUAUGGUGGACAUUUUGGUUCUGUGCUCAGCAAGAUACCUAGGGCAGAGACUUGGCUCAAAGGCUGCAAAUCAAAUCCUUUGAUUUCAAAUGAGACUAUUUUCAAUGCCAUAGUCUCCUGGAAGCAGGAUUAUUUCUCCUGAGAUCAGUUCUGGAGGCGAUUGAGGCUUUGCCAUAUGGGCAUUGCUCUCUCACCUGGUUCUGGUUGCUACCAGGUGCUCAGCUUGUCUAAUUACAGUUGACUGUCUCUACUGUCUAUGGCUCUAAGGCCCAGUCUGAUCCUCUUGCUUGGUCAAAAGUAGUGUUGUCCUAGUGGAUUUUCUGGGUGUUCUGUAAAGUGUUAUUAUGGUUUUACUGGCCAGCCUUACUUUCUUUCCUUGGCCAGUCUCAGGUCUCAUCUGUAAGUAUCUGCAUCAUAACCUCAGGUCUACCAACUUCUUCCUGGCAGAGUCUGUAGUGGGCUUGUCCUCAUCACCUUGGAAGGAUCUUCCUGUUCCAGUCCUAGGUUUUGUGCUACUUAAGAAAAUGCCCCAGGUAACUAGCAGUAAUGCAGCCAUUUGAUCUAGCCCUGCUGGAGGUGACUGACAGAACCCCAUACAGAGGAGAUAGGUUCCAUCAGUAAACAGAACAUAGGGGUAAGAAUUGGGCCCGCUUUCUGGCUCUGGUCAUGCCAUUAGGUGGCCGUAUACUCUCUUAUCUCUGAUUGACUUCCAUUCUCUUGUCUUUACAUUAUAUGACACCUCCAAGGAUGUUGUGACCCAAACCCAGACCGCAUGGUCUCCUGAGAUCCUGUGAUGGGGCCAUUGCCCAUUGUUGAGACAGUCUGGUAAAGAAAAGCCUGGUAGCAUGGAGUAUGCAAAGCCUUAGGGAAGAAUAACUGUUUGUUUGAGACAGGUCUCAUUUAGCUCAGUUUGUUCUCAAACUCAUUGUCACUGAGGAUGACUUUGAACUUCUGAUCUUCUUGCCUGAAGCUCCUGAGUGCUGGGAUUACAGAUAUGUACAACUAGACCUAGUUUAUGCCGUGUUGGGGGUCAAACCCAGGGCUUCAUAAAUGAUAAGCCAGCAGCUCUCUAACUGCUAAACCAUAUCCCCAGAGGGAAGAAUAUCUUCAGUGAGGCCCUGAGCCUCUGGGCUGGACUACUUUACCCCUCCCCCUGUGCACAUAGCAUGCUAAGUUCAGUCAAGCCUGGAGCCUUUUGUCAAGCAUUGCUCCACUGAAGGUUGACCAUGCUACCCUCCCCCCCCCCCACACCCCAGGCACCUGCAUCUGGAGCCCACACUCCUAGCUGGUAGAGUUCAUAGGGUAGGUUUUUGUUUUCUGAAAAAGACUAUUUCAGUGUUUUGAAUUAGCAGAGUUUCAAUUUAAUUUAACAAUUUCAAGCUCGGCGGUGGUGGCACAUGCCUUUAAUUCUAGCCUUUUAAACUGCCAAGAGGCAGAGGCAGGCAGGUUUCUGAGGCCAGUCUGCUCUACAAAGUGAGUAUUCUAGGACAGCCAAGGCUAUAAAGAGAAACCUUGCCUCUAAAAACAAACAAACAAAUAAACAAACAAACUCCAUAUCCAAACCUGAGGGAAAUAAAAGUCUGGCUACCUCCAAAGGAGGUAGACUUAGGCAAGAGAAAAAGAUCUUGGAGUAGAGGGCAGGGUGUUGGCUCACACAUAUGGCCUAAGUGUAGUCAAGGCCAGGGCAAGGGGACAGGCCCAGAACAAAUGAGCACUUUAAGUCCCAGUAUGACCUUCGCCCUACCAUCUUCACCUCAGGUACAGAGACCAGCUGCCUAGGAAAUUAAUGGUGGGGCCCAGAGGACAGCUGCUUAGUGCUACCUACUUCAAUGAACCUAGUUCUGUUGGGGCAGCAAGUUUAGGCCCUAAAGCAGGAUAGGUAAGAACCCUGCCUGAGAGUAUGUGUUUGUAGAGAGCUCUAUGUUCUCUAAGCCUCAUCUUUCACCCUUCUUACCUGCCUACAACCCCACAACAUAAAUACCUCCUAACUACCUUGCAAAUGCAGCCUCAUUUCUGCCUCAGUUCUCCAGUAGGGCACCAUAAGCCACUGUUAGGACAGAGUAAUACUUAGAGUUUGAUUUUAUAUGAGGGCUUACAGCCAGAGUCCUCAGAGAGAAGCCAGGUAGAAUAAAAGUGAUCCCUGAAAACAUCUUGAAUUACACCCUUCCCCAGUAAUCUCUCUCAGAGCCCUCUGAUCUCUUGCUUCUAAGUUGUUCUCAUGUCCCCAAAGAAGAAAAAGCUCUCAGGGGACCUGCCAAUUGUCUCUGGACUUCUGGGGCAGCAGCUCCAUGUGUGACGAGAUUACGUAGGCAGAAUAUCUAAGCAGAUGGUGAAGCCAGGAUUAUGGAGCUAGAAAUGCUUGGCUGAGUAGAGACUUAGACUAGACCCCUAUCUCUUGCACGCGCCGGACUCGCCAGCAGUAACAAUGCUGCAACAGGAUCCUUCUGCACACAUUUAUUGGGAGAGCUUGAUUGCAGAGGCGAAGAGACCCCGAGCCCAGAACUGGUGCUGCUUAUAUAGGCCUAGGAGAGGCGUGUCUCACACCUGGAUUGGUUAUGCACUAAGCCUCAUUUGCAUGUUCCUCAUCUGAUUGGCUACUCUCUCUCUGUACCUCACAGAGCCUCAUUAUCAUACCUCAUUUGCAUGUCUCACAUCUGAUUGGUUAUACUCUCAAAGCCUCAUUAUCAUGCCCGGGCCAGGCAGUGUCUUUGCAAAAAAUUUUACUGCAUGUGUACACAUUGGUUGUUUGUCCAAACUUAUGCGUGGUGGCCAGCAGUAGUGAGCGCCACUCUGCAACAGCACAUGUGGCUUCCCACACCUAUCUACUUCCCCCCAUUCUCUUCCAUGUUUCCAAGAUGUCACCCAGAUCACCCAUAGAUCCAGCCAUGGGCUUAUCGUCAGACCUCUGCUAACCAGUCAUUGCCAAGGAGAUGCGUCUCAGGUAUGGCUUUUGCCAAGGACACCUGAACUCUCCUAAAAGGAAUACAAAUAUAGGCAUAAAUACUGAGUUGGAGGCUUCGGGGCACCAUGAGAAGCUUAAGAGGAAAGGACAUCCUAGUUCCUAGUCUCUGAGAUCUAGAGAUGCUGGCAUGGCCUGGAAGCCAGUGAAGGCUCCUGGCUUCCUUAUGUGGCAAUGUCAAUCACGGUAUACUUAACAGGCUGAAUUCACAGAAUUCUCAUGGCAGAAGGUGAUCAGAUGACCAGUGCCCAAACCCACCAUGGACUGUUCAAAUCUACCAAUGGUCAUAAACUCUCACGUAUUACUGAGAGUGCCAGCUUACUACUUACUCUCAGGACUUCAACCUGACCUUCACCAAAGGAGACGUAGGCCCCCAGUGACAGUGUGUCCUAGAAUGAGCCUGGCUCUUCCAGUAUUUCUUGUGUGAUAGUAGCAAGUUUCUGCCCUUCCUGAACCUUUAUUGUCCCCUUUUGUGAAGCUGAACACUGACCCACUAAGUUCUCCAGCUUACACAGAUAUACAUUAUGUAUAUCAGCUAACUAUACCAUCACCAACUCUAGCACCAGAAGUGCAGCACAGGCUAGCACUGAAAAACUAGUUUGUAAAUACUGUGGCUACAUUUGGGUUUAUCUUUUCAACAGAGAGCCUGCUUCCUAUCACUUGCAGGGCCAAAGGAAAGCAGGAUAUAAAACUUACCCCUCUCCUUAGUCUGUCUGAAGGUAGGUGCUUUUGAGUAAGCAAGUCAGCCCAAUGAUGAUGGGACCAAAUAUUGAAGCACACAGAGGAACCUUUAACUGCCAAAGGCACAGUCCUUGGAUCCCAUGUCCGACUUCCUCAUCAGAGUUAUGGGUGCUAGUCUCCUGCUUGUAUCUCUAAUUAUAGGAGUCAAAACAGCUCACAAGCCCCUUCCCCAGCUACUUCAGGCUUUAGUCAGGACUUGUAGCCUUCCCCUGCUGCUACAUAUUCCAGAUCAUCCCAGAGCUCAGUCCUCUUAAGUCUAAUUUUAUCCUGUUUAGGACAGCACUUGGGAUGCAGCCUGACCCAUUUGUAGCCCAUGGAAAAUCAUUACCUGGCAGUUUUUAAAGCUGUCAGGUCAAAUAAGCAAAACCUUAUGGGGUCUCCAGUCACAAAGGGAUACUUUAUACUUUCUCAAGUAGUUCCCCAAGUCAGGUAUAUGACUGGAUACCUGUCCACAUUUGCUAAAAUGUAUAUACCAACAGAGGAAGAUACAUUCUAAAUGUGUUAAUACACAAAGAGAACUGUAGCUCAUAGACAUUAAGAAAACUGCUUUAGGGUCCUGUGAGCAGGAUUGGAUGACCCAAGCCUGCCAGGGUUUCCUGAAAGAUGGUCCGUAGCCACUGUGAGCCCACAGCAAAUGCAAGCUUCCCAGGGCUUCCUGGAAGACACUGUUCUUAGCUAUUGCGAGCCCACAUCAGACCAUAAGCAUAUGCAGAAAACUACAGUAAGAGGACAGGAAGGUGACCGAAAUGGCUGGAGAACCAAUCAGGCCAUUGUUCCGCAGAGCCCUCAUAGGGCCAUUACAAAGGACAUUUUCCUAGAAACUGAUGCAUAUAUAUUGAAGCAAAGGCCUUACAGAGCCAGCCAAGCCAGCCAUGAGGAAGAACUGAGGGAGCCUGCAUACCCCAGCCCUCAGGUCCUACUGGUAAACAGCAAUGAUAAUGAAAGGGUAACACUGGCCAAAGAGAACAACCUGAAAGCUGACCAGUUGAACAGAGGACAGUCCAGAGAAUAACCAUAUGCCAACAGCGAGCUGAUUUAUAGUGACACUGAUAUGACAGGGCAGUGGGAGAAGGAUGGUGCUGUAUCAGACUGGAUGUCCAAGUGGAGGAAAAAGCUUAUCUUGACCUUGACUUCACACAGGACACAAAAAUCGAUUCCAGAUGGACUGCAGAUCUACAUGUGAAAGGUGAGCUUUUAAAGCUUUAGAACAAACCAGAAUAUCUUUAUGACCUUGGAGUAGUCAAAGUUUCUUAAGUAGGACAUAAACAGCACUAUCCAGAGAGGAAAUGUUUGAUUAACUGGACCAUGUUAAAAUUAAGACCUUCUGUUCAUCAAAAGACACCAAGAGGGGGCAGGACAGUCCGCAAGCAGGGCAGUAUUUACAAUACAUGUAUCUGUGUAUCUGACAAAUGACUCACACUUAAGAACACCCAGGACAGAGAGAGAUAAACUUGUGCCUGAAGAAGAACAGCUCUCAGUAUAGGAUAUAGAUGUCUUACAGAGAUCUAUAAAGAAAUGAGAAUAUAGAAUGGGGCUUAGCUCACUGCAAAUUACAGAUACCACUCUGAUGUUAUGAGAAGCCAGGAUGGCUAAAAAGGAAAUAGUGAAAAAUUCCAAGUGUGUGUGAGGAUGUGGAAAAAAGUGGAAUAUUCACAUGCUGCCAAGCAGGGGUAAAAGUUGGGGUGACUGCCAUGGGAAACAGCUGAUCCCGCAAUGACCCAGCACUUCUCGGCAUACAAUUAGCAGAGAUAGCCAUAACUUUUACCAGACACAUAUAUGUAGAAUAUUCUUAGUAACUCACUACCCAGAUCUGCCCAGUGGUCAUGGGUAGUAGAAUGAAAGAGCAAAUCACAGGCCACUCAGAACAGAGUGUCAACGAUCAAAAGGCUCCCGAGACCACUGUUUUCUUCAGCCUCACUGGGAGGGGUGGGUGGUUCUCAGACAUCAGAGUGAAUGAAAGUGCCAGAUACAUGUGUGUGCCGUGUGCGAUCUAGCCAUGUAGAUUUCAAACUCGGGCAAAGAAGGCUGUUGUGCUGGGAAGUGAGCUUAUGGUUUGUUCUUGGUGUGUCCAUGAUAGGAAAUGGGAUCUAGGGGACUCCCUGGGGAUUCUACUGCUUUCUUUGGAUGCUUGGCUCUCAGGUAGGGAGAAUGCAGUAGGUUUGUACUGGAAAUCUGUAUACGUUACUCUUUUGAUGUGUUCCCUUUCUACUAUAAGUAAGUUUGUAACCCAGUGCUCUAUAGAAGACAGUAUUUUCUGAGCUUUAGUAGAGACACAACACGGUACAAGCCCAGAGGGACUGGCCUUGCCGCCUGACUACCACCUUGUUUAGAAGGAUAUAUUACUCCAGUACCCCUGACCAGACCACCAGCAGUCCCUAUUGUUCAGUUUCCACUUCCAGCUCUAGGCAAAGCAAACAGAAGAUGUAUUUGAGGGGCUCUCUCUGUUUUUCAGAGUACCUUUCUUUUAUGGUAUCGGUGUAGUAUGUACUGUCACACUACUCUCCCUGGCUUCUCUGUCUCCCUCAGAACAAUUCUAGGAGGUUGCUGCAUCCCUUUUCAUGUGCUUAGAUGAAGGAAGUGAAACUAGGGAAGGUUAGGGGCACUGGGGGCUGCCUAUAGCUGGGCCAGUGCAGGCUGGGAGCCAGAUUGAGGGCAUUCGAUUCCCAGUCCCUCUCUUUCCCACUGAGCCACUGAGCCACUCCGCCUCGCUUUUAAUUUAAUUAGGAGAACAUUUAAUCCCCCGUGCAUUUCAGAGACGGGUUUGAGCCUGGCCGGGGCCUUGUGGGGCUCUGACAGGGAUCCUGUGACUCAUACAGCCUUGCACAGCCCUCCCGGGAGGGCUCUCAUGGGGCUUCUUUGGCACCUUAUGCAGACAGAGGUGGUCUGGAUAUUCACAGAAGACAGGACACUAGUCUGGAAAGACAAACUGGUCUCAUCUGUUCUUGACAAGUCCCCUUCCCUAUCCUCCUGGACACUGCCCCCAACAUGGCCCCUCCAUCUUCUCCCAUCAUCAUUUGCAGGUUGAGAAGCCAAGUAAGAGAAAUGGGUGCUCACUGAGGUACCACAGCAGGCCCUGAUUGUCUCCAGGCCCUGAAUAUCCCAGGCAAAGCAGUCCCAUCAGAAGAGCUAGCCCCCUAGUCCACUAAUGCUCCCCUUCCAGAAGGCAUAGGCUGGCCCCAGCCUCGCUGACAAACGCAGAAUUCAGGAGACAUUAGUAGUGAUGUGGAUGAAAGCCAGGCCACAGCGGGCCUCCCUGGAAAAGAGAAACUCGAACGUCUUGGCGUGAGAUUCUGCAGGGUCCAGGAGAAAGUUGAAGACAUGGAAAUUCUAAUUAACGCACGAGGGGCUGGUUUUGCUCAAAGAUUUUUGAAGCUGUCAUGUCAAAAGAGGCCCGGCAAGCACAUGCUCGCCCGGGAGGUGCUUGUGGGCACCUGGUGGGAUUCUUGCAAUGUCCUAGCCUGUAUUCUUACUUUCCCUCUGUCCUCUAGACUUUUCUCCACCCAUCUUGGUAAACUGGUGGCCCCUGAAUGUCAUCCCAGAGUGGGAUGGCAGGCUGGUUAGUAAAUAAAUGUUGAGGCUUCCAGUUGAAAAUGUCACAUCAAAAAAGUCUGAGGGCUCAGGAACCAACCUCUUGGAAGAAACCUUUAGGGAAACUACAUGGCAGAGCCAGGCUGAGCUAUAGGCUGCUGUGCUUGUGGUAGGCUUGGCAUUUGGGGAUGUUCAUCUUAGAUAUCCUUGUGCAACGGAUGGGGCAAUGGUUCCAGACAAGUUCUGAUUGAUUCAUCGGCUGGAGGGUGGGGUGAAGUGGCUGUAGGAGAAGCUCACUGAGGUCAAACCCAGACAUGCUUCUUUAGCGUUGAGCUAUAGGUGCUCAUGUCCUGGGCCCUGUGUAUGUCUCGGCAUCUAUGGGACGUACCUGGAGACCUUGCUUCAUUUCAGGCAAGGCUAAUGAUGUGCUUUCUGUGUCAGAGUAGGACUGGCAAUCUUAGGGUUCUUUCAUCCUGGAGUUUUGGGGAGUGCUGGAAAAAGAGUGGCCAUGAGCAGCCACAACACUCUGCUGCUUGCCUGACCCAGGCUAGAAUCAGGGAGCUUUGAUGAUAGCCUCAAGAUGAUGUGAGAGGCAUUCCUGGGGAAAGGGAGGACUGAGUAGACACUGGAAAGAUGUGCAAUUCUGAUGGCUACAGGACCGACAAGGACAUUCCAGCUGGUGGGAUGCAAAUGAGCCCUUGCCAGUUAAUCCCAGUAAGCAGAAUCCUGGAGACUUGCCCUAUUAGUUGUAAAGAUACUCCCCAUCUCUCGUGGCAGUGGGUCUCUAUUUCCUACGUGGCCCUUAGAAGUCUGGAGCAAGGCUUUAGAUAGAGGAUUCAUGUUGAGGGAGAUUGAGGAGUACAGGGCUCCCUUCCAGUGAUGUUAGAACCAGGAAGACAGCAUCUGACUGAAAUAUGUAUGCAACACCGAGGCCCAGAUAUCCAGAUCUGGACGAUGCCUGGGGCUUACUUGAGGAGCUGCUGGUACGUGCCUGUUGAGCUGGGGUCAGAGAAGCAAUAUUGUCUUCUCAGCAUCCUUCCCUAUUUACCUCUCUGGUUUUCAAUAGGCCUGCACCUUGGCCUCUCUGUCCCCAAACUAUCAGUGGCCAACCGGCUCUGAAAAGAGGAGCUUCACCCAGCCCCAGGGACCUUCCCAUAAUCAAGGCUACAGUGACCUCACCUCCCUAGGGCCCCUGGGCGGGGAGAGCUUGAGAUGGAAACAAAAUGUGUCUUUAUUUAUGCUUUUAAUUUGAAUUCUGGAACUGGCCCAGCAUGGUAAUACAUUUAACAUCAGUAAAAUGCUGAAGAAAAAUGGAUCUGUUUUUCUGCAACUGCUUCCCACCCACUCUGCUCCCUGCAAGACCCUAGUACACAUCUCUGUCCCUGGUAGACACGUACGAGGGUGUGUGCCUCUUUUUUCAGUGUAGGUUCAUAGGGCCAGCUGCCCACAGGAGCCAUGCUGCAUCAGUGAGCUGCUGGAGCCUAGCUUAAUUACAGACAUCAAUCAACAGGCUGACUAUGCAAGAGGCAAAGGAAUGCAGCCCUGGUGUGGGCACGUGGGCCCCUUACACAGUACCCAUGAUGGCCUAUCUGCUCCCCUAGAAUGGGGAGGGGUCUUGGUAAGGCCAGUAGUCCUGGGAGCACAUCAGGUUCUAGGACCCAGACACACACCAGGCCUAUGGUCAUGCUCUCUGCUAGGACUUCCACCAAGGAUGGCACUAGACUUCUACAGAUGUGGGUGUCUAAAUUCUUAGAUGCCUCAACCCUGACUCCAACUCUGCUUUGACCAGAUUAUAUUUUUUGCUUAAGCCUAUGAUCUCUCUAUCUCUACCUUAGGUCUUUUAACUCAGCCCCACCGUGGGCUCCUCCUUUCCUCCUUUCCCACCUUCCUAGAUUGGCUUGUUCCCAGCUGCUGCAUUUGGAAUAAGUUGGCCUAGAAAGAGUCUUGGUGUGUUCUUGGGUAGAGACUUGACUGGAUAAAGACUGUCCACCUACUCAGGUUCCAGGAGUGCUGGCCUGAGAAGAGCUGUGGUACCUGGAAAGAUGGUGACACACUAGGCCUAUAGAGACCAAGAAAGCAUCAUUCAUGUCUCUGAGGUUCUGUUACAGAUCUGUUAUCAGAUUUGGCCUAGUACUCUGAGCAGAGUCGUCUAAGUGGCUUAGGGCUGCUUCUAGAACAGAUAGACAGUAAAUGUCUGGCUCCAGGAGCUUUGAGUAUACUAAUACCAGCACAGGUGGCCUUUUGCCCCCAAAGGUGUGGUUAUAGGGCAUCUAUGGACUGAACUAUGGUCAUGUAUCACCAGUUUCCACCCUCCCUUGGGACCUCGUUGGUGCUCACAGUAGCUAGGAGAUGUGAGACACAUCUAUCAAGGUAGAUGGUUUGUUGAGAGCGCUACUCUCAUUGUAGCUGCUUCUGUGUCUGGAGGUUGCUCCAUGGCCAGAAGAAUAAAAUGGAAUGGAUACCAAUGAGAGGUGAGUGAUCAGGGGGAUAAGAAGGCUGACUGGUCUUUCUAGGCGUAGGCAAUUCCCUGAGGCCUGCUAUGGUUGCCAUGGUGCUACUUACUAUCCUUACUCCUAAGCAGGCACUGGCAUAUCCAACACCAGCCACAAGACACCAGUGUUUACACUUUGAGUUGUCUCAUGCCGUGGACUUGAUGGAGAGACUUAACCAUAGUGUAAGCUAUUUUUCUACCCUCUGACGCCAGCCUAUACCUGCCUAGCCUGUCUGGACUCCUGUUCCCACACCUCUGUUCCCGCUUGCUAAUGCAGCCAGCCUGUAAGGCUAUCUUAGGAGGGAGAGUGACCCCUGCUUCUCAAUAACAUUCUCGCUCUCUCUAAACCCAUGAACCCUCUCUACAUCUUACAAACCACGAGGCACUGCUAACCUCGUUUAAGUUUGGGUGGUCUGGGAAGAUAGUGGGCAUGCCUUGUUUGAUCAUAAUCAUUCCUCUGACAAGCCUGCCUUCCCCCAGGGUGGCCUCAACUUGGCUAUCUGGUUACUUAAGAAACCCCCAGCACUGUGAGUCCAAGUUUCUUCAGUCAUUGUAAAGUCAAGCCUGAAAUCUAGGCAUAGGCCAGAAGCGUUAUGACUACACAAGGUUAAGGACAUGAAUUUUAGUAGAAAGAGUGGAAGAGUCUCAGAAUGCGAAUCUCAGGAAAACUAAGAGCAUGGCAUUAACAUCCUGGCACAGAAACACUUUUCUAGAGGAGUGCCCCGUGGGGCAGUGGUCAGAAGCAGUCUGAGUGACCUGCCUCCACCACAUCGCUGCCUCUCCUGAGUUUUGGUAGGAACAUUUGAGUCACAUGUUGCAGAGAAAUCAUGGCAUGGCUGGGUACUAGGGUUUGUCCUGGUGAUGCCUUGAUGGGGGCCCAAAUGGGGGGAGAGGAUGGGCAUGUGUCCCAGGCCAGCUGUGCCUGGGGGAAGGCCAACUGGAAGGCGUAGAAAAUCAGCCAUUUCCUCCACCUGAAGGAGCCCCUGAGGACAGUAGUGGCAACUAGCAUCUGCCCCAUGGCUUUGGCCAAAAUCCCACAGGGAAAUGCUAAAAAAUAAUGUUAACUCUCUUGAAGGAGUGGUGGAGGGGUAGAGGGGAGGAAAACAACAACAACAACAACAACAACAAAACCAACCCAAGUUUCUCAGACGCUCAAAGCAUGCAAACAAGUGGAAAAUGAUCAGUCUGGUUUUCCAUAAGUCAAAACAAGAGGAUCAUGUUUCCAGAUUCAGUGGGAAAGCCCCUGCCCUUCUCUCCUGCCUGAGCCCUGAGGCCAGCCCCAGCAGCCAGUGUCCCCAGGUUCAUAAGGAUAGGCAGUGAGUUGUGGGUACUGGGUAAAUAGACUGCAUCCCAGCAAGAGGAUAAGCUUUGCCCUAUGCUAGGGCAGUUCCCUUGAGCCCCAGCCUUUGAGGGCAAAUGGACACUCACUGUGACACAUGGGUGAUGGGGGUCAGCAGUGUCUCCCCUUCCAGGUCCAGGUCCUCUGCAAAGCUGUUUGUUCUCAAGAAAUGGGGUGUGCUUACUUCCAGCAGUGUAGGGCUCUUCCUUACUGUGAAGAAGGUAUGGGGACAGCUCAUUAGGCUUCAAUAGAAACUUGAUCAUGAAGGGGAUCCAGAACUGGACAGAACUAGACUCAAAUGUCCACCCCAACCUGCUAUUGCUAUGGGAUAAACCUGUAAGCUCUCAAGAUCAGGUGAAGAGUGAGGACAGAGCUUGGAAGUUUUAGCCUUACCCAUCAGGUUGGUUUACACUGAGUGGAAUAAGUGAGUGGGCAUUCACUUAUUCCAUUCACUUAUGCCCAUUCACUUAUUGAUUGGUCCCCAGGUACCUGGGGACUUAGCCUCCCAGGGUAAACCAUAGAGGCUGGUACAUUCUCCCCAGUGUUGUAGCUGCCCUGGGGCUGAGUUCCAGGACUGAGUAAGGUUCUGCCCUAUGUAUGUUAAGUUCUAGGCCUCUCACCAGCUUCACAUAAAACAUUUGUGCCAAGAACAAAUGAAAGCACUGAUCUCCACUACUGUGCUAUUCACACACAUACACUGACAGAUCAGUGGACCAUGCAACAAAAGGUGCUAGUACCUCUGCUUAUCAGGAAUCACAAGCUGAAUUCCUUGUUCUGGUCAUGAUGCCUUAUUAACCGGGUUCUCUCUGAGGGAGGCCUCCAGACUGUCCCAAUAGCUGACUUCCAUAGCUCAGGGCACUGAUCCAGAUUAGUCUUCACAGCAUUUCCAGCUUACUAGUGUUUGCUCUCAACUCACUUCUCCUUUAAAGUAUCUAAUAUAGUAUUAAGUACUUCUGAUGAGUGGAAUAUUGAAAAAUUCACAGUGGUCCUCAAUUAUAGGAAUCAUCUGCUGCCCGGGACCCUGGCUUUUCUGGUAGCACAAAUGUGAGGUCAUAAACUUGGGCAGACUUCUGUUCUUGUCAGUUUUUCUUACUCUGCGACAUUCUUUUCUUUAGGUAUGCAGCUAUGCAUCUAAUGAUCAUUUUAGCAGCACAUGAGCCCAUAGCUUAGGUCUACCACAAUUAACUUUACUCAUCCCAUAUUUUAUGGAUGUUCAGUCUUGUAGUUUUAUGACAACCAGACAGUGAUGUAAUAUCCAUCUUCGUUGUUAAAAGUUGUUGAUAUACUGGGCAGGUGAGAUAGCAUGACUUUGGUAAUAUUAAUAAGUGUUUUUGGAUUGUUCUUCUGUUAAGUUGUAGCCAACUAUUCCUCCCCUUCAAUUUUGCUUGGCCUUUUAAGCAUGGAUAAACACUGAGGCUUUCUCAUUUUCAAAAUUGUUAUUAGUUCUUUGAGACUAUGAUCAACGAACUUUGAUCCUCAACCACCUUCUAACUUCUCAAUUUUGUAUCCUCUUGUUUUAAAAUUCAAUAAUUCAUCAACUUCAGUUUGUGCUCUCCAUGUAAUUCUGGGUGUGGGGGCUGUAAUACUGCAGUAUGAAUGACCCACCAGGAGUUAGAAUGUUAAGGAAAAACUCUCCUUUCCCAGGAGCCAUUAAUUGUCCAUAGCUUUUCAAGAACCUCUUGGGGUUCGUGAAAUUCUUGUACUCAAUGAUACAGUGUUGACUGGCUUGAUCUUGUGUAGGCAAUCAUGCAACUGUCCUGUCAUGCCCAGAAGUUAGUUUGUUCCAGUCGUCGCCUAUCUCUGGCUCUUACAGUCCUCCCAUCCCCUUUUAUAAUGGUCCUGGGCCUGUGAGAGGGGGAUGGUUUUCUCAUUUUCAUAUUCACUGACUGCUUCUGGCUUGUUUGGGAUUCUUCUUUCAGAAUUGCCCGUUAAUAACCUUUGCUUGGCAUUUCAAAGGAACUUUUAAUUCAUUAGAGAUAAUAACCUUGUGUUACAUGAAGCAUAAAUAACUUUCUUGGUCUAUGUUUGUCUUUUUAACACUCCGUUGUUUUAUCAUAAAGACUGUCUUGUUUUUUUUACAGUGAUGCAUUUACUUUAUGGAAUGGGUUUCCCACAACUACUACAGCAGUCUUUUACAUUUAUUUCCAAUAUAAACAUACAAAUGUGGGCAUACAUCUGUAUGUGUAUAUAAAUUUUAACACAUUUAGCAUUUAUGUGUAAUGCAAAGGAUGUUUAGAAGUCAUACAAUGGAAAUACAAGAACACUAUAUAUAGUCUUUUAAAAAUCUGAAAUAGAACAUAAAACUAAAAAAAAAGUUAAGAAAACUUCAAAAUCUCUAGGACUUUAGAUUUGAAAGAGAAUUGAGAUGCAACACCGAAAACUUAAUCCAAGUGGGGGAGGGGACUCAAUUUUAUUAUAAUUAGAAACAAAUGAGUUAUUCCUGCAACAAGUGCAUUUUUCUAAGUAGCAACAGAAGCAAGGAGGAACAGGCUCACUGACUGUUAAAAUGCUGUGCUUUGUGAAGGCAAUGAGACAAGUCACAGAUUUACUGCAUAUCACUUAAUGGAAUCAAGGGCCUUGUACCCAGAGUAUAUAAAGAAGAAUGAUCAUAAUUUGACAACAGUGAAGCAAACAACCCAUCUUAAAAAGUGGAUUACAAAUAAGCAUGGGAAAUUGUGCUCAGCCACAGUCUAUGGUCUUUAUGGAAAUACAAUAUUAAAGCUUCAGUGAGAUAACCCUGAAAAUUAUCAUGAAGAUGGAUAAAGCAUUAAAUUAAAACCUUGUAACAGCCAGCACUUCAAGGAGGCAGAAUGACUGCAACCCUCAUGUGCCCGAGGUGGGAAUGCAAAGUGGCCCAACUGCUCUGAAGAACAAACUUCAUAGCCUUAUAAACACACAUAUGAUUUAUGACUCAGUGUAUGGGAUAUUUAAGUUCACAUAAAUCUGCACACAAAAAUAUACAGCAAUUUUACCUCUAGUUGCACCAAACAAGUUAUAACCAAGAUGGCAACAGUGAAAUGAAUAAAGAAAUCGUGGUGUGUCUAUCUGUCCCACCUAUGCAGUGGAAUAAUGUCCAGCAAUCAACUAGAAUAUUGGAGGAUCCUGGGACAGAUAAUAGACUAUGGUGAGUAGACUGUGUGUUGUGAAUACAUGAUAGAGCACUGAAGAGAGAAGGUGGGGUCUGGGGGAGGAGGAACUUGCUAACGUUGCUUUAAAAAAUAAUGUUUGGACUAAAGAAAACCUAGAGAAAAAAUACUGACAUAAACACAAUAUUCUUGUAGAUAAUUUUGUUUCACACAGGGGUACUGUAUAUCAAGGAUUAUACAAACCAGUAUCUAUACUAGAAAAUGGGAGCUGAGGACAAAGUAAGGAUAAUCAGAAACAGUAUAAACUCGAGGUAAGCUGCAUAAAGAUACAAACCCUGAAACAUGGAUGUAUAUAGACUUUCAUUAUAGACAUACAUAUUUCCUAGUUCUACCUGCAGAAAGGAUAUGUUAUCAGUGACCCUUUUGUGGCAAAGAACACACUCUGUGCCCAGGUCAUAUAUAACACUGUUAGUCUGCCAAUAAAAGCGAAUAUGGCUCCUUGGAAGAAUGGCCGCUUCUGGGGCUAGCACAGGGAAACUACACGAUGAACCUAAAAGGAACUAAAUGGAAAGCAUGUCUAAAGGGCUCCUGUACAAGUGGCUAAAGUAGAAAAAGGUUAGCCACAAAACAAUAAUCCUCAGCUAUACCCCAGAAACACAGUUGCCAAGUCCGUCUGUAUUUCUAAAUAACUGAAAGUGAGAUGAAAAAAGUGAUCUCUGUAAGUGUAGAAGGAACGAGUUAACCAGAAGUGCACCGUAGAAAUGCUUGAAAGAUCCGUGGAUGAAGGCUAGAAUAGAAUUAGUAGGUGAAAUCUUUUUUUUUUGUAAUUAUUCCUUCAUUCUCUUUAUUGAUCCAUGUUGAACAUAUACAAUAAACUAAAAAGCCACUUUGUUCAUUUAAUUAUCAUAUAUGAUUGUAUUGUCCAUUUUACAGUUAUGUUGUUUUCCAGUGACAUUGAUUGAAUCCCGGGCUUUGUUCAUGCUAGACAAGCAUUCUGCCACUACACUACAUCCUUAGUCCCAAAAUAAAUUUUAAUUGCUUUAGUGAUUUUAACACAUUCACAGAGUCUCUAAUACUCUUUGCAAGAGAUAGAAUGAAAUUCCUCAUUCUCCGAAUGUUGGCCAGACCUGGUGACUUGCUUUUAAUAACUAGGUCUAAUAAAGGUGAAAUAGUGGGUCAAUUACAGUGAGCUAUUUAAUCAUGUAAAGUUGACACCAUGGUGAUGGAAGAAAAUGAGAAAAGCACCUUGCCUUAAUGACAUUUACGACACCUGUAACCCUAUUCUAAUUUUGAGAGAAUGUUAUACAGACCCAGAGUAGCACUGACAUUUGAUAAGUAUUUAAAAGCAUCAACUCCAGUGACAGUACUGACAGGACACCAAGGUCCUGCUGAAUGAGCGUGAUGGUAGAUAUUGGACAGGCUCUUGGAGCAUCAAACUGGGAGAAAGACUAAAGUGUAGCUCUACAGCAUUGUAUUAAAUUAAACUUGUUUUAGUUUUUAAUCAAAGUAACAUGGUUAUGUGAGGUACUUCGUGAAAGGUACAUUGCAAGACUAUUUUUUCUUUUACAAGAAUAUGUAAUAUAUGCAAAUAAAACACACAAAUUAAAAGGGAAAAGAAGCAGAAUAGUAGAAAAGAAUCUCUAGUGUAUAAAGAUAGAUUAAAAACUAUUAAGAAAAGCACAAAACUUUAAACAGAGACACCGACAAACAGAAAACUGCCUUUAUUGCAUUGACAAAACACUCAAAAAAUUCUGAAAAAUCCUAAAUUUUAAUUAAAAUCCUAAUGUUUGUGGUGAAUACUCUGACAAGUGGAUUCUGAGAUGUAUUUGGAAGUGUAAAAGACCAGGGAAAAGUAAUAUUCUUUAAGAACAGGGUGGCUAAUAGGCUUAUCAAAAACAAGUACUUCAACAUAGUAGUCAUUAAUACAAUGUAGAACUGAUUCAAGGAGAGACUUAACUGGCUAGUGGGAUAGAAAUGGAUGUCAGAAAAUAGCCUACCCAUGGACACUUGCAAUGUAUUAAAGGCUUACUUAUCAUGAGAUGGCCUUUUAAAUGACACAUUCAAGGACAAGGAAAUUCACAUGGGGAAAACACUGAACUGGGCCCUUAAUUUUCUCACAGCGUACAUUGAAAACACAUUCUUGGUGUUUCAGGGCUUAUGACAAGUAGAACUAGAAGGACCAUAGGCCUGGAUAUAGAAGAAUAUCUACAUUGCUUUGGGGUAGAAUAACUAAGAAGCAAUAAUCAAAAAGAAAAAUAGCAAUUUAGCCACAUUCAGAGUCAAAACCUAGAUAUCUAAAUACAUUUUAAAUAGUAAAAAGGGAUUCAAAAAUGAUAAAACAUAUAAAAAGUUAGGUAAAUCAGUAAGAACAAAUAGAUAAGUCUGGUGGCGCAGGUCUGUAAUCGUAGCUACCUAGGAAGCUGAGGAAGAAGAAAUAUUAUGUUCAGGACCUUGCUGGGACAACAGUGAGUCAAGAUAACUCUCAAAGAGCAAAAUGAGGGCUAGAGAUGGCUCAGUGGUAGUGUCUUCCCACUAGGUAUAAGACCUUAGGUUUAAUUCUCUAGUACUGAAAAAAAUGACCUAACCGAAAAAUAAGCAAGACACCCUACACCCACCCCCUUCAAAAUGAGACAAGAAUUCAAAAGCGUGAUGAGCUUAUGGAAAGGUGUUGUGCCUGACUAGCAAUCAGGGAAAUAUAAAUAAACUCAGGAGCUCAUGGCCCAAGGGGCCAGCAGCAGACUUCCAGCAGGAAACUAUACAGACAUUACUUAGUCAUAGCUGGAAGAAGGGCUCAAGUAAAGGGCUCUGUGCCUGUGACAUCCUCAGAGAGACCAGGGAAAGACCUGUAAACCUUGAGGAAUGUGUGCACAUGAAGAGGCCCACAGGUCUGGGACGUGGUGGGAGUAUGUUACUGUUCCCAUUCUAGAGACUCAGGGCUGAGAUUCAAGUGUACUGGGUUAUAUUAUACACUUGUCAAGUCACAGCUACAACUUCAUCCAGGAUUCAAAUGUUCUUUUGGAAAAAAAAAGAAAAAGAACACAAAUACAUAUUUCAGUACUUGCAUCACUUGUAUACACAAGAAAGGAGAAGCAAAGAGGUGACUGGAAGAGGGGGCUGUGUUCUACACACCCAGAAUGACAAGUGCCAUCUCCAAGCCUGAGGGCCCAGGGUGAGCCCCUCAACUCCUGAGAAAGGCUCUGUCCUGGUAUUAGGAAAUUAAAAUGUGCACAUCAGUUGGCUGUCCACAGCGGGCGGGGCCUGCACCUGCCAGAGAGGAAUGUGGACUCUUUGGUUUAAUCCUGGGAAGGGUUCAUGGGGCCCCUGCAGUGAGGGUCAGAGAGGGGCUCAGCACAGUUGUUUUUCCAAGUCAAAAGGAGAGACUGUUGUCUGCUAGGCAUGUUUCAGAGACUUUAGGGGUGCUUCUCUUUCAUGGGAGAAACACUAUUCAGGACUGCCACCCACUUUAUAUUUGGAUCUGUACUCACAGCCAGGUCAGACAUCUCAAAGAUUCUGAAAGGGAGUUGAGAGGGCAGGGUUUCAACUUAAACACACUGGUGGUGCUCCUCUUAGGCAAGAGCUUGGGGCAAGUAUUGUGUUCUAAGAAGCCCCAUUGGGCACUUCAUCUCUGAAGAGCCCAGAGUUUGUCUUUCAUAAAGAUAUAAAAAGAUAGCCCAACUGCAGAACAAACUGAGACCAUGGUGAAUGUGACAAGGGUCAUAUGACCACUUAGACCCUGUGUAGAGGAUACUAGAGCAAUGUCAGGUGUUCUCUUCUGAACCAACCAAUGUCAGUGUACCUGGUCCUGGAGGAAAAGUACUGUUUCCUAGUGACAGUGAAGUCACAUUUUCCUAAAACGAUUCUAGUUUUUGAUGCUUUCAUUCCUUGGCUGCUUCUGUCUUGUCAGAGCCAGAAUCUGGACCUAAGUGUGCAGGGCAGAACAAAACAAUUUUGUUUUCUAGGAAAAUGGGAGGUCUGGAAUGGCGAAUGUAGCCUCAGGCGUGGCAACUGCCCCAGCUGGGACUACCCACUGCCAAGUUUCACCCUCUCUCAAGAGAACCAAAACCAGACUGUACGCAGCAUCUUCCUUCUCAGCCAAAGGGCCUACUCGUUAGGGUGAUUUGCAUUGUACUUAAGCAUUGAAAAAAAAAAAAGACUGGAAGGAAAUAGAUCAAAAUGUGGUAUGUUUGCCUGUGGAUUAAAGGACUUCAAAUGAUUUUCAUUUCCUUCCUUAUAGUAUAUGUAUUUUCUAUUUGAAUGAAUGAUACAUUUAGAAGUCAGAAAAACAGUUCAUACAAGCCUCCUGUAUUUGCCUUGCCCUCCUCAUCCUGGGGUUAGCACAAUGCAUCUAAGUGUCCUUACUCAGCCACCUCCUCCAGUCUGUCCUUAAGAUGCCCAAGAGACCCAAUGACACAGAGCUCCUACUUCCCAAGCUCUCCAAGACCUUCCCUUUCCUAGCUCCAUUACUCCUGCAUUGAGCUCCCAGACUUUCCCUCUGCAUACCCGAUCAUCUGAGCAUUCCAAGUCCAACUCUCUGCAAGGCCCCAGGCCACCCUGUUGCCCACUGCCCUCUGCUGAGACUUGCUGGUGUCAGUAACUUCACCCAGCUGCUCACCCCUGCCCUCCUCCUCCUCCUAACUGAUUAUAAUCCUGCCUGAUCUCCCAGAUGUAACCUAAACCACCUUCCUAUGUAAGCUCCCCAAGGCUCUAGAGAUUGCCCCUUCAAUUGCUAUGGGGCUUAUGUGUGCCUGGCCCUCAGCACAGGAACCUUGCUUUCUUCCUCUCCCAUGUCACCUCCGGUGCCUGGCACAGGCAAGUCCCCUGAGCCAGCUCACUCCGAUGGAAUAAACAAGCUGCCUAUGUCCUCCCCUAGCAGAGGCCCUUUCCCUGUCCCCCCUCAAUCAAUUUCCCCGUCUUGGUGGAUUUGCCAAAGCCCUGUGGAUCCUGCACCAUGAAGGAAAAAAAACCCUCCCUAGGGCAUCUGGACAGCUGCAGCCAGGUCCUGCGUGACAUUGCUGAGCUGCAGCCCCACAGCCUGUGCCAGCUGCCCAUGCCCUGUUCACAGACCCUGAGCCAGACCAGACCCAACACCACCUGUGUCUUCACUCAGAGGGGAGAAGUAAGAGACAAGGACAGAAAGUGUAAAAGCUAUUCCCACAACAGCUGCCAGGAACAAGGCGAGAGUGCAGUGUAAAUGUAUAUUCACAGCUGGUACCCAGUUCCGCUUAGGAAAAUACCUUGCUUGAGUGGACACCUGUUGUUUUUGCGAACUCUGCAACCAGGCCUGGCUUCUGGAAAUAGUUCACCGAAUCUUCCUUAAAGGGGUCCUCAUUUCCUACUCCCCAGUGUGUAAGAUUUAGGAAUUCAUUGGCUAUUUCCAAAGGGGGCUUUGUGGCUGGAUCACAACUUCAGAAACAUAGUUGCACUUAUAAAGAUGGCUUGUACUUUGGUUGGGAGCAUUGAGAGCCUAGCCUGAGCCUGUGGCAGAAAUCAUUUGGAAAAAGUCUGGCAUCUUUCUUCUGGUACAUGUAAAAUAGUGGACAUCUUACAUUUAUUGGAAAGUGAGUGUUUAAGGACACAGAUGAAUAUAGCUAUGCAUGUAUCUAUAGGCAGAGAGAGGGAAAGAGCACAAAAAGGACAGGGUAGAAGGAGGAGAGAAAGCAUCACCAGACUAGCUCUAGCUGUGUCUGGAACAGCCAGGUUCAGAUUCAUAAACUAGAAAAAUGUCUCAUUGUCCUUAUCUAGAUUGAAAUGGGCUCUGCAGUCUGUUACCAAGAGCACUUAGGAAUAUAAAAAGCUAGGGGUAAGAUAUGAACCUGAGGAGAUAGGUCUGGGGGUAAGUCUAGGUUGCAAAACACAGCAAACAAAACAACAACAAACACCCUAAGACAGUCUUGUUAAGCUUUGCAGAGUAGAAGACAGGAAAGAAGAAGGUUAGCUAGAUAAAUCUGGCCCGAGGCCCCAGCUUCAGCUCUACAUGGGCCAGGAAACUCUGGGAAAGGUGCUUCGUACAGCUGUCCACUGACUUUCUACUGUUAUAAUGCAAACUUCUCUUUAGAGAGCUUCUCUCUCUACCCUGUGUUUGCAGCACUUUAUGGAACAUGCUGUAUUUUGUGUUCAAGCAAAGACUGAGGAUACAUUUAACUUGAGAUGGACAGUGACAUGACAGUUGAAGAUGACCUAUGGAAUCCCAAGAAAUCCUAGGAACAAUGCUAGGCUUUGUGCAACUACAGAGUUCAUAGUGCUGGAGACUUUUCACUGAAUGCCUUUUCUCAUAAUGGAGAUAACAGGCCUAACACAUAAAUCUCAGAGUAAAUGGAAAUGAUUCUGUGGGCCCAAGGGUGGGGUCUGAAUGGUAAGGUGCUAAAGAGGACAGGCAAUGACAGAGCUAGCCCUAAGCAAGCCCAGGAAGCAGAGCAUGAGUAGCACAGCUGCCUGCAGAACAAAACUAGUCUACCCAGCUUUCCAUGCUGCAAGAAGUCACUGUCCAGGUCUCCCAAGACACAUUUGGAAGGGAAGGUUCCAGGCAGCAAGAGCGGCCCCAGGAAACUUUAAUAUACAAUGGAAUCUGGGUUAAGCACUAUCUUCUCCAAAAGUUGAGCUCACAGGACAUUCCCCAGAAACCUCUGGAGAGGUGGGGAGGAAAGUUUCUGGAGGUCUUUGGACGAAGAAAACAAAAAAGUGGCCUUGAUUUUUCAAGGAGAAAUUACACAGGAAGAAAAAAAUGUUUUUAAUCUAAUUAAGAGCGAUCUUUUCACCUUCAUCACAACAUCACGGAAAUGUGCCAGUUCUUAACUUCACACAAUAAUCAAAGCAAUUAAGGAGAAGCCUUGGAAACUGGUGCAGAUGUUCUCAGAAUGUUUAAUGGGGAAAUGAGUUGCAGGCCUCAUUCUCAGCAUCCGGCUCCAGGCCCUGGCUACCAAAUCCAGACAUCUGCUGGGGCCCCACUCCCAGGCCUGGAGGGUGUGUGCUUGAGAAACACAGGUCUCUUCCCAGGCUGCCUCUAGCGAGGCCAGAUCUGGGGCCCCAGAGGCUCCCCAUGGUUCCUCAAGCCAGAGCCUGGACAUAGUCAGAAUCACCCCAGAGCUAGGGAGAAGCUUAAUGUCAAAAUUAUGUUAACAACUGAUGUCAAAAGUAAUCAACUCAAACUGGCUCCCUCACCCCUGCUGGCUGCAGGAGGACUAUGAGUAGAGGAAGGGGGGGCAAAGAGCCCCUGGCAGGGGCUGGGAGAGACUCUCUUCUUUGACCUCCUCAGCAUGAAGAUCACAUAAAGGUGUGGCAGCAUUGGUGCAGUCUGACUCUGUGUGCUUUGGUUCAAUGUUGCCAAGCUAGACCCGAGAAGCAAAUUAGUCCAUCCUUGAGUAAUUUUCAAAAAUCAGAAACCAUGUAGAAAGGAGGGUGCUGCUCACUUAGUAACUAGCCUGUUUUAGAGAGCAGAAGGGCAUAUGACUAAAGUUAAAUGGCUUGAAAGUGAAGACCUUGAUGUAUGGUUCAGGCAGCUCAUUAAACCACACUGGAAGCCCUGCUGUAUGGUACACACAAAGAACAUGGAAGAAAAGAAAACAUCCCUGGUUUUGAGGACACAUAGGCAGUAUGGGUCCUCACACAUGUACGACAUUUACCAUUCAUACUGUCUUCAUACCAAAGGCUUCUUAAUAAAAGAAAUACCAGAUAUGACUCCAGGGCUUUGUUUAAUGCAGGGUAGGCCAAAGGCAAUGGAAAGAAAUCUCUCAAAGUAAGCCUUCAGUGGAGUCAAUACUCCAGGUCCACAUUACUGGUAGAUCUUUAAGGAGUGUUGUAAGCUGAAUUCCAGCUGUUCACUAAAUAGACCACUUUCUUGGGAAGUAGCUGGCACAAGUUUCCUGUUAUUCUCUGUCCAUAAAUCUAGCCCCAAAAAAGUGAUAGGAAGGGGUUAAAGCCUUUAAGAAUGAAAGUAGCAUGAUGCACUUUUUAUCGAAAGAAUUUUUGGGAUUGCUAUGUAUAGGAUGUAGCAAAGGAAAGCCAGGGAGACUUGGGAGGCCAGUGAAGAGUGAAAGGGACAUCCAAACAAACAGACAAACAGACAAACCCCUAAACAAACAUGGUGGCAUUAGCAGGGGAAGAAGCUAUAGAAACCAAGAGUGGGAAAAGUCUAUAUGUGAAAAAGCAUAAUUUUAAAGAUUUGCAGGAAUGUUUGGAGAAUAACAACAUUCUACUCCCCCACCCCAACCCCUGGACUUCAAAUCUUCUCACUUACUCAAAAAAUCAGAACAAGCAAUUCAACAACAGUAAGAGCAAAAUAAAACCAUAUAUGAUCUAUUCCUUCAACAGUAGGCCAAAUACAUAGAAAUUACCCAUGAGAGGAGAGUCUGCCCACCAUUGUAUACCUGUGAGUGCAAAAGAAGAGGCCUACGAUGCUCUGUCAAAAGAGUGAGGAUGCUAAGUAGUGUCAACAAAAAUAAGGUUCCCCUCUCCACAGAAAUAUUUUUAUAGGAACUCAGAAUUAAUGUCAGUGAUUAAUUCUGGGAAGCAGUCAGUAAUUCACAGCAACCAAGUGAAUAUCACAAAAAGAAAUGGGCAAUUAAAAAGUGUUAGGGGCCCAGCAAGAUGAUUCAGUGGAUAAAGAUUCUUGUUGCCAAGACUAACAACUUUAGUUCAACCACUGGGAAAAAAACCCAUUUAGUAGAGGAAAGAACAAGUUUGUGCAAAAAUUACAGAAACUUGGGACAUUUUCACUUGUCCUUAAAUACUCAUCUUCCCUCUACUAAGCCUGGUUUGGUGGCACUGUUGCAGAUGAUAGGUAGUAUGGACCCUGGUCCUUGUUUCUGAAGUGUGCAGUACAGACCUUGUCUAAAAUAAUUAUUUAUGUUUUACAAUAAUUUUUUUUGUUUUAUAUUGUUUGUGGGUAGCCUGAAAGACUGACUUAAGGUGUUUUCAUUUUCCCCCCAAAUAGUAAUUGCGAAUUUUCUCAGUGUGAAAAAUAGUGGACAGUACUUGCAAACGCUGUAAGACCUUCAGAGCAGUUAUAAUGACUUGAGCAAAGAUCAGUGGUUGAAGCACACAGCGGCCCACUGAAAAGCCUCAGAAGGCAAUCUAGAGAGAGCUUCCUUGGAAUUUUAGAGCAUUUAAAAUAAUAGUAUGUGCUAAUAACUUACAAAACAUGCACAGAGCUAGAUGCUAAGAAGAGCCCUGACAAUACUACAAACCAGUAUCUAUGAGAGAUUUCUAUACGUAAGUUACCUCAAGCUACAAGUGAAAGCAAAGACAGGAUUGUUAAUAGUCUGUCCAAAUAUUGAAGGAAAAUUCCAGUUUAGUUAAUUUACAAAAGCUGGACGAAUCCUGCCCUCCUUUUAUACCUCGCUGUCAUAAUGAACUGAACAUAAAUGAAAGGAACAGAACUUCAAAGACCACACAUAACUUCACAAAAGAAAAAUAGCUUGGGAAUAAAUAAAAAAAAAGCUUAAAACCACUUAAGUAGCAUUAAAAAAUCUGGAGGCAGAAAAGAAUCUAAUGUCCACAGUUAUAAUAUAAAUAAUUGAAAAUAUAGAGCUUUAAACAAAGAAAAUAUGGACUAUACAGAGAAACAAUAACAAAGUUCCUUCCCACAGAAAGCCGAAAGAAGUAUAGACACACUGUACUUAACUUGACAAAAAAAUAAUUUUUAAUUAGGCUAGGAAUGUUUCAGCUGGAAAAGGGUCUUGAUACUUAAGCCCUGUGACCUAAGUUUGAGCUCCGAUCCCAUAUAAAGGUAUAAGGAAAGAACUACAUAAAAUCAGCCCCUAACCUAGAAAUGGGCACCAUGGCAUGUACAGUAAUCUCAUUGAUAAUAAAAUAAAAUUAGUCUAAGUUAUGCUGAAAGAUAAAAAGAAAAUGAUAAAGAACUAAAGAAAACAAAGAAUAUGAAGAAUGAGAUAAAAUUAGAAAAUGGAAUUAAACAAAUUCUAGAACUGAAAAGUAUUAACAAAUGAAAAAAUCCAUUAGAGGGUUUCAUCAGCAGAUCUGAAUGAUAUAAGAAUCAGUGGACUUAAGGAUCAAGUCUGAGCACCAGGGGGGGAAAAUGAGCAUUUCAAGAAUUCUAUGGUAAACUACCAAGUAUGCUAAUAUCUUUGUUGGAAAUCCCAAAAAGUAGGUGAAAGAAGGAGCAGGAAGAAGAAUUGACCUAGUGGCUAUGCCUCCCCAAAUUUGAUUAAAGACAAAAAUUACUAUGUACAGGAACAUAAGCAAAAGGACCCAGAAAUGAUAACUGAGUCACAGAAAAAUACACUAUCAAUUAUUGAAAGGCAGAACAGACGUUAAAAAGAAAAAAAAAGACUUUGCUUGUCAUGUAGUGAUUCUCAAUACAAUUAAUGUGUUUGUUAUCAGCAAGUAUAGAGUCGACUGAGAAUGGAAUAGCAUUUUUAAGUACUGAGAGGAAAAAAGUCUGUCAACCAACAAUUUUAUAUACAGCAAAAUUAUUCAAACAUGGAGAAAUAAUGAGCUUAAGAGCUUCUCAAAUGAAUAAAAGCUGGGAAGCUCAUACUAUAUUGGCUCUACAAAAACUAUUAGAGAAAGUAAUACAGUUUCAAAUAAGAAAGGACUAGAAAGUAACUGGAAACCACAUAGAGAUGCCCAGACCUUGAGGACCAGGUAGCUAUGUAAAACAUAAAAGCCAGUAUUAUAUAUAAUAUCUAAGUUUUUAAUGUUUAUUAUUUUUGUGAUAAAAGAACAUGAUAUAUACAUCUGGCAUAUAUAUCAUAUGUCUUUGGAUAUAUUCAUGCAAUAGAUAUAAAAUUUGAAACCAUGUAGAAUUGAAGGAGAUAGAGCUGUAUAGGAUCUUGAAUUAAUUUGUAAAAGUUGGAAGAAUCCUGCCCUCCUUUUUACCUGCUAUAAUGAACUAAACCUUAAUGAACCAAAUCUAAAUGAAAGGAACAAUAUUGAAACUAUGUUGGCAUAAACUCAAUCUAGAAUUUUGUAAAGUUAAGUGUAAUUAAUUCUCAUAAAAAUUAUUCAGAAAACAUCUGGAAAAGUAUAAAUCUCAACAUGUAAACAGCUUAGAAAUUACAGUAUCUCAACAAGUAAAAUGGUGAGUUGACUGAAAAGUCGAUUCCAUUUCUGUAUCAGAAAUGAAAAGAGUAAAACAAUGCCUUCAAAAUGAGGGGGGGGGGAGAGGUGAUGGGAGAUUGAAGGAGAGAGACAGGUAGACAUGGAGAAUCAGAACAUAUUACAGUAGACAUUGCUGGAAUCAGCUUGGCUAGAAAAACCUAAUUUGUGAUUUAACUGCUGGAGUUUAGAUGUAGAUAGAUGUAAGAACUAAAAAGUCAAAGGCACUAAGUUUUGGGAAGAGCCUUAACGUUUUCAUGAAGUACUUCAUCCAGGAGUUUGAUCAGAUUCUCAAUGCGAGUAGUAGAGAAAAAUUCCCUUGAAACUUUCAAUAUUGGGAGGGAGGAAAGCCAUUCUGAAAACAAACAAUAGUGUUUUUCGUCAAGGGUUUACCUUCAGGGAAAGUUAGUUUACUAGGUCUUAGCCAGCUAGGAUUUAUCACAAGCUAACUGAACUGACCUAAAGCAAUUCAAAUUAACUCUAGAUUUCUUGUGGAGUAGAAAUAACCAAACACCAGACCAGUUCACUUUAGCCAUCCUAUACCACCCAAGAAAAAAUAUUGAAGAAUGGUUGUGACAUUCAGUCAAGAGGCUCAGUAAAAGUGAGACCUAAACACAGAACUAUAGAAUGUUUCUUAUAUACGAAACCUUUCUGUAUUGUUAAUAAUGCCCAUUCAAUAGAAGUUCCUUUUGUCUGAUACAUCAUAUCUGCUGUCCACCUAUUGAAAAAAAAUACAAGGAUUCUAAAAGACAUUAACUUUUUAAAACAUAGCAGACAUUUCAGAUAUGUUGAAAUUAUCGGAGAUAUUUGAACUAUAAAACUAAGGACAACAUCCAAGGACAAUAGCAAGGAAGGAACCAAACUCAUAGGGAAAACACAAAAAGGGCUGGGAACCAGCAAUAGCAAUGUAUGAAAAAUACCCUCUGUAGACUCAUUUGAUUGCACACAGAUGAGAAAAAAAAUCAGAGUAUCUUUUUGUACAAACAACAAAAACUAAAAGACAAAAAUGAACAAAACAGUGAGAAUUUGGCUGAGUUGGUUAAGUGUUUGUCUUAUAUACGUAGGACCUGAGUUUGGCUCCCAAGUAAAAAAGUUAUCUAGUUAUCUCCAUUCCUGGGGCAGCAUUAGAAGACAUGUCAAUCCCUAAGAAUACUAGAAAUAGUCAUAUAGAAGCCAAAAACAAAACAAAAAUAAAAAACAAAUAGAAACCAUUUGAAACAACAGGAACUAAAAAUUUCCCCUAAAUUAUUAUCAUACAUUAAACAGUUCAGGAAGCUGAAAGAAUACCAAACAGGAUUAAUAACAAAACUUGCAUCUAAACAUAUCAUUAUCUACAGAAAAUCAAAUAUUUAAAAAGCCCUACAGGAACACCUACUAUAAAAUAGCAAUAGUACAAACCACAUCCAAUCUGUCCUCAGAAGCAAGAAGAGCGAAAUAACAGAACAAAACAAAUCGCUAUAUAUCAUUCUGCACUCUGCAAUUGUCUUAAGAUUGGCCAGUUAGGUAAGAUUUUGUUCAAAACAUCUAAAAAUGUGUUUAAUUAUGUUUAUGUAUACUUAAUUGAAAUGAAUGGUACCAGUGAUUUAUAGAGGAGUUAAUGGUUACUUUAGGUCAUACAAUGUAUGAAUUGGUAUGGUAUGAUUUGAAAGAGGGCUUAGCUUAGUUGAAAAUGUAUACAAGAUCCAGAGAAAUCACCCCAAAAUAAUGCUAGUAAACAAACUUUUCCAAAAACAGUAUUGCAAAUAUAUAGCAAAACAAGUUUGUAGUUACAGGUUGUAUCUUAGCAGCCUCCUGGGUCCAUUGUACCAGAAUCCCACAUAUAAAUCUCAUGUUUACAGUAGAUUUCAGAUUGGGAAAUCUGUUUUGCAUAGUCAUUGUUAUUUAAUAAGUAUCUUCACCCCAUUUUGUGGCAAUGCUAGUAGAGGAAAGUGAAUUGCUACUGAGCUAUAUCUCAAGACACUACCAUACCUUUCUAAUUGCACAAGCUCUAAUGCCAUCACACCUAAAAGAAGCUCUGAAUUAAAUACAAUAUAGUUCUUAACUCGUAGGUAUUACCUAAGAGACUUAAAGUGAUUUUUGAGCAGGCUAAAACCAACCAGCCACCACUACCACAACAAAAGAUAUCUGCUAACAAGCCAUCAGAUAGGAUAUAUCUAGUAGUAUUCCUGUUGUUGCCAUUGAUAGAAAAACAUAUCUCUCCCAGAACAUGAGAAAUAUGAGAAACAAAUUAGGGUAGGAUAAGGAAGGGAGAGUUGCUAUAUUUUCUUCUUGUUUGGGAGAGAUAGCUAUUUGUCAAAAGAAACCAACAUAAUACUAGAUAGAAACAUACCUCUCCGGAAUUAUAAUCUUGGUAAAGAGAAAAUUGGAAUAGGAAGGUGUGUUGACUUUCUGCAGCACAACUCUGUUUAGGGGAAAUGUCUGUUUGUCUUACCUGGCUUCUUGUAAAAGUAUGGUAGAUAAUAUGGCCCAUGAUAAUCUCAUUUCAAAGUUCCUAUCAAAGUAAGAUCUGCUUAUUCUCUAUAACCCUGUGGAUGAAGCCAUUUCAGAUAAAGAUGAGCAAAGGGUUACUAUGCUUUGAAGAGAAAUUACAGUAUUCAAAGAGAUCUUUAAGCCCAGACAUUGGAUUUACUAGACACAUACUUAAAGCAAUUAUUUUAAAGAGUUAAAUAUAUUGGUAAUCAUAAUAAAAAUAUAAGCUACAGACUAGGACAAAACAUUUAAAAAAUAUAUAAGGAGCUUCCCAAAACUUAAAAGGGCUGGGAAUGUAGCCUCACGACAAUAGGGUACUUGUCUAACAUGAACAAAACUUAAAAUUCUAUCCUCAUAAAUUGAAAAAAAUAUGUGUAUGACUGAAUUUUGCUUUCUGAUUUGAAAAACACCCAAACAAUAUGAAGUUAAUGAAUGGCAACUUUACCAAUAUGCAUCAGUUUUGCAGGAGAAACACCUCCAUUUAGCAUAGAUGUUAAAGACCCACAUCUUAAAUCCAAUCUCUAGAAGCACAAUGUUGAUGAAAGAAAGCCAGGCUUCCAAAGAACAUCAUCCCAUGCCUGAGUCAGUUUAGUAAAAUCUACAAAACUGGCCAAUGCAAAAUGAGCUCUAUUGUGAAGGAUAAAAAGACAAUGAAGAACAAGCAAUGGUAAGAUUAUGUUAGAUCAUCAAUUUGAGUACAUUGAUGAGAACUUCAAAACUAUCUAAGAAUGUGCAGUGAGGGGGGUAGGUAUCUUUUUGCCAUAUUCUCAAAUGAAAAAGCUUUAAAAAUGAAACAUUUUAGUUUAAACAUCUUAUUUCUUGAGGGUCUAAAAGAUUCUAAAGUUGUCAAUGUUCACUGAAACAAAAAAGAUGGUAAUCACAUGGAAAUGUCUUUUGUAAGAGGUUAAUAUACAGGGACCUCUUAGUUUUCACAAAGGUAGGAUUUAUGGGCAGGAUGAUAAACUUGUUUUCCUGAUAGACUUUCUUUUCCAGACUUAACAGGCAUAUGAGGAAAAAUGGUACACUGAGGCUAUGUAUAAGAAGAUAAUAGGCAACCUAAACAGAAAGCACCAUGCUUGGAUGGAUUUACUGAUAAAUUCUGACAAAUCUCAACUAUUUAAUGGAAGAAUGUAUACUAAAGGUUCUACAGUGUCUUUUAGAAGGUAGGAAAUAUUGCUUAACUCAUUUGUUGAGACCAAUGUUGCCCUUAUUUCUGUAGCAAACAACACAUUCCAAACAAGCUAAAUACCAGUAACUCAUGCUGUAUGUGUAAAACAAUACACUACGCAACAUUAAUAUGCCAAAUCCAAAAAUACCACAACUGCUCAGUGCUAUGGGACAUUAAAAACUAAGGUAAGUUAUCACAAGCAUAAAAUAAGUCACAGGAUUAUGUCACCAGACAGAAAUAUACAUCCGACAAAAAUCUUGACCAACCCAUGGUAAAAACAACAACUUUGGAACAUUUAGCCUCAGGUACGUAAUCAUAAGAAGUAAAAAGAACUUUUAUGAUUAUAUCACUGGAUACAUAUGAAUCUGACAAAAUUCUUUACUAACACAUGAUUAAAAAAAGGACCCUUGGAACAUUACCAAAUCAGGUAAGUAAUCACAAGAAGAAAAAAAAUGUUACAUGACAUGAUUAUAUUUCUGGAUACAAUAAUUCAUCUAGCAAAAUUCUUUACUAACUCAUGAUGUUUAAAAAGCCGUUUGGAACAUUAAAAAGUCAGGUAAGUAAUCACAAGAAGCAAAAAGAAGUUACAUGAUUAUAUUAUUGAAAUGCAUCUGGAAAAAUUUUAUAUCAAUUUUAAAAAAGCCCUCUAGAUUAUUAAAACCUCAGGUAAGUAAACACAAGAAGCAAAAAGAUGUUACAUGAUUAUAUAACUAGACAAAAAAUUUGACAACAUUCUUUACCAACUCAUGAUCAAAACAAAGAGCAUUAAAAUCUCAGGUAAGUAAUAAGCCAAAAGAAGUUACAUACUUAUUCACUGGAUACAAUUACCAACUCAUAAUAAAAGUAACAACAACCAACAACAACUCUACACAUUAAAAACUCAGGAUAGGGUUCACAAGACCCAAGGGGAAAAAAAAAAAGGUCUGACAACAUUAUUUACUAACUCAUGAUUAAAACAAAACAAACAGGAAAACUUCUGGAACAUUAAAUACUCAAGUAAGUGAUCACAAGAAGUAAAAAUAUCACUGGACACAAAAGUGCAUCUGAGAAAAUUCUUUAUUAACUUGUGAUUUAAAAUAAAGAAAAAGAAAAGAAAACCAAACAACUGGGGAUCAUUAAAAACUCAGGUAAGUGAUCAUAAGAAACAAGAAGCAAGAAAUAAGUUACAGAAAUCUGACAACAUUCUUUACCAAUAAUACCAAACAAAAAAUAAGCACACACAAAACCCUCUAGAAUAUUAAAAACUUAGGUAGCUGAUCACAAGACACAUGAAGCAAAAAAGAUAUUACAUGAAUAUUUCACUACACACAAAAACCUGACAACAUUCUUUACCAACUCAUAAUACAAAACAGAAAAAAAAAGCAUACAUAAGACAUCUGGAGCAUCAAAAGCUCAGGUAAAGAUGACAAGAAGCAAAAAGAAGUUACAAGAUUAUAUCACUGGACACAAAAAUGCAUCUACAAAAUUCCCUAUCAACUCAAGAUAAAGGAAAGAAAAGAAAAACCUAACAACUCUGGACCAUUAAAAACUCAGGUACAUGAUCACAAGACACAAGCAAAAAAGAAAUUACAUGAUUUCACUGACACAAAAAUGCAUCUGACAAAAUUCCUCAUCAACUCAAGAUGGAAGACAAGAAAAACCCAACAACUCAGAAACAUUAAAAACUUAGGUAAGUGAUCACAAGACGCACACACACACACACACACACACACACACACACACACACACACCCCACAGGAAGUUACAUGAUUAUUUCAGUAGACACAGAAACCUCACAUUCCUUAUCAACUCAACAUAAAAAACAGAAACAAAGCAAACACAAAAACCCUCUGAAACAUUAAAAACCAUGGUAAGUAAUCAAAAGACACACACACAAAACAACAAGAAGUUACAUGAUUAUUUCACUAGACACAGAAACAUGACAACAUUGUUUACCAUCUCAUAAUACAAAACAAACACAAAUCCUUUGGAAUAUUAAAAAAUCUCAUGUAAGUGACCACAAGAAGCUUAAAGAAGUUACAUGAUUAUAUCUUUGGACACAUGCAUGCAUCUGAUGAUUUUUUACCAACUCAUGGAUUUAAAAAGGGGGGAAAAUAAAACCCAACAACUCUGGAACAUAAAAAACAAAAAGUUACAUGAUUAUUUCACUAGACACAGAAAUCUGACAUUUACCAACUCAUAAUACAAAACAGAAGCAAGGGCUAGAAAGAUGGUUCAGUGGUUAAGAGCACUGACUGCUCUUCUAGAGGUCCUGAGUUCAAUUUCCAGCAACCACAUAGUAGUUAUAUAUCCAUCUAUAAUCUGACUCUCUCCUGACGUGUCUGAAGAGAACAACAGUAUGCUGAUAUACAUAAAAUAAAUCUUUUUAAAAACAAGCAAAACACAGAAACCCUCUGGAAACUUAAAAAGGUGAUCACAAGACACAGAUAGGCAAAAUGAAGUUACACGAUUAUUUCACUAGACACAGAAACCUGACAUUAUAAACUCACAAUAUAGGAACAAAACAAACACAAAACUCUGGAACAUUAAAAAACUCAGGUAAGUAAUCACAAGAAGAAAAAAAAAGUUACAUAAUUAUUACUGGACACAAGCAUGCAUCCAACAAAAAUUUUUAUCAACUCAUCUCAAAAACCCCAAGAACAUUGGAAUAUUAAAAGCUUAUAUAAGUGAUCACAAGACCCAAGAAGAAAUAACGAAGUUACAUGAUUACUUCACUAGACACAGAAAUCUGACAACAUUCUUUAUCAUCCCAUAAUACAAAACAGAAACAAAAAGACCACACAAACCCCUGGAACAUUAAAAACUGGUAAGUGAUCAGAAGAGACAAGAACCAGAAAAGAAAUUACAUGUAUGUAAUUUCACUACAUACAGAAACCUGACAACAUUCUUUAUGAACUCAUAAUACAAAGCAAAAAAGGCACACACACAAAACAUCUGGAAUAUUAAAAACUCAGGUGAGUGAUCACAAGAAGCAAAAGGAAGUUACAUGAUUAUAUCACUAGACACAAAAGUGCAUCUGACAAAAUUCCCUAUCCAAAAGAAAAAAAAAUCAGUAAACACUAUAAGGACGUCAUUAACUUUGUAAAUACCAUUUACCAAAAGUAUAUACCAAACAUAAUUGACAGGAAAAAAAGGGGAGGUAAGGAUGGUGCCCACUCAUUUUUCAAAAUCUUGUGGAAAACUCCUAAGUAAUGGACCAAAAUAAAGGGAAUAUAUAUUUUGUUUAAAAGGAGCAAAGUUUUGUUUUAAGUGGCAUUAUCUAUGUAGAUAAUAUGAAAGGACACAUAUACAAAUUCUGCAACUAUUAAGGGACCACAGCAAGGUUACAUGACUCAAAAUAUACAAUAAUCAGUUACUUUCCUAUAUGCCCCAAGUUAACGAGUGGAAUUUGAAACAAAGUACAUUAUUGCUUUGGCAUCACCAAAAUAAACAGAUAAAAAUAUGUACAAUAUAUUUUCAAUAUUUAACAUAUUGAAAAAUUCAAUAUUGCCAGAUGUCCAAUAACCCAUGCUGAUCCCCACAUUAAAUGCAACCUUAAGCAAACACAAAUGUUUUAUCAGUAUUGGAAAAUGGACUCUAAGGCUACUGUGGAGGAAAAGGAUAGAAUAUGAAACAUAAUAUUAAAGGAUAAUUUAAAAUUAACCUAUUUUAAUGCAUUGCUGUAAAGCUUUGGGGAUCCAGAAACUAUAUUACUUGUAAAAGAAUAGGUAAGUAAAGAUGAAAGGAAAAGAAAAUAGCAUGUUAAAAUACAAUCUAAGUUCACUCAACUAAUCUGUAGUAAAGGAACAAAAAUAAGAAUGGAGAAAAAUGUUCUUUUUUUUUUCAACAAAUGGUGAUAAAAUAAUGAUAGCCACAUGGAAAAUGUAAGAAUCUAGAUACAGACUUUAUACCCAAUAAAUAAAAAAUAAGUUGAGAAUGGAUCGCAGACAUCAAUGUAAAAGUAGAAAAUAGAAAAUAUCUUCACAUAAUACAGACCUAAAAAAAUUCCAAACCUUGCACUAAAGAACUAAGUCAUUUUGCAUUUGUAGUUUGAUAUUAAGAAAAAAAAAACAUGUUAAACUGUUGCCACCUCUAUUCAACAUAAUGGUGAAUGGUUUAACUGGAUCAAAUGGAUUAGCUGGACACAUGUAACACAUGUAAAUUGGAAAGGAAGUAAUAAACAAGAUUCCUCAUAAGAUUGUAUAUGGUAAAUUCAGUAGUGCAAAAGAAUAUCAGUACACAAGUUUCAUUUCUAUACAUCAAAAUUGAUAUUUAAGAGUACCAUUGACAUAAUUUCAUUUGAGGCAGCAGUAUGUUAUCCACAGCUUUGAUGGCCAGGCUACCUCGUAAUUAUUCUUGAUUUCAUAGAUGAUAAAUCUGAAAAACUAUAUUGUUUUGCCCUUACUACAAUAGGAACCACUGCAUCCAACCAAUUCUUGAUUCUUGCACUUAAAUAGGUCUUAGCUCAUUCAUACCAGAUUGUAAAUACAAUGGAUGUAUACCAAAAUUAAGGAACACUGUCCCAAUAUAAUGAGAAAUACUAAAAACCCAAAGAGAGCCGGGAAGAUAUCCAUUUGGUAAAGCAUUUGGCAAAAUGCUUUUAAAGCAUGAGGAUCUGAGGGUGAGCCCUGGAACUCAUGUGAAAAUGUCAUGUAUAUUGGAUGUUUGCAGUCACAGUGAUGGAAUGGAAGGAAGAGAAUCCAAAGAGUUUAGUAAUUUGGCAGUCUGGCCUAUUUGGUCAAGUCGAGACUAUCUCAAUGGAGGUGGAUAGCAUUUCUAGUUAAGAAAGUGGAGGCUGUCCUCUGACUUAGAACACAUGAAUAUGCACAAACAUGCACCUACAUAUAUAUCUUUGUAUAUAAAAGAACAAGGCCAUUAUCAAAGAAAUACAAGUCAUGUUCCAGUAACCGACUCCAAAAAACCAGGCACAUUAACUUAGUGACAAUUUAAAAUGAGUUAAGAAUAGCCAACUAAAAGAGAACUGGGAGAGUACAAUCUGAAAAACAAUACAUGAACAAAUGAGUUUCAAUAAAGCUAUAGAAAGCAAAGCCAAAUUCUGGAGGUGAAGAGUACAGUGAAAGGAAAAUUGUAAGACUGGCUCAAAACAAGAUUUUUCAAUUAAAACUGGAAACCUUGACCUUGAAAAGAACACUUGGACCAAAUGGAUUUAACAGAUCUAUAGAACAUUUUAUCUCAAAACAAAAGAAUAUAUCCUCUCAGCACCUCAUGAACCUUCUCCAAAAUUGGCCAAAUAAUCACACACAAAAAGCCUUAAAGAAUCCAAGAACACUGAAGUGAUUCCAUGCAUUCUAUCAGAUCACCACAGACUAAGGCUGGACUGAAAUAACAACAAAAACAAUGAAAAUCCCACAUACUCAUGGAAACUGGAUGCUCUAGUCAAUGAUAACUUGGUCCAGGAAAAAAUUUAAAACUUUCUAGAAUUCAAUGAAAAUGAAAGCAUAGCAUACCCAGACUUAAUGGGACACAAUGAAAGCAGUGUUGAGGACAAUAGCACUAAGCGCCUUCAUAAAGAAACUGAUCCUAUACUAGCAACUUAUAGCACACUUGAAAGCUCUAAAAUGAAAAGAAGUAAACACAUCCAAAGGGAGUAAAUGGCAAUAAAUAGCCAAACUCAAGAUUGAAAUCAACCUAUUAGAAACAAACAAAAUACAAAAACUCAACAAAACCAAGAGCUGGUUCUUUGAAAAACACCAACAAGGUAGAUAAACCCUUAGCCAAACUAUCUAAAGGGAACAGAGCCAGUAUUCAGUUUAACAAAAUCAAAAAUGUAAAGCGAGACAUUGAGGAAAUUGAAAAAAACAUUAGAUCUUACUACAAGAGACUUAACAAAACUGGAAAAUCUAGAUGAAAUGGUUGGCUUUCCAGACAGAUACCAUGUACUAAAGUUAAAUCAAGAUCAGGCAAACUAAAACAAGAACAAACAAACAAAAACCAACCAAACAAACUACAAAAAAAACAGCCCAGCGCCAGAUGGUUUUAGUGCAGAAUUCUACCAACAUUAAAAAAUGAGCUAAUACUAAUACUCAAACUAUCCCACACAAUAGAAACAGAAGGAACACUACCUAAUUCAUUCUGCGAAGGCACAGUUACUCUGACACCUAAAUCACACAAAGACUCAACAAAACUUCAGACCAGUUUUGCUUUUGAAUAUUGACACAAAAAUACACAAUAAAAUUCUUGCAAAUUCAAUCCAUAAACAUAUCAAAGCCAUCAUUUACCAGGAUCAAGUAGGCUUCAUCCCAGGGCUUCAGGAAUGGUUCAAUAUAUGAAAAUCCAUAAACAUCAUCCACCAUAUACACAAACAGAAAAAAAACAUGAUUAUCUCAUUAGAUGCUGAAAAGGCCUUUGAUAUUAAAAUUCUUGGAGAGAGCAGGAAUUCAUGGCACAUAUCUAAACAUAAUAAGAGCAAUAAAUAGCAAACUGACAACCAACAUCAAAUUAAAUGGAGAGAAACUUGAAACAAUCCCACUAAAAUCAGGAACAAGUCUUCCCACUCUCUCCCUGUCUUUAAUAUAGUACUCAAAAGUUCUAGCUAGAGUAGUUAGACAACAAAAGAAUCAAGGGGAUAUAAAUUGGAAAGGAAGAAGUCAAGUUAUUACUAUUUGCAGAGAACUCCUACAGCGGAUAAACAACUUCAGCAAAGUGGCUGGAUAUGAAAUUAACGGAAACAAAUCAGUAACCUUCCUUUAUAUAAAUGAUAGAUGGGCUGAGAAAGAAAUUAGGGAAACAAAACCCUUCACAAUAGCCACACAUAAUAUAUCUUGGUGUAACUUUAACCAAGUGAAAGAUCUGAAUGACAAGAAGGGGAACGGGGAGUGGGAGAGAGGAACCUGAUCUUGUAUUGGGUGAGGGAAAAGGACUGAAGCCCCAAGGGCCAGCAGAAAGAAUGUAAACAGGCAUCCUCAGGAAAUAGGAGGUUGGGGGACCCCCCCCCAGAACGUACCAUUGACCUGGGAGGUGAAAGACUUCCAGGACUCAAAGUGAGGGACCUUAGAUGAAAUGCCUGACAGUAGAUAGAGGGAACUUAUAAACUCCAGCAGGAAGACAGGACAUCAAGUGAGGGAUGGGAUUUCCAUCCCACAGUCACACAUCUGACCCAAAAUCGUUCCUGUCUGAAAGAAUUACAAGGAUGGAAAUGGAGAGGAGCCUGAGGAAAAGAAGGUCCAUUGACAGGCCCAAAGAGGGAUCCAGCUCACGGGGAGAUCCCAAGGCCUGACACUACUACUAAGGCUAUAGAGUGCUCACAACAAGGGAUCUAUUAUGAAUGCUCUCUGAAAGACCCAAAAAAACAGCUGAAAGAAGCAGAUGCAGAUAGUUGCACCCAACCAAUGGAAAGAAGCAGUUGACCCCUGUUGUUGAAUUAGGGAAGGCUGACAGAAGCUGAGGAGAAGGGUGAUCCUGUAGGAGGACCAGCAGUCUCAAUCUGGACCCCUGAGAUAACCCAAACAUUGGACCACCAAACAGGACAUACCAACUGAUAUGAGGUCCCCAACACACAUACAGGAGAAUUCCGGAUCUGUGUUCAUUCAGAGAUGAUGAACUUAAACCUUAAGAGAGUGGAAGCCUCAGGAAAUUGGGGAUGGAUGGGGGGGGGGUGACAAAUAGAAUAUGGAGUGUAAAAAUUAAUUAAAAAUAAUUUUAAAAAGAACUUCAAGUCCCUAAAGAACAAAGAUGAAAAGAUCUCCUCCCAUGCACAUGGACCUGUGGAUUAACAUAAACAUCUUACCAAAAGUAAGCUACUGUUCAAUGCAAUGCCCAUCAAAGUUCUAAUACAGUUCUUCACAGACAUGGAAAGAGUAACUCUCAACAGAGUUACUCAACAUCAUAUGGAAAAACAAAGACCCAGGAUAACAAAAACAGUUCUUAACAGUAAAAGAUCUUCCGGGGAAAAUAAUAAUUCCUGGCCUCAAGCUGUACAAUCAAGCAAUUGUGAUGAAGAUCACGUGGUAUUGGUACAGAGACAGAAGUUGCCCAGUGGAAUAGAAUCGAAGACCCAGAAAUAAACCCACACACCUAUGGACACUUGAUCUUUGAUAAAGAGGGCAUCUGAAAUCAAGAAAAUAGAAAAGUGAAAAGAUCUCCUUGAGGGUUCGUGGAAUGAAAUCAUGAUCAUUAAAUUUCCCAAUUGUAGAGUUUAAAUAGAAGAGACAGAGAAAGAAAAUUCAUUUGAGUACAUAAACUAUUGAGAACCAGGCCAAUCCAAAGCAUUCUCAGAGGCCCUAAUGAAGGAGAAAAGUAAUCUCUUUAUUCCAAACUUUAAUCUAUCCCCUAUUUUUUGAAAACCUGAUCCUCUCUCUCAAGGUUCUGUUACUGAAGGUUUGCCAGCUAGUCCAUGCCAGUAAAUAAUCAUUGAAAAUUCAGAUAUAUGAACAAAAUGGACAUUCAGGUAUAUGAUAGGUUCAAUACAACAAUGUAGACAACACACAUUAAAGAUUGAAAGAUUAAUUCUAUCAGUGCAUUUCUUAGCAUAUAUCAAAGUAUGAAAUUCACUGGUUAAGUAUAGAGGUAAAACAAAACAACCAGCCAAACAAAAGACAGUCACAAACCUCAUUUUAGAUUUAAGAGCAUAUAGACUGAAAAACAAAAUAGAAACUAGCAAUACAUUACACAUGGAAAACAGGAGUGACAAAAUUAUGAAGAUAUAGUCACUAUAUAAUAAUAGAAUCCAUUAAUGGUGAGGUCUAACAUUUGUAACAAUAUCUGUCUUAAAACUUAAAACAUAAACCUGAAAAGAUUAUCCUUUAGCAUUCUCCACUUAUAGUAGUGGAUAACUCAUCUGUACAAAGAAUCACUAGAGAACCAUUUGAGAUAUAUAUCAAUAAAUAAUAAAUAAUCUAAGUUUACAUCUCAUGGAACUAUAAAGGAAAAAACCCUAUCCUACAUGUCAAAGGGAUAAAAAGACAGGCUAGUGCAGGUAUAAAUUAAAGACAAAAAAUUAAUUCACCUUCAAACUCUUUAAUAAUUGAAGAUAGAAUAGUUCUAAACCAAUUAAUCAUUCAGAAAAGGCCAAAGUCAUCAACAGUGUUCCAGUAAAACAAAGUUUCAUGGACUAAUGUCACAUCUACCCCUAUUUUACAAGAGUCUUUUAGCUGUACUACAGAGCAAUUGUGAUAAUUAGUAAUUAUCUUAAGAGAUAAAGAAAUUUUAUGAUAAAAAUGUCAUAUUUAGAGCUGAAAUGUUUUAAUGGAGCACAUGUGUGCAACGCUUACAGUAAAUAUUGAGUAACUGAAUUAUUUUCUUGAACUAAAGUAAGAAAAUGAUACCUAUGGAACGGGUAAUAUGGCUAGUAGAUAAAAGGCAAUUGCUGCCAAGCCUGAUGACCUAAACUGAAUCCUUGGGACUGCUAUGGUAGAAAUGACUUUUUUAAGUUGUCCCUUUAUGAUCACAUGAGUGUAAAGGCAUUUGCACAUGCAAAUGCAUGAACACAAACACAAUAAAUAAAUAAAUAAUUUUUUUUAAGUAAGUUAUUCCCUUUUUUACCAAUUGGAUUCAAGAUAAUGUUGAAAGUUCUAGCUAGAGGAAUUGAGGAUGGGGAGUGAGAUAUAUAAAUAAGAAAGGAAAAAAUAAAAUGUAUAUUUGCAAAUGAUAUAAUUGUACAGAAAAAUGUUAUUGCCUAAAGAAUUAUUACAGUCUUCAAAUCAAAGUUCAAUAUAUAAAACACACAAGAAAUAUCUACAUUUCUUUAUAUUAACAGUAAACUACCCAAAAGGGUAAUUAAGAAAGCUCUUAAGAAAAUAGUACCUCAAAUCAGAAAUAAACAUUGAAUAUAUCAGUUAGUUUGGACAAGAGUAUCAUAACCAUUUAUCAACAAAGGUCUGUUAUUUGAACAAAUAGUUUUGGGGAAAAUGGGUAUUAAGAUUUAGGAAAAUGAAUGUAGCACCUUUAAAUUACAGUAUAUAAAAUUAACUUAAAAGGGAUCAAAAAUAUAAAUGUAAGUAUAAAUUUUGAAGAAAAAUUACAUUAUAUGGGGCAUUAAUUUCAUGAAUAUAACACCAAAGGUAUAGACAACAAAAGACUGAACUUCAUGAUAUGUAGGCAUAAGUUUAACCACAGCAGCAAAAUUUUUGUUUACUAAAAAUAAAUACUUAUGAAAAAAUUGAAGAUGACAGUAAUAGAUGUAUAUUUGUUACCUCUUUGUGGAUCCAAAGACUUUCAGCACAUUCAUGCAGCCCAAAGUAAUGCGCAGAUUGAAAAUGAUUUUAUUCUAGUUUUAUGCUUUCUUUAGAUAAGUAAAAUUCUAUAAACAUAUGAAAUCACAAGAAAAGUUGAAUAGCUGAGCAUUUAUGACAUUAAAAAUAGCUGGAACUAUCACCCACCUUGAUUAACCUACUCACAGGGAAAGACCAAUUGUAAGCAAUGCAGAUCCUUAUAUUGACACAUAGAUGGACAAUUUACCUUUCACACAGGAAUUAUGAAUAAACGAUGAGAACAGAAUACUCAUCAAAAGAUGGUAUGUAAAUCCUGGAUAUGAAAAUGAAAAAAAUUGAAAUUGGUUCUAUUCCAUAAUCAUAUUAACCCAAAGUAUGUUAAAGAUUUAAUUCUAGAUGAGAACUCCUAGAAUAAACUAAUUUUAACAGUGAUCUUAACAAUUACUUUUUAAGAUACAACAUCAAAUGCCUAGAAAUAAAUACAAAGUUGCUGCCUAUCACAGGUUUGGUAGUAUGAAGGGGAAACAAAAAUAAAAAAGAUAACAUACAUAAUGGAAUAAAAUAUUUCCAAACUACAUCUAAUGUGUUAACAUAUAAACUAUAAAAAUAACAAAUAUUUCAAUAGCAAAUGAUAACAAAAAUUAUCUAAAUAUGACUCAGACAAAAGACAGAGUUAACCAUUUUCCAACAUACCCAUACAAAGUAUUAAGAAGAAUACAAGAAGUGCUCAGUAUCACUAUCUGGGGAAUGUAACUCAGAACAAUCAUGAUAAUACCUCAAAUAUUUUAUGAAUUAUUUUUAAAAGUCCAAAAAAUAGUGAAGAUAUGGAAAAAUGAAAAAUCUGAUUCUAUGUUUGAGGUGAAUGUAAAUUGACAUAACAAGAUAUAAAUGUAAUAUAAAAUUGAAUGUAAAUUGGCAUUUGAAAAAAAUUGAAGCACCUAAUACUGUGUCUUUGUGCUCGAGUAGAAUGACAAGUUGUUAUGGUCACCAGCAUUUGUCUCAUACAAGGAACACGCUAAUGUUACAGUUAACUGUAAAGUUCACUGGCUUUAAAAUACACCUAAAUUUAACAACAAAAGAUUGAAGAUAUAAGCUGAGUGAGACAUCUCAUAGAAAGAAUGUACCUUAAAAUCUACCAAUCAUAGUUCAAUCUUUAGAACACACAGAAAAAGAGAGGAACAAAUCCCAAAAUUUGUCAAAUGACCUCUACAUAUGAGCUAUGGCACACAUGCACCCAUAGUCCAAUAUACACACAAUAAUAAUGACAAUGAUAAUAAUAAACAAAAUAAAACAAUUUCAAUUUUAAAAUGAAAAAUAAGUCAUGGAUGGUUUAAUCAAUGUUUAGAUAACUUGUAAUUUUUAUCAUAACAUUAUUCAUAUUAAUCAAGAUAUAAUACUGUGUCAAAAUGGAUACAAUGGAUAAAAUUAACAGAAUGUUUAAUCUCAAAAAAGAAGUCAUUUACUUUGUGACAGUAUGGAUGAACUAAGGUUAAACUGUGAAUUAGAAAGAACAAAUACUUCAUGUUCUCACUAUAUGUGUAAUCUAAAAAUGUUAAACUCUAAAAGCUGAAUAUAAGAUUGGUUAGUAAUUUAGACUUGGGUCUUAAAGAAAACAUUGGUUGAAGGAAUUAUAGUUAUAAGAUGAACAAAUUCAGCAUUGUAAACCUCAUUCUCUACAAUCUAUAUUUAGAACUUGAUGAAUAUAUCUUAAAUACUUGCAGAACACCAAUGUAAAAUCUAUGUGGACUGAUACAGUAGUUUCAUUGUAUUAGUAUAUUUAUAAUCAUAAAGUUUCAGAGCGUGUGAAUAGAUAUUGCAAAUUGUGUCUCAAUACAACUAUUAAAACCUCAAAGCAUCAAGGGGUGAAAAAUAUUCAGCAAUUAAAUUAAUUAAGAUGGAGGAGGGUUAUAUACUUAAAACUACAAAUUAUUGCUAAAGAUAAAUAAAAAUAGUCACCAUUCAUAAAGUUGAAGGUAAUAUAUAAAUACUACACAAAGCAUUUUAUGCCCUCAGGGCAUCCAUAAUGAAUAUCCAAAUGUCUACAGAAAUUAGAAAAAUCCAUCAUAAUAUUCACAACCUUUAGAUAAUUACACAAAACUGUUACAUGAUCAUGGUCUUCAAAUUAAGCACAAACAGUGCUGAGGGACUCCAUUUUCUAACAUCAAAUGGUCUUACCAUGUUACCAUUGAGAAAAGUGAAUGAUAGUAAUUUAAAUAAUUUAAAGAUAGACUUACAGAUCAAUGGAACAUAUUAAAAGAGAGAACUCAGAAAUGAUCCUUGGUGUACAUGACAUUUUACAGUGUUGGCCAGACUAAUUUAAAAAGAAAAAGUCAUCUUGACAAUAUAUAGUGCUGGUAAAACUAGACAUCCUUAUGUAAAAGGGUAAAUGUUGGAUCUUUACUAAAAGCAUAUAUAAAAAUUAAUUCAAGGUCUGUCAAAGACCUAAACAUGACCUGAGAAGUAUAGAAUUCAUGGAACUGGCAGUGACUUCUUAGAUGUGAAACUUGGGGGGAAGAAUAUAGAAAACUCUAUGAGUAUUUUAAAUGUUUGAACAUCAAAACACUAUUUCUCUAUAAAAACCCAACCACAAAGAGUAAAGCAUUUGCAAGUUACAUAUCUGAUAAGUGAUUAAUAUCUGUUAUUUACAGAAAAAUGCAUUACUUAUAUAAGAUCAAUUCAAAGUAGGUAAAAGACCUUGAGAAGUAUCAUAAGAACAAUUAUAAAUGACAUGUAUACACAUAUACUAAUGUGAAUAUCAAUUAUUAAUGAAAUGUACAUCAAAACUCUAAAAACAGGAUCACUGAGAUCGCUCAUCAGGUAAAAGUGCUUGCUGUCAAUUGAUGCAAGACUGACGAUCUAAUUGUCCUUGAAACCUGUAUGAAGGUGGAUGAAGAGAACUGACUCCAUAGUAUUAUCAUCUGAUCUGCAUAUAUACCAUAUGCAAUGUGAACCGCCCCCACAUCUAACUAUAAUUAAAUAUACCUCACAAUCACAUAUCAUUUCAUGAGAGAGAGAGAGAAAGAGAGCAGAGAAGAGCUUCAUCAAGACAUAUUACAAUAAAAAAGUCUAAAAAGAAAAGUGAUAAGUCAUUUAUACUAUUAUGGACUACAGUAGAUUUCAAAGAUGAAAUUCUACAGGCUAUGAGGUGAUGAAGUAAGAUAUUCCAAGUUCAGAAGCAAAGCAAAUUCCAACCAUUAAGUUCAAGGGCAUUGUUAGAAAUGAAGGAGAAAUAAUGCCCAUUUAAAACAAGCAAAAUCUGAGGGAAUCCCUAAGCAAUAGACCAGCAAGCAUUAUAAAACCACAAAAAUGAGAGACAAGAAAAGUACUCAACUAAAAGACAGCAAAAUCAUGAAGACAUCAGUUAUCCAUAAUAACCUUUGAUAUAUAUAAGAUACUUCAAAUUCUGUAGCCAUGGUAGCACACACCUUUAACCGUAGCACUCAGCAGGCAGAAGCAGAUAGAUCUCUAUGAAUUUGAGUUCAGUCUCGUCUACAUAACAAGUUUUAGGACAGCAAGGACUACUUGGAGCAACCUUGCCUACAAUGUGUGAUAUCUACAAAAAAUAUGAGAUGGUACUAUAGACAAAUGGUCAAGAUGAUUAUUUCAAAACUAUAUUUGCUCAUUAUUGGAGCAUAUAGUUUUAUAAAACAACAUCAGACAGAAGCAUAUGUGAGAGUUGUCAUCAUCAUACUGUGUCAAUGCGUUAUCCAGACUCUCCCUUUCAAAAAAGGCAAAAAUCAAUGAAAUCAGACUCCCUUAAAGAAAUACAGAAGAACAAAGGUAAACAUCUAGAAGCCCUGAAAGAGGUAACACAAAACAAUCCAGGAUCUAAAAAUGGAAGUAGAAACAAAGAAGAAAUCACAAAGGGAGACAACCCUGGAGAUUCAAAACCUAGGAAAGUGAUCAGAUGGUGAAAGGCAAAUACAAGAAUCUUACCAACAGAAACCAAGACUACUUGGCAUCAUCAGAACCUAGUACUCCCACAUCAGUGAGUCCUGGAUACCCCAACACACCCAAAAAGCAAGAUUUGGAUUUAAAAUCAUAUCUCAUGAUGCUGGUAGAGGAUUUUUAGAAAGGACAUUAAUAACUCCCUUAAAGAAAUACAGGAGAACACAGCUAGACAGGUAAAAGUCCUUAAGAGGAAACACAAAAAUCCCUUAAAGAUUACAAGAAAACACAACCAAACAGGUGAAUUGAACAGAACCACCCAGGAUCUAAAAAUGGAAGUAGAAACAAUAAGGAAUCACAAAGGGAGACAACACAGUAGAUAGAAAUCCUAGGAAAAAUCAGGAGUCAUAAAUGCAAGCAUAACUAACAGAAUACAAGAGAUGAAAGAAAAUCUCAGAUACAGAAGAUUCCAUAGAAAACAUGGGCACAACAAUCAAAAUGAAAAAUGGAAAAAGAUCCUAACUCAAAACAUCCAGGAAAUCCAGGUCACAAUGAGAAGACCAAACCAAAAGAUAAUAGGUAUAGGUGAGAAUGAAGAUUAUUGACUUAAAGGGCCAGCAAAUAUCUUCAACAAAAUUAUAGAAGAAAACUUCCCAAACCUAAAGAAAGUGAUGCCCAUGAACAUACAAGAAGCUUACAGAACUCCAAAUAGCUUGGACCAGAAAAGAAAUUCUGCCUGACACAUAAUAAUCAAAACACCUAAUGCACAAAACAAAGAAUAUUAAAAGCAUUCAGGGAAAAAGAUCAAGUAACAUAUAAAGGGAGCCCUAUUAGAAUUACACCAGAUUUCUCACCAUAGACUAUGAAAGGCAGAAGAUAUUGGACAGAUGUUAUAGAGAUACUAAGAGAACACAAAUGCCAGCCCAGGCUACUAUACCCAGCAAAACUCUCAAUUACCAUCGAUGAAGAAACAAAGUAUUCCAUGGAAAAACCAAAUUCACACAAUAUCUUUACAUAAAUAUAGCACUUUAAAGAAUAAUAAAGGGAAAACUCCAACUCAAGGAGGGAAACUAUACCCUAGAAAAAGCAAGAAAGUAAUCCUUCAACAAACCUAAAAGAAGAUAGCCAUACGAACAGAAUCCCAACUCUAACAACAAAAAUAACAGGAAGAAACAAUUACUUUUCUUUAAUAUCUUUUAGUAUCAAUGGAUUCAAUUACCCCAAUAAAAAGACAUUGACUAACAGACUGACUACAUAAACUGGACCCAACAUUUUGCUGCUUACAGGAAACCCACCUCAGGGACAAUGAAACUACCUCAAAGUAAAAGGCUGGAAAACAAUUUUCCAAGCAAAUGGUCCCAACAAACAAGCUGAAGUAGCGAUUCUAAUAUUGAAUCGAUUUUCAACCUAAAGCUAUAAAAAAGACAAGGAGGGGCACUUCAUAUUCAUCACAGGAAAAAAAUCUCAAUUCUGAACAUCUAUGCUCCAAAUGCAAGGGCAUCUACAUUAAUUAAAGAAAUUUUAGUAAAGCUCAAAGCACAUAUUACACCUCAAAUAAGUAAUAGUCUGUGACUUGAACACCCUACCCUCAUCAAUGAACAGAUCAUGGAAACACAAACUAAACAGAGACAGAGUGAAACUAACAGAAGUUAUGAAACAAAUGGAUUUAACAGAUAUAUAGAACAUUUCAUCAUAAAACAAAAGGAUAUACCUUCUUAUUAGCACUUCAUGGCACCUUCUCUAAAACUGACCAUAUCAUCAGACACAAAAAUAUUGAAAUAAUUCCAUGCAUCCUAUCAGAUAACCAUGGAUUAAGGCUGCUCUUCAAUAACAACAUAAAUAAUAGAAAGCCAACAUACAUGUGGAAUCUGAACAACACUCUACUCAAUGAUAACUUGGUCAAGGAUGAAAUAAAGAAAGAAAUUAAAGACUUUUAAUGAAAAUGAAGCCACAACAUACCCAAACUUAUGGGACACAAUGAAAGCAGUCCUAAGAGGAGAAGUCAUAGCUCUGCUCUGCGUGCCUCCAAAAAGAUACUGGAGAGAGCAUACACUAGCAGCUUGACAGCACACCUAAAAUCUCUAGAACACAAAAGGGCGCAAAUUCACCCAAGAAAAGUAAAUGGCAGGAAAUAAUGAAACUCAGGGCUAAAAUAAACUAAGUGGAAACGCAAAUAACUAUACAGAGAAUCAACCAAACCAGGAGCUGUUCCUUUCAGAAAAUCAACAAGAUAGAUAAACCAGACUAACUAGGGGACACAGGGACAGUAUCCAAAUGAACAAAUUCAGAAAUGAAAAGGGAGACAUAACAGAAUCUGAGGAAAUAAAAAAGAUCACCAGAUCCUACUAAAAAAGCCUAUACGCAACAAAACUGGAAAACCUGGAGUUGGGCAUGGUGGCACAUGCCUUUAAUCCCAGCAUUUGGGAGGCAGAGGCAUGUGGAUUUCUGAUUUCAAGGCCAGCCUCUUCUACACAGUGAGUUCCAGGACAGCCAGGGCUAUACAGAAAAACCCUGUCCAAAAAAAAAAAAAAAAACCUGGAAAACCUGAAAUGGACAAUUUUCUAGAAAGAUUACAGGUACCAAACUUGAAUCAGGAUCAGAUUAAUGAUCUAAACAGUCCCAUAUCCCCUAAAGAAAUACAGACAGUCAUUUAUAGUCUCCCAACCAAAAAAAAAAAAAAAAAAAAAAAAAAAAAAAAAAAAAAAAAGCCCAGGAUCAGAUGAGUUUAGUUCAGAGUGCUAUAAGACCUUCAAAGAAGACCUAAUUCCAAUUCUCCUCAAGCUUUUCCACAAAAUAGAAACAGAAGGUACUCUACCCAAUUUGUUCUAUGAAGCUACAAUUGCUCUGAUACCUAAAUCACACAAAGAACCAACAAAGAAAGAGAACUUCAGACCAACUUCCCUUAUAUAUUUUGAUGUAAAAAUACUCAAUAAGAUUCUCACAAACAGAAUCCAAGAACACAUCAAAAUGAUCAUCCAUCACAAUCAAGUAGGCUUCAUCCCAGGGAUGCAGGGAUGGUUUAAUAUACAGAAAUCUAUCCAUGUAAUGCACUAUAUAAACAAACUCAAAGACAAAAACCACAUGAUCACCUCAUUAGAUGCUGAGAAAGCAUUUGACAAAAUCCAACACCCCUUCAUGAUAAGAUUCUUGGAAAGAUCAAGAAUUCAAGGCCCAUACCUAAACAUAAUAAAAGCAAUAUACAGCAAACCAGAAGUCAACAUCAAACUAACUGGAGAAAAACACAAAGCAAUUCCACUAAAAUCAAGGAGUAGAGAAGGCUGCCCCACUGUCUCCCUACCUUUUCAAUAUAGUACUUGAAGUCCUAGACAGAGCAAUUAGACAACAAAAGGAGAUCAAGGGGAUACAAAUUGGAAGGUAGAAGUCAAAAUAUCACUAUUUGCAGAUGAUAUGAAAGUAUUUAUGUGUGUGUGUGUGAGUAUAUAUAUAAAAAAAAUUUUUACCAGAGAACUAAACCUGAUUAACAACUUCAGUGAAGUAGCUGGAUAUAAAAUUAACUCAAACAAAUCUUUCUCUACACAAAGGAUAAAUGGGCUGAGAAAGAAAUUAGGGAAGCAACACCCUUCACAAUAGUCACAAAUAAUAUAAAAUACCUUGGUGUGACUUUAAGGAAGUGAAAGUUUUGCAUGACAAGAACUUCAGGACACAGCUUCUGGGACAGGCCCUGAUUUGAGCUGCAGACAUCGGGCACCUUCCCUGCCAGAGGAGAGGUGACCACCCAAGAGGCCUCUGACCACCAGAGCAGGUGAGGGAGCCAUCCUGUGUCCGGGUCCCUCUGAGACCAGUCUGCGCAGAUCUUCUCACGGAAUGCAUAGGGUGAGCAACAGGAUUGUAGAAGCGACACAGCUUCUGGGACAGGCAGAAGUGACAUGGCUUCUGGGACAGACCCCGUUUCAGGCUCCAGACAUCUGGGCACCUUCCCCACCAGAAGAGAGGUGACCACCUGGGAGGGCUCUGACUGCUGGAGCAGGUGAGGGAGCCAUCUUGUGUCCUGGGUCCCUUGGAGACCAGUCUGUGCAGGUGAGUACACAGACUACAGAAGCAACACAUCUUCUGGGACAGGCCCUUUUGGGGGCCUUCAUCUUCAGACAGAAGGUAGUUCUGAAUGCCAGACCUCUGUGCACCUUCUCUGCAAGAGGAGAGCUUGCCUGCAGAGAGUACUCUGACCACUGAUACUCAGGAGAGAGCUGGACUGCUGACAGAGGCUAACAGAAUUACAAGAGGAACAGGCUCCAGCCAGAGACAACUAUAACAACACCAGAGAUUACCAGAUGUUGAAAGGCAAACGUAAGAAUCUUACCAACAGAAACCAUGACCAUUCACCAUCAUCAGAACCCAGCACUCCCACCUCAGCCAGUCCUGGAUAUCCCAACACACAUGAACAGAAAGCAAGAUUCAGAUUAAAAGUCAUAUCUCAUGAUGCUAGUAGAGGACCUUAAGAAGGGCAUUAAUAACUCAAAGAAAUACAGGAGAACCCUGCUAAACAGGUAGAAGUCCUUAAAGAAUUACAGGAAAACACUGCUAAACAGGUAGAAGUCCUUAAAGAGGAAACCAAAAAAAUCCCUUAAAGAAUUACAGGAAAACACAACCAAACAGGUGAUAGAAUUGAACAAAACCAUCCAAGACCUAAAAACGGAAGUAGAAACAAUAAAGAAAACCCAAAGUGGGACGACUCUGGAGGUAGAAACCCUAGGAAAGAAAUCAGGAACCAAACAUGUGAGCAUCAGCAACAGAAUACAAGAGAUGGAAGAGAGAAUCUCAGGUGCAGAAGAUUCCAUAGAGAACAUGGGCACAACAAUCAAAGAAAAUGCGAAAAGAUUCUAACUCAAAACAUCCAGGAAUUCCAGGAUACAAUGAGUAGACAAAACCUAGGGAUAAUAGGAGUAGAGGAGAAUGAAGAUUUUCAACUUAAAGGGUCAGCAAAUAUCUUCAACAAAAUUAUAGAAGAAAACUUCCCAAACCUAAAGUAAGAGAUGCCCAUGAACAUACAAGAACCCUACAAAACUCCAAAUAGACUGGACCAGAAAAGAAAUUCCUCCCAACACAUAAUAAUCAGAACAACAAAUGCACUAAAUAUAGAAUAUUAAAAGUAGUAAGGGAAAAAGGUCAAGUGACAUAUAAAGGCAGGCCUAUUAGAAUUACAUCAGACUUCUCACCAGAGACUAUGAAAGCCAGAAAUCCUGGACAGAUGUUAUACAGAUCCUAAGAAAACACAAAUGCCAGCCCAGGCUGCUAUACCCAGCAAAAUUCUCAAUUACCAUAGAUGGAAAAACCAAAAUAUUCCAUGAUAAGACCAAAUUCACACAAUGUCUUUCCUCAUAUCCAGCCCUUCAAAGGAUAAUAAAGGGAAAACAACAACACAAGUACAGAAACCACACCCUAGAAAAAGCAAGAAAGUAAUCCUUCAACAAACCUAAUAGAAGAUAGCCACAAGAACAGAAUCCCAAGUUUAACAACAAAAAUAACAAGAAGCAACAAUUACUUUUCUUUAAUUUCUCUUAACAUCAAUAGACUCAAUUCCCCAAUAAAAAGACAUAGACUAAUAGACUGGCUACACAAACAGGACACAACAUUUUGCUGCUGACAGGAAACCCACCUCAGGGACAAAGACAGACACUACCUCAGAGUGAAAGGCUGGAAAACAAUUUUCCAAGCAAAUGGUCAGAAGAAACAAGCUGGAGUAGUCAUUUUAAUAUCGAACAAAACUACUUUCCAACCCAAAGUUAUCAAAAAAGACAAGGAGGGGCACAUCAUACUCAUCAAAGGCAAAAAUCUACCAAGAUGAACUCUCAAUUCUGAAUAUGCUCCAAAUACAAGGACAUCCACAUUAAUUAAAGAAACUUUAGUAAAGCCCUAAGCACAUAUUGCACCUCACACAAUAAUAGUGGGAGACGUUAACACCCCACUUGCACCAAUGGACAGAUUCUGGUAACAGAAACUAAAUAGAGACACAUGGACACUAACAGAAUUUAUGAAACAAAUGGAUUUAAUAGAUAUCUACAGAACAUUUUAUCCUAAAAUAAAAGGAUAUACCUUCUUCUCAGCACCACAUGGUACCUCCUCCAAAAUUGAUCAUAUAAUCUGUCACAAAACAGGCCUCCACAGGUACAAAAAUAUUAAAAUUAUCCCAUGCAUCCUAUCUGAUCACCACGGACUAAGGCUGAUCUUCAAUAACAGCAUAAAUAAUAGAAAGCCAACAUUCACAUCAAAACUGAACAACAUUCUACUCGAUGAUUCCUUGGGCAAGGAUGAAAUAAAGAAAUUAAAGACUUUUUAGAGUUUAAUGAAAAUGAAGCCACAACAUACCCAAACUUAUGGGACACAAUGAAAGGAGUCCUAAGAGAAAACUCAUAGCCCUUGGUGCCUCCAAAAUGAAACAAGAGAGAACAUACACUAGCAGCCUGACAGCACACCUAGAAGCUCUAGAAAUAAAGGAAGCAAAUUCACCCAAGAGGAGUAGAUGGCAGGAAAUAAUCAAACUCAGGGCUGAAAUCAACCAAGUGGAAACAAAAAGAACUGUUCAAAGAAUCAACCAAACCAGGAGCUGGUUCUUUGAGAAAAUCAACAAGAUAGAAAAACCCUUAGCCCGACUAACUAGAGGACACAGGGACAGUAUCCAAUUAACAAAAUCAGAAAGGAAAAAGGAGACAUAACAACAGAACCCGAGGAAAUCCAAAACAUCAGAUCCUACUACAAAAAGCUAUACUCAACAAAACUGGAAAACCUGGAUGAAAUGGACAACUUCGUACCAAAGUUAAAUCAGGAUCAGAUUAACAAUCUAAACAGUCCCAUUUCGCUUAAAGAAAUAGAAGCAGUCAUCAAUAGUCUCCCAACCAAAAAAAAAAAAAAAAAAAAAAAGCCCAGGACCAGAUGGGUUUAGUGCAGAGUUCUAUCAGACCUUCAAAGAAGACUUAAUUCCAACUCUUCUCAAACUAUUCCACAAAAUAGAAACAGAAGGUAUCCUAACCAAUUCAUUCCAUGACGCCAAAAUUACUCUGAUACCUAAACCACACAAAGAUCCAACAAAGAAAGAGAACUUCAGACCAAUUUCCCUUAUGAAUAUCGAUGCAAAAAUACUCAAUAAAAUCUUUGCAAACUGAAUCCAAGAACACAUCAAAACAAUCAUCCAUCAUGAUCAAACAGGCUUCAUCCCAGGGAUGCAGGGAUGGUUUAAUAUAUAGAAAUCCAUCAACAUAAUCCACUAUAUAAACAAACUCAAAGACACAAACCACAUGAUGAUCUUGUUAGGUGCUGAGAAAACAUUUGACAAAGUCCAACACCCCUUCAUGAUAAAAGUCUUGGAAAGAUCAGAAAUUCAAGGCCCAUACCUAAACAUAAUAAAAGCAAUAUACAGCAAACCAGUAACCAACAUCAAACUAAAUGGAGAGAAACUCGAAGCAAUCCCACUAAAAUCAGGGAGUAGACAAGGCUGCCCACUUUCUCCCUACCCAUUUAAUAUAGUACUUGAAGUCCUAGCCAGAGCAAUUAGACAACAAAAGGAGAUCAAAGGGAUACAAAUUGGAAAGGAAGAAGUCAAAAUAUCACUAUUUGCAGAUGAUAUGAUAGUAUAUAUAAGUUACCCUGAAACAUCCACCAGAGAACUCUUAAACCUGAUAAAUAGCUUCAGUGCAGUAGCUGGAUAUAAAAUUAACUCAAACAAAUCAAUGGCCUUUCUCUACAAAAAGGAUAAACGGGCUGAGAAAGAAAUUAGGGAAACAACACCCAUCACAAUAGUCACAAAUAAAAUAAAAUACCUUGGUGUGACUCUAACUAAGGGAGUGAAAGAUCUGUAUGAUAAGAACUUCAAAUCUCUGAAGAAGGAAAUUGAAGAAGAUCUCAGAAGAUGGAAAGAUCUCUCAUGCUCAUGGAUUUGCAGGAUUUAUAUAGUCAAAAUGGCUAUCCUGCUGAAAGCAAUCUACAGAUUCAAUGUAAUCCCCAUCAAAAUUCCAACUCAAUUCUUCACUGAGGUAGAAAGGGCAAUUUGAAAAUUCAUCUGGAAUAAUAAAAAACCUAGGAUAGCAAAAACUAUUCUCAACAAUAAAAGAACCUCUGGUGGACUCACCAUGCCUGACCUUAAGCUGUACUACAGAGCAAUUGUGAUAAAAACUGCAUGGUACAGGUACAGCGACAAACAGGUAGCUCUAUGGAAUAGAAUUGAAGACCCAGAAAUGAAUCCACACACCUAUGGUCACUUGAUCUUUGAAAAGGGAGCUAAAACCAUCCAGUGGAAAAAAGACAGCAUUUUCAACUAAUGGUGCUGGCACAACAGAUGGUUAUCACGUCGAAGAAUGCGAAUUGAUCCAUUCUUAUCUCCUUGUACAAAGCUCAAGUCUAAGUGGAUCAAAGACCUCCACAUAAAACCAGAGACACUGAAAUUUAUAGAGGAGAAAGUGGGGAAAAGCCUCAAAGAUAUGGGCACAGGGGGAAAAUUCCUAAACAGAACAGCAAUGGCUUGUGCUGUAAGAUCAAGAAUUGACAAAUGGGACCUCAUAAAAUUGCAAAGCUUCUGUAAGGCAAUAGGCACUGUCAAUAAGACAAAAAGGCCACCAACAGAUUGGGAAAGGAUUUUUACCAAUCCUAAAUCUGAUAGGGGACUAAUAUCCAAUAUAUACAAAGAGGUCAAGAAGCUCAACUUCAGAAAAACAAAUAACCCCAUUAUAAAUGGGGUAUAAAGCUAAACAAAGAAUUCUCAAGUAAGGAAUACCGAAGGGCUGAGAAGCACCUGAAAAAAUGUUCAACAUCCUUAAUCAUUAGUCAAAUGCAAAUCAAAACAACCUUGAGAUUCCACCUCAUACCAGUCAGAAUGUCUAAGAUCAAAAACUCAGGUGACAGUAGAUACUGGCAAAAAUGUGGAGAAAGAGGAACACUCCUCCAUUGCUGGUGGGAUUGCAAGCUUGUACAACCACUCUGGAAGUCAGUCUAGCGGUUCCUCAGAAAAUUGGACAUAGUACUACAUAAAGAUCCAGCAAUACCAGUCCUGGGCAUAUACCCAGAAGAUGCUCCAACUGCUAAUAAAGACACAUGUUCCAUUAUGUUCAUAGAAGCCUUCUUUAUAAUAGGCAGAAGCUGAAAAGAACCCACAUGUCCCUCAACAGAGGAAUUGAUACAGAAAAUGUGGUACAUUUACACAGUGGAGUACUAGGCAGCAAUUAAAAACAAUGAAUUUAUGAAAUUCUUAGGCAAGUGGAUGGAUCUGGAGGAUAUCAUCCUGAGUGAGGUAACCCAGUCACAAAAGUACACACAUGAUAUGCGCUCACUGAUAAGUGGUUAUUUGCCCAGAAACUCAGUAUACCCAAGAUACAAUUUGCAAAGCACAUGAAAGUCAAGAAGAAGGAAGACCAAAGUGUGGAUACUUCGAUCCUUCUUAGAAGGGGGAACAAAAUACCUCUGGAAGGAGUUACAGAGACAAAGUUCUGAGCAGAGACUGAAGGAAGGACCAUCCAGAGACUGCCCCACCUGGGGAUCCAUCCCAUAAACACCUACCAAAUCCAGACACUAUUGUGGAUGUCAACAAGAUUUUGCUGACAGGAGCCUGAUAUAUCUGUCUUCUGUGAGGCUCUGCCAGUGCCUGGCAAAUACAGAAGAGAAUGCUCACAGUCAUCCAUUGGACAGAACACCGGGUCCCCAAUGACGGAACUAGAGAAAGCACCCAAGGAGCUGAAGGGGUCUGCAACCCUAAAGAUGGAACAACAAUAUGAACUAACCAGUACACCCAGAGCUCCCUGGGACUAAACCACCAAUCAAAGAAAACACAUGGUGGGACUCCUGUCUCUAGCUGCAUAUGUAGCAGAGGAUGGACUAGUUGACCAUCAAUGAGAGGAGAGGCCCUUGGUGUUGUGAAGGUUCUAUGCCACAGUAUAGGGGAAUGCCAGGGCCAGGAAGGAGGAGUGGGUGGGUUGGGGAGCAGGGAGAGUGGGGGGAUAGGGAAUUUUCAGAGAGGAAACUAGGAAAGGGGAUACAUUUGAAAUGUAAAUAAAGACAAUAUCUAAUAAAAAGAAUGAUAUCAUAGAAAAGAAAUAAAUUAAAUUAAUCAAAAUCUUAAAAAAAAAGAGAGUGAUGAUUCCCAACUUAAAGGGCCAAUAUAUAUCUUCAACAAAAUUAUAGAAGAAAACUUUCCUAAUGUAAAGAACGAGAUGUUCAUAAACAUAAAAGAAGCCUACAGAACUCCAAAUAGCUUGGGCCAGAAAAGAAAUUCCUUCUGACACAUAAUAGUCAAAACACCAAAUGCACAAAACAAAGAAAGAAUAUUAAAAGCAGUCAGGGAAAAUGUUCAAGUAACAUAUAAAGGCAGACCUAUCAGAAUUACACCAGACUUCUCAUCAGAGACUAUGAAAGCUAGAAGAUCCUGGGCAGAUGUUAUACAGACCCUAAAAGAUCACAAAUGCCAGCCUGGGCUACUAUACCCAACAAAACUCUCAAUUACCAUAUAUGGAGAAAACAAGAUAUUCCACUACAAAACCAAAUUUACAAAAUUUAUUUCCACAAAUCCAGGUCUACAAAGUAUAAUAGAUGGAAAACUCCAACACAAGGAGGGAAACUACACCCUAGAAAAGCAAGUAAGUAAUCCUCUUUCAACAAACCCAAUAGAAGAUAUCCACACAAACAUAAAAAUAAUAUCAAAAGCAACAGCAAGCAACAAUCACUAUUCUUUAAUAUCUUUUAACAUCAAUGGACUCAAUUCCCCAAUAAAAAGACAUAGAUUAACAGACUGGUUACAUAAACAGGACACAGCAUUUUGAUGCAUACAAGAAAUGCACCUCAAUGUCAAAGACAGUCAUUACCUCAGAGUAAAGGGCUGGAAAGUGAUUUUCCAUGCAAAUGGUCCCAAGAAACAAGCUGGAGUAGCCAUCCUAAUAUAGAAUAAAGUCAACUUUCAACCAAAAGUUAUCAAAAAGGAUAAGGAAGGAUACUUCAUACUCAUCAAAGAAAAAUCUACCAAGAAGAACUUUAAAUUCUGAACAUCUAUGCUCCAAAUGCAAGAACACCCACAUUCAAAAAGAAACUUUACUAAAGCUCAAAGCACACAUUGUACCUCACACAAUAAUAGUGGGAUAUUUCAACACCCUACUCUCAUCAAUGGAUAGAUCAUGGAAACACAAACUAAAAAGGGACAGAGUGAAACUAACAGAAGCUAUGAAACAGAUGUAUUUAACAGAUAUCUAUUGAACAUUUCAUCAUAAAACAAGAGGAUAUACCUUUUUCUCAGCACCACAUGGCACCUUCUCCAAAACUGACCAUAUAAUUGGUCACAAAAAAAGGCCUCAACAGAUACAAAAAUAUUGAAAUAAUCCCAUGCUUCCUAUCAGAUCACCACAGACUAAGGCUGGUCUUCAAUAGCAACAAAAACAGAAAGCCCACAUACACGUGGAAGCUGACCAACACCCUACUCAAUGAUAACUUGGCCAAGGAAGAAAUAAAGAAAUUAAAGAAUUUUUAGAACUUAAUGAAAAUGAAGCCACAACAUACCCAGACUUUUGGGACACAAUGAAGGCAGUCCUAAGAGGAAAACUCAUAGCUCUGGGUGCCUCCAAAAAGAAACCAGAGAAAGCAUACACUAGCAGCUUAACAACACACCUGAAAGCUCUAGAACAAAAAGAAGCAAAUACACCCAAGAGAAGUAGAUAGCAGGAAAUAAUGAAACUCAACCAAAUAAAAACAAAAAGAUCUAUACAAAUAAUGAACAAACCAUGAGCGGUUCUUUGCGAAAAUCAAGAUAAACCCUUAGCCAGACUAACCAGAGGAUACGGAGAUAGUAUCCAAAUUAACAAAAUCAGAAAUGAAAAGGGAGACAUAACCACAGAAACCGAGGAAAUUCAAAAAAUCAUCAGAUCCUACCACAAAUCCUAUACUCAACAAAACUGGAAAACCUUGAUGAAAUGGACAAUUUUCUAGACAGAUACCAGGUACCAAUGUUAACUCAGGAUCAGAUAAACCGUCUAUACAGUCUAAUUGUAAUUGGUGGUAAUGUUGCAUAACUAAAGAUCACAAAAUAAUGGGUAAAGAUUCCAUCUAGAAAUCACAUACACAUAAAUUAGACAUUAAUUGAAAGGAAUACUAUACAAUGAAUAGUGUACCAACGAAGGAGAACUAUCUGUGAAUGGGUGAUAUAUUUCUUUUUAAAUAAAUAACUUGAAAUGAUAAGAUGAUUACAUGUAUUUGGAAGAGCCACACAUAAACUCUAAACCAGAAAACUUACAUUUUGUUACUUACAAGAGUUGGGGCUUAUGAAUAUAGAAGGGAUAUGGGAGGAAAAGGCUUCUCUCAGUAGAUUAUUUUGUGUCUUUUUUUGUUUGUUUGUUUUUUGUUUUUUGUUUUUUGUUUUUUUGUUUUUUUUUUUUUUGAGACAGGGUUCCUCUGUGGCUCUGGCUGUUCUGGAACUCACUUUGUAGACCAGGCUGGCCCCAAACUCAGAAAUCUGCCUGCCUCUGCCUCCCGAGUGCUGGGAUUAAAGGCGUAUACCACCACACCUGGCAUGUGUCAUUUUUGACUUUUGGAAAUAUAUUGAUAUUUUCAAUAUUUUAAUAACAAACAUGUGGGCAGUUUCAAAAAAACAGUGGGAUAAGAAACACAGGCUAAAGUCUCAGUAGGGUAGCCAUAGUUCUAGGUACUGGGGAAAAGAUUUGUAAGAAUGAUACCUUAGGAGUUCAAGAGCAGUCUGGAUAAUGGCAAACCUCCAUCUCUCUAAACCACUGGCUCUCAAAUUUGAUGUCAUGUCCCCUUUCACAAAGGUCACAUAUCAGAUACCCUGCAUAUCAGAUAUUUACAUUAUGAUUCAUAAUAGUAACAAAAUUACAGUUAUGAAGUAGCAACAAAAAUAAUUUUUAUGACUGGGGAGCACCACAACAUGAACAUCUAUAUUAAAGGGGCACAGCAUUAGGAAUGCUGAGAAUCACCACUCUAUAUGAACAACUAGCAAAUUCUCAUUUUUCUAAAGAAACAAGCAAAUACAGUGUUUAAAUUUUUUACCAUUGUAAAUCUGAACAAGACUGUCAAAAACAGUGAUUUCAGAAAUAUAAAUUAAAGUCACAUAACAAACUGAAGAAAAACAUUAGGGUUGUGGAGCAGAAACAGAGUACUUAUUUCAGUUGUGAGGACCCUAUUUAAUCACAAUUAUUUUUAAAAAAAACUACAAAAGUAAAAUCUGAUAAAUCUCCAUAGAAAUUGCAAGGUCUGUGGAAAUUUAACCUAAGGUUGCCUUUCCCAUACCCAGAUGAGUACAAUAGCCUUGAAGACUAGCAUCUUUUCUUCCAAUGAAGAAGCCUAACCUGAUUUGAACUCUAUUGCCAGUCUCAUUCUUUAUGUCAAAAAAUAGUGUCCUCAAGGCAUUUACUGGUUAAAGCCACUGUUAUAGCAAUCUGAUGCUCUAGCACUGGUUGUUGCACAUAAAUACACACACACAAAAAGAUAGUAAAUUCUUAGAGAUAAGAUGGUCUGUACUCUCAAAAAAAGACCAGAAGUACUCUCCUUAUCUACACUGCUGAUUGUGAGACACUAUACAGACAAGAUGGUAAAACAAAGGACAGUUGUAAAGAGUCCAAAUGUUGAAUGGAAAUCCUAAGGCAAAGCCCUUUCAGGAAAAUUUACCAGCUUGAGAUACUUAAAACAAGGCCUCUGACUAAUGGUGGCUUAAGCUGAUCAAUUAAAGCAUGCUUUAAAAACAAAGACAGUCAUUUUCUAAAGAGCAAACUUGAAGAUAAAUCAGAUACACACAUUGCCGGGAAAUGCAAACACUAUAGAAGCAAAAUUGGCACAGGCAUGGCAGAAACAAGCAAUUGCCCACGUAGAUGGGAAAAAAUUCAAAUGUAGUGUUCCUAAAAAUCAACACAUCAUCCUAAGUGGAGAGGGGGGCUAGAGAGAUUAAAGAUUUGUAAAUAGUAAUGAUCACUGAGAGAACCUAAAUACUAGUUUUAGUAGGUCAAGAUUUCAAAGUAUAAAUAUUCUCACACUAAAAUAAGCCUUGUUUUAAAGAAUAAAAGUAAAACAUUGUGACAAUAACUCAUCAGAUGAAAUGUUAAUAAAGAGAUAUAUUAUAAAGUUGUCAGUACAAAUUACAAUAACUUAAAUGAAAACCUUACUUGUAGAGCCAGAUUGCAAGAUAAGCUGGGAGCAGAGAAAAAGAAUCAGUGAAUUUAAAUAUAGAUAUAUAAAGAUUAUUCAGUUUAAAGGACAGAAAAAAAAGAGUAAGGAAGAACAAUGAACAGAACCUCAGAGAUCUGUUAGCUACCACAAGAGUAGGUGUUACCACGAAUUUAUAUGUAAAUUGCACCAUGCAAUCCUCUGCUCCAUUGAAACAGAUAUGGUGGUAGAUGCUGAUAACCUCAGUAUUCAAGUGGUGGAAAUAAGAAGGUUUAGAAGCUCAAGGUCAUUUUCAGCUGCACAGUGAGUAGUUUAGACCACCCUGGGCUACAGGAGACCCUGUCUAUAAACAAACAAAACAAAUACCAGUGCCUGACAUUGUACUUAAUGGUGGAAGAUGAAAUGCUUUCCCUUCAAAUCAAGAAUAAGUUAACUCAGUAUAAUGGCAUACAAAUAUAAUUCCAUCUCCCCAGAGGAGGGAGAAGAAGAAGAAAGAUAAGUUAGAUGUCAUCUUGGGCUAUAUAGUUGUCUCAAAAAAUAAACCCAGCCACCCACAAUUGAGUCAAGGGGACCUGUUUUAUCACUUUUAUUAAAUAUUGUGUAGAAGUUCUGAUCAGUUAUACAAGGAAAAGAAACAAGUCUGGAAAAAAGUAAAAUUAAAUUUCUAUAUUUAACCAAAAUCCCAAGAUUGUAAAAUAUAAAGCUCAAUCAUAUUUCUAUGUACCAUGAGGGACUAAUGAAAUGAAGAAAACAAUUCAUUUUAUAAUGUAAAAAUGAAUAAAUCACAGGUAUGAAUGUACUUAAUGCCACAAAAAUACAUUUAAAAUUAUUAACUUAUAAAUUAUGUUCUUUUUUUUUUUACAAAACUAAAAGGAACAAAAUUAAUCGAUCUAUUUUUUAAAGUAUACAAACUAUACUCUAUGAAUGACAGGAUACCACUGAAAGUCUAGAUCUAAAUAAAUUGAUAUAUAGCUUGUGUUUAUGAACUGGAAAACUUGAAGUUAAGAUACAUAUGUUCUUCAAGAUGAUGUAGAGACCUGAUCCUUACCAAAAUAUCAGGUGUCUUUUCUAGAAAAUAACAAGCAAUGUUUAAAAUUAUGUAAGACCCAAAUGACCUACAAUAGUUAAAGCAAUCUCCCAAAUCAGUCAAGUUAAAGGGUUCAUACUUUUCAAUAUAUAGAUUUACUAUAAAAUAACAAGGCACUAUGUAAGCAUCACAUCAAACAGACAUACAUAAGAGGGGAUAGAAUUAAUAGUCUAUUAAAUAGUUUAUUAAAUACAGAACCAGAUAGCUAUGGUAAAUGGACUUUUAAUAAAGGUGCCACAGAAAUAAAUGAGGGAAUGAACAGUGUUUUGGAUGGAUUUUUCUUCAACAGCAUGUUAUAUAUGUAAGGGAAAUAAAGUUGAAUGGUUCCCUGCCACUAUAUGUAAAAGCUUAAAAUCAAUCAAAGACUUAAAAAUAGCAAUUAAAUCUUGCAGAAUUCUUACAAAAAAACAUAGAGUCAAAUCUUUGUAACCAAAUGUUUGACGAAAGGUGUUUUGUUUUGCUAUUUUUUUUAUAUAAACCGAAAGUAAAAUAAAGAGCUGAUUCACUGGACUUUAUUAAAAAUUUUUAAAAAUUUAUGCUUGGGGGUAUACUACAAAGAAAGUGGAAGCUGUAGAGAUGGCUCAGCGGUUAAGAAUAUUGGCUGCUCUUCCAGAGGACCAUGGUUGAAUUACUAACACCUAUAUGGCAGCUAAAAUAACUUCAGUUCCAGGGGACCCAAUAACCUUACAAAGAUAUAUAUGCAAGCAAAACAUUAAUACACAUAAAAAGGAAUUAUCAAAAAAUUUAAAGAAAGUAAGAUGGCAAUACAUAGGUGUGAGAAAAUACUCAAAAAUUGUUUGUUGAUAGAAUAUUUGUAGCAGGAUAAAUAUGAUAUAUAUCAAUAUACACACAUAUAUACACACAUAAUUCAAUAUAUACAACACUCAGAACUCGUUGCAAUUCACACACACACACACACACACACACACACACAAUCCCAAUUUAAAAAAUGAAGAAUCUAUGGCCUGUGAACCUUUAAUCUUAGCACUUCAGAGGCAGACAAGAAGAUCUCUAUGAAUUAAAAAAUAGCUCCAGUAAAGACCAUGUCAAUAGAAUGAGAUAGAUAGCUAUAGAGGGGGCAAAAAACUGAGAAAUCAUAUACUUGACUUAGGCUCUGUAUUCAGAACACAAGAAGAACUUCUUAAAACUUAACAUAAAAGGAAGUUCAGUUGAAAAAUUAGUAAACAAUUUAAAUAAACAGUUCACUGAAUGGAAGAAUGUGGAAAAAAUGAUUCAUUAUUAUUAUCCAUUGGCAAAAUACAAAUUUAAACCACAAUAAAACAUUACUGUGCCAGGCAUGGUAGCAUAUGCCUUUAAUCCCAGCACUCUCCUACACAAAGAAACCCUCUCUCAAAAAACCAAAAAAGAAAAUUUACUGCAUGUUUACCAGAAUUGGUAAAAUGAAAAAUACUGUCAAUAUUAAAUGAUCUAUAGUAAUUCCAAAUUAGGAAUAACUUAGAUGUCUGUGGAUGAGUGAGUGGUUAAAAAUGUGGUUUAUACAUACCAUGAAAUUCUACCCAGCAACAAGUCUGAAUUAACUACUGAUAUAUAAAACAACUUGGAUGAACAUCUAGAGAAUUAUGGUAAAUUCUAAAAAUGGUCAAAUUUCAAAAGAUGUGUUUGAUUCUAUUUAUAUAGCAAUCUCAAAAAAGCAGAUCUAUAGAAUCAAGAACAGAUUAGUGAUUACUGGGAAUUAAGGGAUGGUAGGAGGGAAGACGGUGUGGCUAUAAAAGGACAAACAGGGAUCUUUGUGGUAACAAAUAAUAUUCUGUAUCAUUGAACCAGUGUUUCCAUCCUCCUUAAAUUGCACUACAGUUUUGUUACUACUGGGAAAACUAUAUAUGAGUUUUUCAAACUAUAGAUGAUCUCUUUGCAUUAUUUAUUACAAAUGAAUGUGAAUUUCUAAAAUUAGAUUAAAAGCUUGAAUUUUAGAAGUAUGCAAAAGGAAACCAGUAAGAAAGUGGGCAAAGGGGCUUUCUGCUGAGCUUAAUGACUUGAGUUUGAUCCCCAAGACUCAUAUUGUAGAGGGAGAAAAGAAACUCCCACAAGUUUUCCUCCAUUCUCCAUGCAUGUAUUGUGGUAUGAGUGUGCCAUCUCCUUCCCAUAUCUGUGAAAAAAUACAACUGUGCAAAGGAUCUAAAUACAUAUACCAGUAAAGAAGACAUGUAACUGACCAAUAAACACAUACAAAAAUAUUCAAUACCAUUUAUAAAGCACAUCAGGACUGAAAUCAGAUAACAAAAUACUAGGUAGACUUUUUUUUCUCAGCACUUUUUGGAUGGAGUAUUAUAGAUGGAAAAUCAUUUUUGCAGCUACCAUAAUAAAGACUAGUUCCAGAAAGCAUCUUAAUCAGGACAGACCAAGGUAUUUUAAAAUGCUUAUAGUAUACCCACAGCAAGUUCAUCUGCCUCAAGGUAAAUAAUAGUGACUACACAGUGGAAAAACAGACAGUGCCUUAAUGGAGUGAUCAAACCAUCACCAUCAUUGAAUAUAUAUAUAUAUACACACACACAUACACACACAUCAUGGGAAAUGGUAUCCUAAGAAGGACAUUAUAUUGUUUCUGGAAUAUUCCAGAUGGGAAUCCACAAUCUGUAUCUAAUUAUAAAGAAAUAUCAAAGAAAUCCCUCAAAAAGUGACUUUGAUGUAAAAAGAAAAAAGACUAAGAGAUACUAGAAAUACCCAGGUUCACAGUAACUAAAUAUGCACAACCAAGGGCAACAUAGAACAUGGACUGGGCCUUGCACUUGGGGACAGCUGCACCAAAGGACUUUGUUGUGUUCACUGACAAGAGUAGAAUAUAGGCUUUGGGUUAUUUCAGUGACUGUAUGGAUGUUUAAUUGCCAAAGUUGAUGUCUGUUAUAUCACUUUCAAAGGGAGGAAAUGUGAUGUUGUCAUCCUCCUUAAACUGUAGUACAGUUAGGAAAUAAAUUGUUAGGAAAUACACAGCAAAAUGUCUAGGGGUGAGGGGCUGUAAAGUGUGCAAUUCCCUUUCAAGUUUUGCAAAGGAACACAGUGUACAAAUACACAUAUAAAAAUAUUGAAAUGAAAAAGCAAGUGAGGCUGGAAUGGUAAUAAGUGUACCUCAAAUCUUAAUGAAGGAUAUGAAGAUGUCUUAUAUAUCGUUCAUGCAGUUUUUCUGUAGUUCAUUAUUACUUCCAAAUAAAACAGUUUUGUUAUGUUUUAAAGAAACAUCUAUGAGAUAGCACAAUAUUCCAGUGAUUUUUGACUCAGGCUAAUUUUGCCCUAACUCGGGGAGGGGGUAGAUUUGAUAAUAUGUAGAGAGUUGUGGUUACUUUAUUUUAUUUUUGGUUGUCACAACUGAAGGAAUGCUGUGUUAGCAUCCUGGCAGAAGCCAGGGGCUCUGCUAAACAUCCUAAAGUACAUGGGGCACUCUUCGUUGACAAAGAAUUAUCUCCUGCCAAAUGUCAAUGGUUCCGCAGUAGAGUAUCCCUGCCCCACUUGGCUAACAAGAUGGAAAAUUUCUCUGCCAAUAAUGGCUGGCAGGGAUGUCAGGAAAGGGGAACCCUGCCUGUGGAAAUGCGAGGUCAGACAGCACUUGAGGAAAGCAACCUGGCAACAUACAUGCAAUUUAACAAUGCAUCCAUCCCUGUGUAAGGGGCUGAACUCCGUCCCCAUCAAUUUUCUAAGUUGAGGCCCUCAUUUCCAAUAUUUCAGAAUUUUAACAGGAGAUCAGACCUUUAAACAGACAGUUAAAUUGAGUCCAAUUUUACUGGUGUGCCUAUAAAGAAGGGGAAAUUGGGAUACAGAAAGAGUCCCAAAGUGUGGCUAUAUAGACAGAAGACACAGGGAUAUAUUGGCCAUCUGGGAGUUAAGGAGAGAGGUUUUAAGAGAGAAGCAACCUGCUGGCACUCCAAUCUGAGUCUUGUGGGCUCCUGCUUUUUGAGAAGCCUCUCAAUUCAGCAUUUGUUUUUGACAACCCUGGCAAAUGAAGUUUGUGAAUUCACUGCAUAGAAAUAAAAGCCUUUAUACUGGGAAGUGAUUUUAAGAAAAACUUUUAGAAAACUAGCUUAAACCUAAAGCAAAAUAUAUUUCAAGCAACGAAGAAUAUCACGGUAUAGGCAUACAAGGGAGAAUGAAGGAGAGACUCUAAGAUUUAAAUAGAAGUGAGAGAUGAACAGAAUUGUUCCUGAAGCUCAGAGGAAGCUGUAGUAGUAUGAUUGUAAGAAAAGCAAGGGGCAGAAAAGCAUGCAUGCUGUGCCUUCCAUGUGUUUCAAAGACAACAAUAAGGCCUCUUCAUGAGAGGUAUGGUUUAUUUCACUGUGUAUUAUAUGGACAUCAGGAAAACAUUAGAGAAUAAAAUCAUUGUUAAUCAAUGUAGGCAACAGAGAAGAAACAUGCAGAAAAAGAUUGUAUAUAUACAAUAUAGUCAGCUGUAAAUCUAAGAGCAUAAGUAAGUGAUAUAAUUUUUAAGAAAAAAUACCCCUCUCCCCCCUCCCCCCCCCAAGAUUUGUGGCAUGAGGAAUAAAAUAGAAGGUUAUGGAGCACAGAGUUGUCUGAUAGGAGAGAUUAAGGCUGGCAUUGUUGCAGCUUGGGGUUAAAUCUGAGGAGACAGACACCAGCGUUUUCACUGUAUGCAGGGUAGAAACCGACAUCCUCAUAUUUGUUCACUGCAGUAAUUCUUGCCGUAGACAGAUAGACUUUUCUUACCAUUGUUUUAAAAUUUUAUUUUACUUACUUUAUUUUUUGUGUGUACAUGUGUGUGCACACAUGCAUAUGUGUAUGGACAGUGUGUGUGUGUGUGUGUGUGUGUGUGUGUGUGUGUGUGUGUGCGUGUAUGUGUGUGUGUAUGCCAGAGAACAACUUCCAGUAACCAUUUUUCUCCUCAUAGCAUAUGGAUGCAGGGAAUUGGUUUCAGGUCAUCAGUCUUGGCAGAAAGUACCUUUACUUAGUGAGCUGGCCCCACAGUUGGAAGCUUGAUUUCAUUGAUGUGUAAUAGAGGCAUAAAAAGUAGAUGGAUCAGGGUCACAUAAUAAUAAAUAGUGGGAAAGGGUCGUGGUCUCAAGAAGCAUAGCUAUAAGUAGUGCCCUGAACACUACGAAUUUGCCUACAUUUUUAAAAAGCAGAGCUGUAAAGGAAGGAUUUAAUUUCACUAUUUCAGUUGGAAAAUUGCUAUUUCAGUUGGGGUAAAGUAAAUAGAGGGAAAAAGAAAUCCAACCAAUUAAAUAAAUAAGUAAAUAUAUAUGGAUGGAUGUAUAAUCCAUCGUCAUGUAUUUUAUCUGUUUAUACAAACAAAUCUGAGCCCCUCAAAUAGAGAAGGUAUGUUUUUAACUUAGGUGGGUGGAAUAGGUCACAUCCCAAGCUAAAAAUUACAAAAGCACUGGUCUUAUUUUCAGACUUUGAUGCUGCAAAGGAGCUCUUUUAAGAAAACUGGAGCUUUCACAGACUGCAUGCUUUCACUGGGAGCCUAUUAAAUGGGAAAUAAAUAACGGUGAUAAAAAUGUAUUGCUUAAAAAUUAAGCAAACAUUUAAAAAGAGCUCUAGAUUAAAGAGAAAAAACAAAACACGAAAAAUUAUCAAAAAGGGAAUGAAAUUGGUCAUAUUUCAUACCAAGCCCUACAUAUCACAGCUAAAGCUGUGAUCAGAGGAAAAAUUAUAACUCUUAAAAUGUCUCUUGGUAAAGGGACUUUAAAUAAGUGAACUAAAUAUUACCCUUAAUUAAGUUUUAAAAGAAAAUACAUAAAUUAAAGAUAAUUAGGAAGAUGGAAUUAAUAGAUAUUAUAGUCCAAGAUGACUAAGAAGAAAACAAAUAUAGACAAAGGUAAUUUUCUGAUAAGAUAAUAAACAUAAUAUUUUAAUAAUUAACAGAAUAACUAAAUUUCUCAUGAACUUGACUAAGAAAAAAGCAAGACUAUAAAAGCACAGGCAAGAAAAAUUUAUAGAAAAGAGCAUAAACUACUGAAAGAAAAUUAGUUGCUACCAAGUGUCAACACAGUUGAAAUGCUUCAGGAAAUUACAUAGCAAUGAAUAAAUUAUCCCUUAAAACAUGCACUAAACUAAUUUAGAAUACAUUACCGCAGAAAAGACUAAAAGCAAUUACGAUUUCGUAUUAGGUCCAGAUGGUUAUACAAUUUUGUUCUGUGUAAAUUUAAAAGAUUUUACACUUAUUGUAUGUGCAUGUGGUCACAUGUGCAUGCAGGGUGGUGGUAGUGUGUGCAAAUCACAGCAUGUGUGUGGAAGCCAAAAGAGAACUUGUAGGAAUUGGCUCUCUUUUUCCAACAUGUAGGUACCAGUUAUCAAACUCAGGUAUCUUGAGCAGGCUUGGCAGCAGGUAUCUUUACUCACUGAGCCAUAUUUCCAGCCACUGCUUAACCUUUAAAGAGACCAUCAUUCUAAUGUUUUCAAACUGUUUUGGAACACAAGCAGACAGAUCUUCAACUGCAUGGCACUGCAUUCACAAAGACAUGGUGGAACCUUUUACACACUGCUGAGCCAAGAGAUUCUGUAACUUACAGGAUCAGAUAUCAGGGCUGUCCUUCAUACUGCAGAAAGAAAGAAAAAGCCCAUUCUCACAGUUUUAAUGACUGAUAGAUCCCCAGCAAAUAAGCAGAUCUUCAUAGAUGGAUAUAUUAGCAAUUUGCAUUGUUUUGCUACUUAGCAAUCAUAGCAUCAGUAUCUCCAGACAAAAACAGCUUUCAAAUGUAUAGAAUCAAUUUAUAGAAGAGUUGAAGAUUGCAUACAGUUUUACUUUAGAUAGUGAGAUUGCAUCACUCUUUUCUUCCAACAUCAAUGACUAAGGCCAAGUUUCCCUAUAUACUCACCAACGGAGUAUUAUUGGUGUCUUACUUAAUAAUCAAAGAAACAACCGUUGCUUAUAUUUGCACUCUAUCAUAAGUGAAACAGUCUGGCAUUUUCCCCCCUGGAAUCAGUAGCAUUUCCUUUUUAAAAAAUCAUCCUCUCAAUAUAAAGAGCUUUGAAAAAUUGAAUGAAAAUAAUUCACUCUGUGUCUACAAUAUGGGUGGCAACUGUUUCCCCAGGUUAACACUUAAAUUUUAUUUUUGGUGGGUUUUUUUUUUGCUGUGCAAAUUUUAUAUAUUCUAUUACCAGCUUUGCUGAGGUACAGCUGGCAUAUAAUAAAAGGCACGUGUUUAAAUUGUAGGAUUUGGUAACUUUUGACAUGUGUUGAAAUCGCUGCCACAAUUAAGGUAAUGAGCAUAUCCAGUGCUCCCAGGAGCUUCCUCUUGCCCUUUUGGACUUCCCCUACCACUGCUCCACCCCUCGGUAAUUAUUGACCUUUCUGUCACUCUAGGUUAGACUUCAUUUUCUAGAGUGCUGUGGUAACAGAAGACGACAGUAUGAACUCUUUGUCUGGCUUCUUUCACUCACUGUAAUUACUUGGUGAUUCAUCCAUGUUAGGUGUAUCAAUAGUUCAUUCCUUUGUACUUCUGAGUAGUAUUCCAUUGUAUGGACACAGAACAACUUUGCCAAAAAAACUCUCUACUCAAAUGUUGACUGCUUUUGGAAUGUUUCCAAAUGGAGAGAGAGAGAGAGAGAGAGAGAGAGAGAGAGAGAGAGAGAGAGAGAGAGAGAGGGAAACCAUUAAACUGUUUUUCAGUGUUCCUGAAUCAUUGUGACCACGACAUGGCAUACAACUGGUUGAGUUCUUUCAUGUCCUCACCAGUACCUGGUGAAUCUCCUUAAUUUUAGGCAAUUAGUAGUUAUGAAGUAGAGUCUACCUUUGUGCACUUCUCCAAUAACUAAUGAUGCUGGGCAUUGUCUUACAUGCUUUCCUAUAUGUCUUCCUUGCUAUGAAGUGUUGAUUUAAACAAUUUACCCAUUUUUGUAAUGUGUGAGUUUUCAGUUUAAAGUGUCCAUCACAUAUUCUGAAUAUAAAUUCUUUUUUAGGUAUCAGGUUGUAAAAUAUUUUCAGGUUUGGGAUAGUGAGCAAUAAUGUUUGAUGUGCAAACAUGGAAACUGGUGUUCAAAUCCUCAGCAUCCACGCUUAAAAAAAAAAAACUGGCAUGAAUGCACAUAACUGUAAUCCUAGAACUGUGGGUAGGGUGGGCAGAGACAGGCAGAUCCUGGGAGCUUAGUGACCUGCCAGUCUGGCUGGAACACUGAACUUCCAGUUCAGUGAGAGACUGCUUGAGGAAAAGAAGGUAGAGAGCCGUAAAAAAAUGAGGCUAUGCCAGUGCCUGGCAAACACAGAAGUGGAUGCCCACAGUCAGCUAUUGGAUGGAACACAGGGCCCCCAAUGGAGGAGCUAGAGAAAGUACCCAAGGAGCUAAAGGGGUCUGCAACCCUAUAGGUGGAACAACAAUAUGAACUAACCAGUACCUUCCCAGAGCUCAUGUCUCUAGCUGCAUAUGUAGCAGAAGAUGGCCUAGUUGGCCAUCAUUGGGAAGAGAGGCUCCUUGGUCUUGCAAACUUUAUAUGCCCCAGUACAGGGGAACACCAGGGCCAAGAAAUGUGAGUGGGUGGGUAGGGGAGCGGGGGAGUGGGUAUGGGGGACUUUCAGGAUAGCAUUUGAAAUGUAAAUGAAGAAAAUACCUAAUAAAAAUUGGGGGAAAAAAGACAGCAAUCAUUUGUCCUCUGCAUGUGAGUUCAUGGGCAUGCACAAUUCCACGUGCACAUGCAAUGCACGCAAAACCAGAAUGCUUUCUUUCAAUAUCUGUCUUUUUCAUUGUGUCUUUCAAAAAGCAUGCUUGAGAAGCCUGGCUAACCAAUUUGUUCCUAAUACUCACAUGCUUUUGAUGCUGUGUCAAAGAUAUCCUUAACUAUAUUGUUGUUGUCCUAUAAGGUUUAGCCUUUGAAUUCAGUUCUAUGACCAUUUUAACAUGGUUUUGGGGAAAUGAUAAAAGUUCAUGGUUGAACUGAAUAUCCAGUUUUUCCAUCUUGUCUCCUCCCCACAGAACAAAACAAAACCUAGCAUAACCUUUACAUGUGGAUUAGAAAGCACCUGUCAAUAAAUUUGAAUGUCCACCUGAUCCCCAGUUUCCCCCACUAUCUGUUUGGUUUUUAUGCUGACAUUAUACAUCUGGUGUUCAUCCUCAAACCUUGUUCAUGUUCAAAGUUGCUUUGGUAUUCUAGGUUAUCUGCAUGCUAGUCUUUGACUGGCUUUAUACUGAAUUUAGAAAUCAAUAUUGAACCUUGUAAUUUGUGAACCUAAUUAUAUAUCUAUAUUUAUUUUUUUGAAGUUUCAUCAGCAUAGUUAUAUAGGCUCCAAAGGAGAGCUCUUUUGUCAAAUAGAUUUCUAUGUUUCACAUGUUUAGUGCUACUCAGAAUAGUAUUUAAAAGUUUCCAAUUCUGCCUUACUUGUAGCUAGAAUUUAGAAGUAGAAUUGCUUUUUGCAGAGCUACUUUGUAUAUGCAACUGAAUCCAUAUAUUCUGGUGGCCAAUCUGACACAUCAGAUUUUCUAUACAGACAACCAGGAAAUCUACAAAUAAUGCCAGUUUCAUUUCUUUUCCAACUUGCUGUUUCUUACCUUAUUCCAAAGGCAAGCAUCUCCAACUUAAUGUUGAAUAGAAAUCAUAACACCAGAUAUUUGUACUCCUGACUUAUGGGCAAAACGGAUAUUUGUUCAUUGAAUAUGUUAACUGCAUGCAGGCCUUUUUUUUUUCAAUAACCUAUUUCAAUUGGAGGAAGCUUCUAUUUUUUACUUCAUAAUUUUUUUUGCUAGAUUUCUUUCAAGUACUUUCUCUGCAUCUUCUGAGAUAAAUAUGGCUUUAUUUUGUCAUUUAUUAAUAUGUUUCAUUUUCUUUAUAUGCCCCAGUACAGGGGAACGACAGGGCCAAGAAGUGAGAGUGGGUGGGUAGGGGAGCAGGGGAGGGGGAGGGUAUAGGGAACUUUCGGAAUAGCAUUUGAAAUGUAAAUAAAGAAAAUAUCUAAUAAAAUAAAAAAAUAAUGUUUCAUUUUACUAAUUAAAUUCAAACUAACUUUGUAUUCCUGAACCCUAAUUGAUUCUUUUGCUUAAAAUUUUUGGAUUUGUGUUCACAAGUGAUAUUACCUACAGUUUUCUUAUAAUGUUUUUAUAAUGUUUAUAAUGUUUCUUUAUAAUGGCUGGGUUUCCUAUCAGGGUAAUGCUGGUCCCAGAAUUUAAAAAGAAUUCCCUUCAUUAAAAGAAACCAGAGUUUGCUUCUUAAACAUAUGGCAGGAUUCAUCAGGAAGCAACAUGGUCCCAGAGUAUGCUUAUCGUGUGUGUGUGUGUGUGUGUGUGUGUGUGUGUGUGUGCAUUAUCCAUGAUAGAUAAUUGGGUUACAUCUGUCUGCACUUUACCUUUCCUAAGAAAUUUUCCAUUUCCUCUAAGUUGUAGAAUAUAGUAACAAAGAGCUGUACAGGAUAGUUUUGUAGUUUUAAGUCCUGUCAUUUAUAUAGAGCUGGGUAUCUCACUUCUGACACUGACAAGUUGCGACAUCACGCUUGCUCUUUGGUCUAUCUGGUUAGUCACUUAUUGAUUUUCCUGGCCUUAAAAAAAAUCAACAAUGGUUUGAUUAUUUUUUUUCCUGUUUUUAGUUUCUUACGCCCCUCGCAAAUUCUUAUUUUCCUUUAGUCUACUUAUUUUGGUUUAUUUAGCUGUUUUAUAGUUCCCAGUCUGAGGCCUUCACCGCUUGCGUGGUGCUAUAUGGUCCUCUAAGAACUGUUUUAGCAGUGUCCUAUAAACUAGAGCUUGUUGUGUUUUCACUUUCAUUUGAUUUAAAACACUCAUUUUUCUCUUAGGUUUCUUCUCUGACCCUGUGCUAUUUGGAGACAUGUUCUUUAUUUUCCAUAUAGUUCAGAAUUUGCCAUCUUCUUAAUUGAUUUUUAAUUUAAUUCUACUGUGGUAAAAGAACAUAUGACUUGAGUAACUUUAAGUUUAUAAAGUUUUUUCACAGCUCAGAAUAUGGUCUGUCCUGGCAUGUGGUCUCUGUGUAGUUGGCAGCCAUAUCUAUCCUGCUGUUCUCUACCAGCAUUAAGUCAACUUGGUUCAAAGUAUUGCUCAGAUCCACAUUUCUGUUGAUUUUUGUGUCUAACGGUACCAUCUCUAAUAAUAAAGACAUUAAAAUCCACAAAAC